RNAcentral lists this long non-coding RNA (97414 nucleotides) under Triticum aestivum (bread wheat). RNAcentral describes it as "long non-coding RNA (TAES_LNC017675)". The record is from RNAcentral. Lineage: Eukaryota; Viridiplantae; Streptophyta; Magnoliopsida; Poales; Poaceae.
AACUUUGUUCUCAUACAUGGAUCCCAUCUCAGAUUUCAUGGCCUCAAGCCAUUUCGCGGAAUCUGGGCUCAUCAUCGCUUCCUCAUAGUUCGUAGGUUUGUCAUGGUCAAGUAACAUGACCUCCAGAACAUGAUUACCGUACCACUCUGGUGCGGAUCUUACUCUGGUUGACCUACGAGGUUCGGUAGUGACUUGAUCUGAAGUUACAUGAUCAUCGUCAUUAGCUUCCUCACUAAUUGGUGUAGGAGUCACAGGAACAGAAUUCUGUGAUGAACUACUUUCCAAUAAGGGAGCAGGUACAGUUACCUCAUCAAGUUCUACUUUCCUCCCACUCACUUCUUUCGAGAGAAACUCCUUCUCUAGAAAGGAUCCAUUCUUAGCAACGAAUGUCUUGCCUUUAGAUCUGUGAUAGAAGGUGUACCCAACAGUCUCCUUUGGGUAUCCUAUGAAGACACCUUUCUCCGAUUUGGGUUCGAGCUUAUCCGAUAUGGGUAUAUGGUGCCCUAUUUAACAUGAAUGCAGCAGUCUUUGAAAUUCUUUGAACUUUUCAAAUGUUUCAGACUUAUGCUUCAUCAAGUAGAUAUACCCAUAUCUGCUCAAAUCAUGUGUGAAGGUGAGAAAAUACCCGCCACGUGCCUCAACAUUCAUCGGACCACAUACAUCAGUAUGUAUGAUUUCCAACAAAUCUGUUGCUCGCUCCAUUAUUCCGGAGAACGGAGUUUUAGUCAUCUUGGCCAUGAGGCAUGGUUCACAAGUACCAAGUGAUUCAUAAUCAAGUGAUUCCAAAAGUCCAUUAGAAUGGAGUUUCUUCAUGCGCUUUACACUAAUAUGACCCAAACGACAGUGCCACAAAUAAGUUGCACUAUCAUUAUCAACUCUGCAUCUUUUGGCUUCAGUAUUAUGAAUGUGUGUAUCACUACUAUCGAGAUUCAAUAAAAAUAGACCACUCUUCAAGGGUGCAUGACCAUAAAAGAUAUUACUCAUAUAAAUAGAACAACCAUUAUUCUCUGAUUUAAAUGAAUAACCGACUCGCAUCAAACAAGAUCCAGAUAUAAUGUUCAUGCUUAACGCUGGCACCAAAUAACAAUUAUUCAGGUCUAAAACUAAUCCCGAAGGUAGAUGUAGAGGUAGCGUGCCGACCGCGAUCACAUCGACUUUGGAACCAUUUCCCACGCGCAUUGUCACCUUGUCCUUAGCCAAUCUUCGCUUAAUCCGCAGUCCCUGUUUUCGAGUUGCAAAUAUUAGCAACAGAGCAGGUAUCAAAUACCCAGGUGCUACUGCGAGCAUUAGUAAGGUACACAUCAAUAACAUGUAUAUCACAUAUACCUUUGUUCACCUUGCCAUCCUUCUUAUCCGUCAAAUACUUGGGGCAGUUCUGCUUCCAGUGACCAGUCCCUUUGCAGUAGAAGCACUCAGUCUCAGGCUUAGGUCCAGACUUGGGCUUCUUCACUUGAGCAGGAACUUGCUUGCCGUUCUUCUUGAAGCUCCCCUUACUCCCUUUACCCUUUUUCUUGAAACUGGUGGUCUUGUUGACCAUCAACACUUGAUGCUCCUUCUUAAUUUCUACCUUUGCAGCUUUUAGCAUUGCGAAGAGCUCGGGAACUGUUUUAUCCAUCCCUUGCAUAUUAUAGUUCAUCACGAAGCUCUUGUAGCUUGGUGACAGUGAUUGAAGGAUUCUGUCAAUGACACUAUCAUCAGGAAGAUUAACUCCCAUUUGAAUCAAGUGAUUAUAGUACCCAAACAUUCUGAGUAUAUGUUCACUGACGGAACUAUUCUCCUCCAUUUUGCAGCUAUAGAACUUAUUGGAGACUUCAUAUCUCUCAAUCCGGGCAUUUGCUUGAAAUAUUAACUUCAACUCCUGGAAUAUCUCAUAUGCUCCAUGACGUUCAAAACAUUGUUGAAGUCCCGGUUCUAAACCGUAAAGCAUGGCACACUGAACUAUCGAGUAGUCAUCAACACGCGACUGCCAGGCAUUCACAAUGUCUACAGUUGCCGGUGCGGGUGGUACACCUAGCGGUGCUUCCAGGACGUAAUUCUUCUGUGUAUCAAUGAGGAUAAUCCUCAAGUUACAGACCCAGUCUGUGUAGUUGCUACCAUCAUCUUUCAACUUAGCUUUCUCUAGGAACGCUUUAAAAUUCAACGGCACAACAACACGGGCCAUCUAUCUACAACAACAUAGACAUGCAAAAUACUAUCAGGUACUAAGUUCAUGAUAAAUUAAAGUUCAAUUAAUCAUAUUACUAAAGAACUCCCACUUAGAUAGACAUCCCUCUAAUAAUCUAAGUGAUCACGUGAUCCAAAUCAACUAAACCAUGUCUGAUCAUCACGUGAGAUGGAGUAGUUUUCAAUGGUGAACAUCACUAUGUUGAUCAUAUCUACUAUAUGAUUCACGCUCGACCUUUCGGUCUCAGUGUUCCGAGGCCAUAUCUGCAUAUGCUAGGAUCGUCAAGUUUAACCCGAGUAUUUUGCGUGUGCAAAACUGACUUGCACCCGUUGUAUGUGAACGUAGAGCUUAUCACACCCGAUCAUCACGUGGUGUCUCGGCACGACGAACUUUCACAACGGUGCAUACUCGGGGAGAACACUUGUACCUUGAAAUUUAGUGAGAGAUCAUCUUAUAAUGCUACCGUCAAACUAAGAAAAAUAAGGUGCAUAAAGGAUAAACAUCACAAGCAAUCAAUAUAAGUGAUAUGAUAUGGACAUCAUCAUCUUGUGCCUUUGAUCUCCAUCUCCAAAGCACCGUCAUGAUCACCAUCGUCACCGGCGUGACACCUUGAUCUCCAUCAUAGCAUCGUUGUCGUCUCGCCAACUAUUGCUUCUACGACUAUCGCUAUCGCUUAGUAAUAAAGUAAAGCAAUUACAUGGCGAUUGCAUUUCAUACAAUAAAGCGACAACCAUAUGGCUCCUGCCAGUUGCCAAUAACUCUGUUACAAAACAUGAUCAUCUCAUACAAUAAAAUUUAGCAUCAUGUCUUGACCAUAUCACAUCACAAUAUGCCCUGCAAAAACAACUUAGACGUCCUCUACUUUGUUGUUGCAAGUUUUACGUGGCUGCUACGGGCUGAGCAAGAACCGUUCUUACCUACGCAUUAAAACCACAAUGAUUUUUCGUCAAGUAUGUGCUGUUUUAACCUUCAACAAGGACCGGGCGUAGCCACACUCGAUUCAACUAAAGUUGGAGAAACUGACACCCGCCAGCUGAUACGUCUCCAAUGUAUCUAUAAUUUUUUAUUGUUCCAUGCUAUAUUAUAUUCUGUUUUGGAUGUUUAAUGGGCCUUAUUAUACACGUUUAUAUUAUUUUUGGGACUAGCCUAUUAACCGGAGGCCCAGCCCAAAUUGCUAUUUUUUUUGCCUAUUUCAGUGUUUCGCGGAAAAAGAAUAUCAAACGGAGUCCAAACGGAAUGAAACCUUCGGGAACGUGAUUUUCGGAACAAACGUGAUCCAUAGGACUUGGAGUGGAUGUCAGGCAACAGACGAGGAAGCCAGGAGGUAGGGGGGCGCGCCCUCCGCCCUCGUGGGCCCAUCGCGGCUCCACCGACCUACUUCUUCCUCCUAUAUAUACCUACGUACCCCCAAACCAUCAGAGGCGACCACGAAAACCUAAUUCCACCGCCGCAACCUUCUGUACCCAUGAGAUCCCAUCUUGGGGCCUUUUCCGGCAUCCUGCCGGAGGGGGCAUUGGUCAUGGAGGGCUUCUACAUCAACACCAUAGCCUUGAUACGUCCAUUUUGCAUCAUGCUUUUAUAUCGAUAUUUAUUGCAUUAUGGGUUGUUAUUACACAUUAUGCCACAAUACUUAUGUCUAUUCUCUCUUAUUUUACAAGGUUUAUAUGAAGAGGGAGAAUGCCGGCAGCUGGAAUUCUGGGCUGGAAAAGGAGCAAAUAUUAGAGACCUAUUCUGCACAACUCCAAAAGUCCUGAAACUCCACGGAAGUUAUUUUGAAAAUAUAUAUAAAAUAUCGAGCGGAAGAAAUACCAGAGGGGGGCCACCCACCAGGAACGAGGGUGGGGGGCGCGCCCUACCCCCCUGGGUGCGCCCUACCUCGUGGGCCCCGUGGUGGCCCUCCGGUGGCCAUCUUCUGCUAUAUGAAGUCUUUCGUCCGAAGAAAAAUAAUAAGCAAACUUUCGGGACGAGACUCCGCCGCCACAAGGCGGAACCUUGGCGGAACCAAUCUAGGGCUCUGGCGGAGUUGUUCUGCCGGGGACACUUCCCUCCGGGAGGGGGAAAUCAUCGCCAUCGUCAUCACCAACGCUCCUCUCAUCGGGAGGGGGGCAAUCUCCAUCAACAUCUUCACCAGCACCAUCUCCUCUCAAACCCUAGUUCAUCUCUUGUAUCCAAUUCUUGUCUCUAAGUCUGGGAUUGGUACCUGCAGGUUGCUAGUAGUGUUGAUUACUCCUUGUAGUUGAUGCUAGUUGGUUUAUUUGGUGGAAGAUCAUAUGUUCAGAUCCUUUAUGCAUAUUAAUACUCCUCUGAUUAUGAACAUGAAUAUGCUUUAUGAGUAGUUACGUUUGUUCCUGAGGACAUGGGAGAAGUCUUGCUAUUAGUAGUCAGGUGAAUUUGGUAUUCGUUCGAUAUUUUGAUGAGAUGUAUGUUGUCUCUCCUCUAGUGGUGUCAUGUGAACAUCGACUACAUGACACUUCACCAUUAUUUGGGCCUAGAGGAAGGCAUUGGGAAGUAAUAAGUAGAUGAUGGGUUGCUAGAGUGACAGAAGCUUAAACCCUAGUUUCUGCGUUGCUUCGUAAGGGGCUGAUUUGGAUCCAUAUGUUUCAUGCUAUGGUUAGGUUUACCUUAAUACUUCUUUUGUAGUUGCGCAUGCUUGCAAUAGGAGUUAAUCAUAAGUGGGAUGUUUGUCCAAGUAAGGACAGCACCCAAGCACCGGUCCACCCACAUAUCAAAUUAUCAAAGUACCGAACGCGAAUCAUAUGAAUGUGAUGAAAACUAGCUUGACGAUAAUUCCCAUGUGUCCUCGGGAGCGCUUUUCUAUAUAUAAGAGUUUGUCCAGGCUUGUCCUUUGCUACAAAAAGGAUUGGGCCACCUUGCUGCACUUUAUUUACUUUUGUUACUUGUUGCUCGUUACAAAUUAUCUUAUCACAAAACUAUCAGUUACCUAUAAUUUCAGUGCUUGCACAGAAUACCUUGCUGAAAACCGCUUAUCAUUUCCUUCUGCUCCUCAUUGGGUUCGACACUCUUACUUAUCGAAAGGACUACGAUAGAUCCCCUAUACUUGUGCGUCAUCAAGACUCUUUUCUGGCACCGUUGCCGGGGAGUGAAGCGCCUUUGGUAGGUGGAAUUUGGUAAGGAAAAGUUUAUAUAGUGUGCUGAAAUUUACUGUCACUUGUUACUAUGGAAAGUAAUCCCCUGAGGGGCUUGUUCGGGGUAUCUUCACCCCGACCAGUAGAGCAAAGAGUUGCUCCUCAACCUACUGAAACUACUGAAAAUGAAAAUGUCUACUUUGAAAUUCCUUCGGGUAUGAUAGAAAAACUGCUAGCUAAUCCUUUUGCAGGAGAUGGAACAUUACAUCCUGAUGAGCACCUAAUCUAUGUGGAUGAAGUUUGUGGAUUAUCUAAGCUUGCAGGUAUGCCCGAUGAUGUUAUCAAGAAGAAGUUCUUCCCUUUAUCUUUGAAGGGAGAUGCAUUGACAUGGUAUAGGCUAUGUGAUGAUAUGGGAUCAUGGAACUACAAGCGAUUGAAAUUGGAAUUUCAUCAGAAGUUUUAUCCUAUGCAUCUUGUUCAUCGUGAUCAUAAUUAUAUAUAUAUAUAUAAUUUUUGGCCUCGCGAAGGAGAAAGCAUCGCUCAAGCUUGGGGGAGGCUUAAGUCAAUGUUAUAUUCAUGCCCCAAUCAUGAGCUCUCAAGAGAAAUGAUUAUUGAAAAUUUUUAUGCUCGGCUUUCUGACAACAACCGCACCAUGCUCGAUACUUCUUGUACUGGUUCUUUUAUGAUGAAGACUAUUGAAUUCAAAUGGGAUUUAUUGGAAAGAAUUAAACACAACUCUGAAGAUUGGAACCUCGACGAAGGUAAGGAGUCAGGUAUAACACCUAAGUUUGAUUGUGUUAAAUCUUUUAUGGAUACCGAUGUUUUCUGUAAAUUUAGCACUAAAUAUGGACUUGACUCUGAGAUAGUAGCUUCUUUCUGUGAAUCCUUUGCUACUCAUGUUGAUCUCCCUAAGGAGAAGUGGUUUAAAUAUCAUUCUCCCAUAGAAGUAAAAGUAGUUGCACCUAUUAAAGUUGAAGAAAAGACUAUCACUUAUAAUGAUCAUAUUGUUCCUACUGCUUAUGUUGAUAAACCACCUUUCCCUGUUAGAAUAAAGGAUCAUGCUAAAGCUUCAACUGUGGUUCGUAAAAGCAAUAUUAGAACUUAUACUCCUCCUGAACAAGUUAAAGUUGAACCUAAUAUUGCUAUUUUUAAAGAUCUCUUGGCUGAUAAUAUUGAUGGGCAUGUUAUUUAUUUCUGUGAUGAGACUGCUAGAAUUGCUAAACCUUGUGCUAAAGAUAAACAUAGACCUGUGGUAGGCAUGCCUGUCAUUUCUGUUAAAAUAGGAGAUCAUUGUUAUCAUGGCUUAUGUGACAUGGGUGCUAGUGCUAGUGCAAUACCUAUUGACUUAUACAAAGAAAUUAUGCAUGAUAUUGCACCUACUGAGUUAGAAGAAAUUGAUGUCACAAUUAAGCUUGCCAAUAGAGAUACUAUUUCACCAAUUGGAAUUGUUAGAGAUGUUGAAGUCUUGUGUGGGAAAACUAAAUAUCCUGCUGAUUUUCUUGUUCUUGGUUCCCCACAAGAUAGCUUUUGUCCCAUUAUAUUUGGUAGGCCCUUCUUGAACACUGUUAAUGCUAAGAUAGACUGCGAAAAGGAUGUUGUUACUAUUGGUUUAGGUGAUAUGUCUCAUGAGUUCAAUUUCUCUAAAUUUCGUAGACAACACCGUGAAGAGGAAUUGCCUAGUAAAGAUGAAAUUAUUGGUCUUGCCUCUAUUGCCGUACCUCCUAGUGAUCCUUUAGAACAAUAUUUGCUAGACCAUGAAAAUGAUAUGUUUAUGAAUGAAAGAAGGGAAAUAGAUGAAGUGUUCUUUAAACAGGGACCUAUUCUGAAACACAAUUUGCCUGUUGAAAUAUUAGGGGAUCCUCCUCCACCCAAGGGUGAUCCCGUGUUUGAGCUUAAACCAUUGCCUGAUACUCUUAAAUAUGCUUAUCUUGAUGAAAAGAAGAUAUAUCCUGUUAUUAUUAGUGCUAACCUUUCAUAGAAGGAGGAAGAAAAAAUAUUGAAAACUUUGAAGAAGCACCGUGCUACUAUUGGAUAUACUCUUGAUGAUCUUAAGGGCAUUAGUCCCACUCUAUGCCAACACAAAAUAAAUUUGGAGAAAGAUGCCAAACCAGUUAUUGAUCACCAACGACGACUCAAUCCUAAGAUGAAAGAAGUGGUAAGAAAGGAAAUAUUAAAGCUCCUUGAGGCAGGUAUAACUUAUCCCGUUGCUGAUAGCUAGUGGGUAAGUCCUGUCCAUUGUGUCCCUAAGAAAGGAGGUAUUACUGUCAUUCCUAAUGAUAAAGAUGAAUUGAUUCCGCAAAGAAUUAUUACAGGUUAUAGGAUGGUAAUUGAUUUCCGCAAAUUAAAUAAAGCUACUAAAAAAGAGCAUUACCCCUUACCUUUUAUUGAUCAAAUGCUAGAAAGGUUAUCCAAACAUACACAUUUUUGCUUUCUAGAUGGUUAUUCUGGCUUCUCUCAAAUACCUGUGUCAGCUGAUGAUCAAGCAAAGACCAGAUUUACUUGCCCUUUCGGUACUUUUGCUUAUAGACGUAUGCCUUUUGGUUUAUGUAAUGCACCUGCUACCUUUCAAGGAUGCAUGAUGGCUAUAUUCUCUGAUUUUUGUGAAAAGAUUUGUGAGGUUUUCAUGGACGAUUUCUCCGUUUAUGGAUCCUCUUUUGAUGAUUGCUUGAUCAACCUUGAUCGAGUUUUGCAGAGAUGUGAAGAAACUAAUCUUGUCUUGAAUUAGGAGAAGUGCCACUUUAUGGUUAAUGAGGGCAUUGUCUUGGGGCAUAAAAUUUCUAAAAGAGGUAUUGAAGUUGAUAAAGCUAAAGUCAAUGCUAUUGAAAAGAUGCCAUGUACCAAGGACAUCAAAGGUAUAAGAAGUUUCCUUGGUCAUGCCGGUUUUUAUAGGAGGUUCAUUAAGGACUUCUCAAAAAUUUCUCGGCCUCUGACUAAUCUAUUACAAAAAGAUAUACCAUUUGUCUUUGAUGAUGAUUGUGUAGAAGCAUUUGAAAUACUUAAGAAAGCAUUGAUUUCUGCACCUAUUGUUCAGCCACCUGCUUGGAAUUUACCCUUUGAAAUUAUGUGUGAUGCUAGUGAUUAUGUUGUAGGUGUUGUUCUAGGGCAAAGAGUUGAUAAGAAAUUAGAUGUUAUUCAAUAUGCUAGUAAAACUCUAGACAGUGCUCAGAGAAAUUAUGCUACUACUGAAAAAGAAUUCUUAGCAGUUGUAUUUGCUUGUGAUAAGUUCAGACCUUAUAUUGUUGAUUUUAAAGUAACUAUUCACACUGAUCAUGCUACUAUUAAAUAUCUUAUGGAAAAGAAAGAUGCUAAAUCUAGACUUAUUAUAUGGGUUCUCUUGCUACAAGAAUUUGAUUUGCAUAUUAUUGAUAGAAAGGGAGCUGAGAACCCCAUUGCAGACAACUUGUCUAGGUUAGAAAAUGUUCUUGAUGACCCACUACCUAUUGAUGAUAGCUUUCCUGAUGAACAAUUAAAUGUCAUAAAUGCUUCUCGUACUGCUCCAUGGUAUGCUGAUUAUGCUAAUUACAUUGUUGCUAAAUUUUUACCACCUAGUUUCACAUACCAGCAAAAGAAAAAGUUUUUCUAUGAUUUGAGACAUUACUUUUGGGAUGACCCACAUCUUUAUAAAGAAGGAGUAGAUGGUGUUAUUAGACGUUGUGUACCUGAGCAUGAACAGGAACAUAUCCUACGCAAGUGUCACUCCGAGGCUUAUGGAGGACACCACGCUGGAGAUAGAACUGCACAUAAGGUAUUGCAAUCCGGUUUUUAUUGGCCUACUCUCUUCAAGGAUGCUCGUAAGUUUGUCUUAUCUUGCGAUGAAUGUCAAAGAAUUGGUAAUAUUAGUAGACGUCAAGAAAUGCCUAUGAAUUAUUCACUUGUUAUUGAACCAUUUGAUGUUUGGGGCUUUGAUUAUAUGGGACCGUUUCCUGCCUCUAAUGGAUAUACACAUAUUUUAGUUGCUGUUGAUUACAUUACUAAGUGGGUAGAAGCUAUUCCAACUAGUAGUGCUGAUCAUAACACCUCUAUUAAGAUGCUUAAAGAAGUUAUUUUUCGAGGUUUGGAGUCCCUAGAUAUUUAAUGACUGAUGGUGGUUCACAUUUUAUUCAUGGUGCUUUCCGUAAAAUGCUUGCCAAGUAUGAUGUUAAUCAUAGAAUUGCAUCUCCUUAUCACCCAUAGUCUAGUGGUCAAGUGGAAUUGAGUAAUAGAGAACUCAAAUUAAUUUUGCAAAAGACUGUUAAUAGAUCUAGAAAGAAUUGGUCCAAGAAACUUGAUGAUGCAUUACGGGCCUAUAGAACUGCAUAUAAGAAUCCUAUGGGCAUGUCUCCGUAUAAAAUUGUUUAUGGAAAAGCAUGUCACUUACCUCUCGAACUAGAACAUAAGGCAUAUUAGGCUAUUAAAGAGCUCAACUAUGAUUCAAACUUGCUAGUGAGAAGAGGUUAUUUGACAUUAGCUCACUUGAUGAAUGGAGAACCCAAGGUUAUGAGAAUGCCAAACUAUUUAAAGAAAAAGUUAAAAGAUGGCAUGACAGAAGAAUACAAAAGCGUGAGUUUAAUGUAGGUGAUUAUGUAUUAUUAUACAACUCUCGUUUAAGAUUUUUUGCAGGAAAACUUCUCUCUAAAUGGGAAGGUCCUUACGUUAUCGAGGAGGUCUAUCGUUCCGGUGCCAUAAAAAUCAACAACUUCGAAGGCACAAAUCCAAAGGUGGUGAACGAUCAAAGAAUCAAACAUUAUAUCUCAGGUAGCCCUAUAAAUGUCGAAACCAAUGUUAUUGAAACCGUAACCCCGGAGGAAUACAUAAGGGACACUUUCCAGAACGUUUCAGACUCCGAAAAGGAAUAGGUAUGUGGCACGGUAAGUAAACCGACUCCAAAACAGUUCUAAUGGCAAUUUUUCUCCAUUUUGGAAUAUUUAGAAAAAUAGAAAAAUAAGAAGCAGUCCGGGAAGGACACAAGGGUGGAGGGCGCGCCCUGCCCCCUAGGCGCGCCCCCUGCCUCGUGGGCACCUCAUGUGCUCUCCGGACUCCGUUUUCUUGCACGAUACGUAUUUUGGUCGGUAAAAAUUCAUUAUAUAAUCUCCCGAAGUUUUUGACCACCGUAUCACGCAAUUAUCCUCUGUUCUUGUUUCGAGCUGCUUUUCUGACAGAUCUAGAUCACCAUGACCUCUCCAAGCUCCCCCAAGGACAAGUUCUUCGAGAAGGUCAUCAACCCUUACCUCGCGGAGGUGCUGCGACACCCUCAAACCAUUGAGAUGCGUGAUGGGUUGCUGCACAUCCGCGAUGUUGAGGGACCAAGGAGGACCGGAAGCAUGGAGACGAGGCUCGAAGCAAUGGAGCAACAAGUUUUCAAGUGCCAGGGGAUGGUGGAACAUGGACUCAACGCCAACCACAUGAUGAUCGCGGAGUUCACCAACAACCACAAGCCGGAUGCCAAGAACAUUGAGGAGGCCAUCUUCAAGCUUCACGAGAAGAUCGAGCACCUCCAAGCCCAAAUCUAUGACCUGCAAAACCAAAACUGUGAGUAUGAAUAUAGAUUCAAAAUGAUGAGUUUGGCUGCAGAUUUGAGGAUCCCGGAGACUCGAUCAUCCUUCUAUGAUGGUGAGCCUAUGCCUUGGAAGACGUACGACAAGCCUACAUCAUCAUCAACUCCACCAUCUUCUUCACCAGCAAAGGAGACAUAAUCAUAUGGGCAUGGGCAUUCCCCUUGGCAACUGCCAAGCUUGGGGGAGGUGCCCCGGUAUCGUAUCACCAUCACACUCCUAUCUUUACCGUUUUUCUUAGCUCGAUCCUUUUAGUAUUAUCUUGAUCUAGUACAAUAAAGUUUUUUGGUAUGAUCUAGUUUUGAGUUUUGCCUUAUGAUUCCUCUAUGUAAUCGAGUCUGUGAGCUAUAUAAUAAAGAUUAGUGUUGAGUCAAGGGCUUGAUUAUUUUGUUAUGAUCUUGAGGGAAUAAAAGAAAAGAGAAAGAAUAAAAAGAAACAAAGAGAUCAUAUUGAUCUUAUGGAGAGUAAUGACUUCACAUAGAAAGAGUAUGAUGAUUAAAAGUUGUUGAGAGUUGACAAACAUAGCUUUGGUCAUCGUUGCAAUUAAUAGGAAGUAAUAAAUAAAGAGAGGUUUCACAUAUAAAUAUACUAUCUUGGACAUCUUCUAUGAUUGUGAGCACUCAUUAAAAUAUGACAUGCUAAAGAGUUGACGUUGGACAAGGAAGACAACGUAAUGGGUUAUGUUUUCUUAUAUCUGAGAUAAAGUAUAUUGUCAUGGAUCAUCCAACAUGUUGAGCUUGCCUUUCCCCCUCAUGCUAGCCAAAUUCUUUGCACUAAGUAGAGAUACUACUUGUUCUUCCAAAUAUCCUUAAACCCAGUUUUGCCAUGAGAGUCCACCAUAUCUACCUAUGGAUUGAGUAAGAUCCUUCAAGUAAGUUGUCAUCGGUGCAAGCAAUAAAAAUUGCUCUCUAAAUAUGUAUGACUUAUUAGUGUGGGAGAAAAUAAGCUUUAUACGAUCUUGUGAUGUGGAAGAAAUAAAAGCGACGAACUGCAUAAUAAAGGUCCACAUCACAAGUGGCAAUAUAAAGUGACAUUCUUUUGCAUUAAGAUUUCGUGCAUCCAACCAUGAAAGCGCAUGACAACCUCUGCUUCCCUCUACAAAGGGCCUAUCUUUUACUUUUAUCUCUUACCCUUAUGCAAGAGUCAUGGUGAUCUUCACCUUUCCUCUUUUUCAUUUUAUCCUUUGGAAAGCACAGUGUGUUGGAAAGAUCCUGAUAUAUAUCCAAUUGGAUGUAAGUUAGCAUGAACUAUUAUUGUUGACAUUACCCUUGAGGUAAAAGGUUGGGAGGCGAAACUAUAAGCCCCUAUCUUUCUUUGUGUCCGAUUAAAACUCUGUAACCACAAGUAUUGCGUGAGUGUUAGCAAUUGUGAAAGACUAAAUGAUAGUUGAGUAUGUGGACUUGCUGAAAAGCUCUGACAUAGACUCUUUCUGAUGUUAUGAUAAAUUGCAAUUGCUUCAAUGACUGAGAUUAUAGUUUGUUAGUUCUUAAUGAAGUUUCCGAUUCAUACUUGACAUUGUGAAUAGAUUAUUACUUGAGCACAAGAAAUCAUAUGACAAUAUUCAUAUAUGUUGCUGUUAUAAGAAUAAUCAUGAUGCCCUCAUGUCCGUAUUUUAUUUUAUCGACACCUCUACCUCUAAACAUGUGGACAUAUUUAUCGUUAUCGGCUUCCGCUUGAGGACAAGCGAGGUCUAAGCUUGGGGAGUUGAUACGUCCAUUUUGCAUCAUGCUUUUCUAUCGAUAUUUAUUGCAUUAUGGGUUGUUAUUACACAUUAUGUCACAAUACUUAUGUCUAUUCUCUCUUAUUUUACAAGGUUUAUAUGAAGAGGGAGAAUACCGGUAGCUGGAAUUCUGGGCUGGAAAAGGAGCAAAUAUUAGAGACCUAUUCUGCACAACUCCAAAAGUCCUGAAACUCCACGGAAGUUAUUUUUAGAAUAUAUAAAAAAUAUUGAGCAGAAGAAAUACCAGAGGGAGGCCACCCACCAGGCACGAGGGUGGGGGGCACGCCCCCUGCCUCGUGGGCCCCCUGGUGGCCCUCCGGUGGCCAUCUUCUGCUAUAUGAAGUCUUUCGUCCGAAGAAAAAUAAUAAGCAAGCUUUCGGGACGAGACUCCGCCGGCACGAGGCGGAACCUUGGCGGUACCAAUGUAGGGCUCUGGGGGAGCUAUUCUGCCGGGGACACUUCCCUCCGGGAGGGGGAAAUCAUCGCCAUCGUCAUCACCAACGCUCCUCUCAUCGGGAGGGGGCAAUCUCCAUCAACAUCUUCACCAGCACCAUCUCCUCUCAAACCCUAGUUCAUCUCUUGUAUCCAAUUAUUGUCUCUAAGUCUGGGAUUGGUACCUGCAGGUUGCUAGUAGUGUUGAUUACUCCUUGUAGUUGAUGCUAGUUGGUUUAUUUGGUGGAAGAUCAUAUGUUCAGAUCCUUUAUGCAUAUUAAUACUCCUUUGAUUAUGAACAUGAAUAUGCUUUGUGAGUAGUUACGUUUGUUCCUGAGGACAUGGGAGAAGUCUUGCUAUUAGUAGUCAUGUGAAUUUGGUAUUCGUUCGAUAUUUUGAUGAGAUGUAUGUUGUCCCUCCUCUAGUGGUGUCAUGUGAAUGUCGACUACAUGACACUUCACCAUUAUUUGGGCCUAGAGGAAGGCAUUGGGAAGUAAUAAGUAGAUGAUGGGUUGUUAGAGUGACAGAAGCUUAAACCCUAGUUUAUGCGUUGCUUCGUAAGGGGCUGAUUUGGAUCCAUAUGUUUCAUGCUAUUGUUAGGUUUACCUUAAUACUUCUUUUAUAGUUGUGGAUGCUUGCAAUAGGAGUUAAUCAUAAGUGGGAUGUUUGUCCAAGUAAGGACAUCACCCAAGCACCGGUCCACCCACAUAUCAAAUUAUCAAAGUACCAAACGCGAAUCAUAUGAACGUGAUGAAAACUAGCUUGACAAUAAUUCCCAUGUGUCCUCAGGAGCGCUUUUCUCUAUAUAAGAGUUUGUCCAGGCUUGUCCUUUGCUACAAAAAGGAUUGGGCCACCUUGCUGCACUUUAUUUACUUUUGUUACUUAUUGCUCGUUACAAAUUAUCUUAUCACAAAACUAUUUGUUACCUAUAAUUUAAGUGCUUGUAGAGAAUACCUUGCUGAAAACCGCUUAUCAUUUCCUUUUGCUCCUCGUUGGGUUCGACACUCUUACUUAUCAAAAGGACUACGAUAGAUCCCCUAUAAUUGUGGGUCAUCGAGCCUCUCCGAUGAUGUGUGAGUAGUUUAUCUCAGACCUUUGGGUCCAUAGUUAUUAGCUAGAUGGCUUCUUCUCUCUCUUUGGAUCUCAAUACAAAGUUCCCCUCGAUUCUCUAUUUGAUGUAACUCUUCUUUUGCGGUGUGUCUGUCGAGACCGAUGAAUUAUGGGUUUAUGAUCAAGAUUAUCUAUGAACAAUAUUUGAAUCUUCUCUGAAUUCUUUUAUGUAUGAUUGGUUAUCUUUGCAAGUCUCUUCGAAUUAUCAGUUUGGUUUGGCCUACUAGAUUUAUCUUUCUUGCAAUGGGAGAAGUGCUUAGCUUUGGGUUCAAUCUUGCGGUGCUCGAUCCCAGUGAUAGUAGGGGAAACGACACGUAUUGUAUUGUUUCCAUCGAGGAUAAAAAGUUGGAGUUUAUAUCAUAUUGCAUGAGUUUAUCCCUCUACAUCAUGUCAUCUUGCACAAAGCGUUACUCCGUUCUUAUGAACUUAAUACUCUAGAUGCAUGCUGGAUAGCGGUCGAUGUGUGGAGUAAUAGUAGUAGAUACAGGCAGGAGUCAGUCUACUUGUCACGGACGUGAUGCCUAUAUACAUGAUCAUACCUAGAUAUUCUCAUAACUAUGCACAAUUCUAUCAAUUGCUCGACAGUAAUUUGUUCACCCACCGUAAUACUUAUGCUAUCUUGAGAGAAGCCACUAGUGAAACCUAUGGCCCCCGGGUCUAUUUUCCAUCAUAUUAAUCUUUCUUCAACAAGCUAUUUCUAUCUUUAUUUACCUUGCAAUCUUUACUUUUACUCUUUAUCAUAAAAAUACCAAAAAUAUUAUCUUAUCAUCUCUAUCAGAUCUCACUCUCCUAAGUGACCGUGAAGGGAUUGACAACCCCUUUAUCGCGUUGGUUGCGAGGUUCUUAUUUGUUUGUGUAGGUGCGUGGGAUCGCGCGUGGCCUCCUACUGGAUUGAUACCUUGGUUCUCAAAAACUGAGGGAAAUACUUACGCUACUUUACUGCAUCACCCUUUCCUCUUCAAGAGAAAACCAACGCAGUGCUCAAGAGGUAGCAAGAAGGAUUUCUGGCGCCGUUGCCGGGGAGGUUUACGGCAAGUCAAGUCAAGAUUUGAGCUCCCGUCAACGAGCCAUUUCUGGCGCCGUUGCCGGGGAGUCUACGCACAAGUCAAGAAAUUCCAAGUACCCAUCACAAACUCUUAUCCCUCGCAUUACAUUAUUUGCCAUUUGCCUCUCGUUUUCCUCUCCCCCACUUCACCUUGCUGUUUUAUUCGCCCUCUCUUUCCGUUCGCCCUCUUUUUCCGUUCGCCACUUUUUCGCUUGCUUCUUGUUUGCUCGUGUGUUGGAUUGCUUGUUUGUCACGAUGGCUCAAGAUAAUACUAAAUUGUGUGACUUUGCCAAUACCAACAAUAAUGAUUUUCUUAGCACACCGAUUGCUCUUCUUACCGAUGCUGAAUCUUGUGAAAUUAAUGCUGCCUUGCUGAAUCUUGUCAUGACAGAUCAAUUCGCCGGCCUUCCUAGUGAAGAUGCCACUACCCAUCUAAAUAGCUUUGUUGAUUUGUGUGAUAUGCAAAAGAAAAAAGAUGUGGAUAAUGAUAUUGUUAAAUUGAAGCUAUUUCUGUUUUCUCUUAGAGAUCGCGCUAAAACUUGGUUUUCGUCUUUGCCUAAAAAUAGUAUUGAUUCUUGGAAUAAGUGCAAAGAUGCUUUUAUCUCUAAGUAUUUUCCUCCCACUAAAAUCAUCUCCGUUAGAAACGAUAUUAUGAAUUUUAAGCAACUUGACCAUGAACAUGUUGCACAAGCUUGGGAGAGGAUGAAAUUAAUGAUACAUAAUUGCCCUACUCAUGGUUUGAAUUUAUGGAUGAUUAUACAAAAAAUUUAUGCCGGAUUGAAUUUUGCUUCUAGAAAUCUUUUAGAUUUGGCCACGGGAGGCACUUUUAUGGAAAUCACCUUAGGAGAAGCUACUAAACUCCUAGAUAAUAUUAUGGUUACUUAUUCUCAAUGGCAUACCGAAAGAUCUACUAGUAAAAAAGUGCAUGCAAUAGAAAAAAUUAAUGUUUUGAGUGGAAAGAUGGAUGAACUUAUGAAAUUGUUUGCUAAUAAGAGUGUUUCUUCUGAUCCCAAUGAUAUGCCUUUGUCUACUUUGAUUGAGAAUAAUAAUGAAUCUAUGGAUGUGAAUUUUGUUGGUAGGAAUAAUUUUGGUAACAACGCUUAUAGAGGAAACUUUAAUCCUAGGCCGUAUCCUAGUAAUUCCUCCGAUAAUUAUGGUAAUUCCUACAACAAUUCUUAUGGAAAUUUUAAUAAGUUGCCCUCUGAUUUUGAGACUAGUGUUAAAGAAUUUAUGAAUUCGCAAAAGAAUUUCAAUGCCUUGCUUGAAGAAAAAUUGCCUAAGAUUGAUGAAUUGGCUAGGAACGUGGAUAGAAUUUCUCUUGAUGUUGAUUCUUUGAAACUUAGAUCUAUCCCACCUAAGCAUGAUAUCAAUAAGUCUCUCAAAGUUAUGAGAAUUUCCAUUGAUGAGUGCAAAGAAAGAACCGCGAGGAUGCGUGCUAAGAAAGAUUGCUUUGUAAAAGCGUGUUCUUCUAGUUUUUAUGAGAAUAAAGAUGAAGAUCUAAAAGUUAUUGAUGUGUCUCCCAUUAAAUCUUUGUUUUGCAAUAUGAAUCUUGAUAAUUAUGAGUCAACUUUAGUUAGAAGGCGUCCCAAAAAUUCAGAGUUUUUAGAUCUUGAUGCAAAAAUUAGUAAAAGUGGGAUUGAAGAGGUCAAAACUUUAGAUACCAAUGAACCCAAUAUCUUGGAUUUCAAGGAAUUUAAUUAUGAUAAUUUCUCUUUGAUAGAUUGUAUAAAGGAGCAAGGGGGGAGGCCGGUCGGCCCUUGGGGCGCGCCAGGAGAGGAGGAGUCCUCCUCCUAGUAGGAGUAGGACUCCCCUUUGCUACUCCUACUAGGAGGGGGAAAGGAAGGAGGAAAGGGAGAAGGAAAGGGGGGCGCCGCCCCCCCUUUCCUAGUCCAAUUCGGGCCAGAGGGGGAGGGGGCGCGUGGCCUGCCCUGGCCGGCCCUCUCUCUCUCCACUAAGGCCCAUGUGGCCCAUUAGUUCUCCCGGGGGGGGGGGUUCCGGUAACCCUCCGGCACUCCGGUUUUCUCUGAAAUCACCCGAAACACUUCCGGUGUCCGAAUAUAGCCGUCCAAUAUAUCAUCUUUAUGUUUCGAUCAUUUCGAGACUCCUCGUCAUGUCCGUGAUCACAUCCGGGACUCUGAACUAUCUUCGGUACAUCAAAACACAUAAACUCAUAAUACCGAUCGUCACCGAACGUUAAGCGUGCGGACCCUACGGGUUCGAGAACUAUGUAGACAUGACCGAGACACAUCUCUGGUCAAUAACCAAUAGCGGAACCUAGAUAUUCAUAUUGGCUCCCACAUAUUCUACGAAGAUCUUUAUCGGUCAAACCGCAUAACAACAUACGUUGUUCCCUUUGUCAUCGGUAUGUUACUUGCCCGAGAUUCGAUCGUUGGUAUCUCAAUACCUAGUUCAAUCUCGUUACCGGCAAGUCUCUUUACUCGUUCCGUAAUGCAUCAUCCCACAACUACCUCAUUAGUCACAUUGCUUGCAAGGCUUAUAGUGAUGUGCAUUACCGAGAGGGCCCAGAGAUACCUCUCCGGCAAUCAGAGUGACAAAUCCUAAUCUUGAUCUAUGCCAACUCAACAAGUACCAUCGGAGACACCUGUAGAGCACCUUUAUAAUCACCCAGUUACGUUGUGAUGUUUGGUAGCACACAAAGUGUUCCUCUGGUAUUCAGGAGUUGCAUAAUCUCAUAGUCAUAGGAACAUGUAUAAGUCAUGAAGAAAACAAUAGCAAUAUACUAAACGAUCAAGUGCUAAGCUAACGGAAUGGGUCAAGUCAAUCACAUCAUUCUCUAAUGAUGUGAUCCCGUUAAUCAAAUGACAACUCAUGUCUAUGGCUAGGAAACUUAACCAUCUUUGAUUCAACGAGCUAGUCAAGUAGAGGCAUACUAGUGACACUCUGUUUAUCUAUGUAUUCACACAUGUACUAAGUUUCCGGUUAAUAUAAUUCUAGCAUGAAUAAUAAACAUUUAUCAUGAUAUAAGGAAAUAUAAAUAACAACUUUAUUAUUGCCUCUAGGGCAUACUUCCUUCACUAUGAUGUCUCCUACUGAUUUACCGCUAUCGUUUUGGGGUUAUGCUUUAGAGAUAGUUGCAUUCAUAUUAAAUAAGACACCAUCUAAAUCCGUUGGGACGACAUCAUAUGAACUGUGGUUUGGCAAGAAACCCAAGUUGUCAUUUCUUAAAAUUUGGGGCUGUGAUGCUUAUGUGAAAAAGCUUCAACCUGAUAAGCUCGAACCCAAACCGGAGAAAUGUGUCUUCAUAGGAUACCCAAAGGAGACUGUUGGGUACACCUUCUAUCACAGAUCCGAAGGAAAGAUAUUUGUUGCUAAGAAUGGAUCCUUUCUAGAGAAGGAGUUCCUCUCGAAAGAAGUGAGUGGGAGGAAAAUAGAACUUGAUUAGGUAAUUGUACCUUCUCCCGAAUAGGAAAGUAGUUCAUCACAGAAAUCAGUUCCAGUGAUUCCUACACAAAUUAGUGAGAAAGCUAAUGAUGAUGAUCAUGAAACUUCUGAUCAAGUUACUACCGAACCUCGUAGGUCAACCAGAGUAAGAUCCGCACAAGAGUGGUAUGGUAAUCCUAUUCUGGAGGACAUGUUACUUGACCAUGACGAACCUAUGAACUAUGAGGAAGCGAUGAUGAGCCCAGAUUCCGCGAAAUGGCUUGAGGCCAUGAAAUCUGAGAUGGGAUCAAUGUAUGAGAACAAAGUGUGGACUUUGGUUGACUUGCCCGAUGAUCGGCAAGCCAUAGAGAAUUAAUGGAUCUUCAAGAAGAAGACUGACGCUGACGGUAAUGUUACUAUCUACAAAGCUUGACUUGUUGCGAAAGGUUUUCGACAAGUUCAAGGAGUUGACUACGAUGAGACCUUCUCACCCAUAGCGAUGCUUAAGUCUGUCCGAAUCAUGUUAGCAAUUGCCGCAUUUUAUGAUUAUGAAAUUUGGCAAAUGGAUGUCAAAACUGCAUUCCUCAAUGGAUAUCUUAAAGAAGAGUUGUAUAUGAUGCAACCAGAAGGUUUUGUCGAUCCGAAAGGUGCUGACAAAGUGUGCAAGCUCCAGCGAUCCAUUUAUGGACUGGUGCAAGCCUCUCGGGGUUGGAAUAUACGUUUUGAUAGUGUGAUCAAAGCAUAUGGUUUUAUACAGACUUUUGGAGAAACCUGUAUUUACAAGAAAGUGAGUGGGAGCUCUGUAGCAUUUCUGAUAUUAUAUGUGGAUGACGUUGUUGAUCGGAAAUGAUACUAAAUUUUUGAAUAGCAUAAAAGGAUACUUGAAUAAGAAUUUUUCAAUGAAAGACCUUGGUGAAGCUACUUAUAUAUUGGCAUCAAGAUCUAUAGAGAUAGAUCAAGAUGCUUAAUUGGACUUUCACAAAGCACAUACCUUGAUAAAGUUUUGAAGAAGUUCAAAAUGGAUCAGUCAAAGAAAGGGUUCUUGCCUGUGUUACAAGGUGUGAAGUUGAGUCAGACUCAAUGCCCGACCACUGCAGAAGAUAGAGAGAAAAUGAAAGUCAUUCCCUAUGCCCCAGCCAUAGGUUUUAUCAUGUAUGCAAUGCUGUGUACCAGACCUGAUGUGUGUCUUGCUAUUAGUUUAGCGGGGAGGUACCAAAGUAAUCCAGGAGUGGAUCACUGGACAGCGGUCAAGAACAUCCUGAAAUACCUGAAAAGAACUAAGGAUAUGUUUCUUGUUUAUGGAGGUGACAAAGAGCUCGUCGUAAACGGUUACGUCGAUGCAAGCUUUGACACUGAUUUGGAUGACUCUAAGUCACAAACUGGAUACAUAUUUAUAUUGAAUGGUGGAGCUGUCAGUUGGUGCAGUUCCAAGCAGAGCGUCGUGACGGGAUCUACGUGUGAAGCAGAGUACAUAGCUGCUUCAGAAGCAGCGAAUGAAGGAGUCUGGAUGAAGGAGUUCAUAUCCGAUCCAGGUGUCAUACCUAGUGCAUCGGGUCCAAUGAAAAUCUUUUGUGACAAUACUAGAGCAAUUGCCUUGGCGAAGGAAUCCAGAUUUCACAAGAGAACCAAACACAUCAAGAGACGCUUCAAUUCCAUCCGCGAUCAAGGCAAGGAGGGAGACAUAGAGAUUUACAAGAUACAUACGGAUCUGGAUGUUGCAGACCCGUUGACUAAGCCUCUCUCACGAGCAAAACAUGAUCAUCAUCAAGACUCCAUGGUUGUUAGAAUCAUUACUAUGUAAUCUAGAUUAUUGACUCUAGUGCAAGUGGGAGACUGAAGGAAAUAUGCCCUAGAGGCAAUAAUAAAAUUGUUUUUUAUAUUUCCUUAUAUCAUGAUAAAUGUUUAUUAUUCAUGCUAGAAUUGUAUUAACCGGAAACUUAGUACAUGUGUGAAUACAUAGACAAACAGAGUGUCCCUAGUAUGCAUCUACUAGACUAGCUCGUUAAUCAAAGAUGGUUAAGUUUCCUGACCAUAGACAUGUGUUGUCAUUUGAUGAACGGGAUCACAUCGUUAGAGAAUGAUGUGACGGACAAGACCCAUCCGUUAAGUUAGCAUAAUUAAUGAUCAUUUAGUUUUAUUGCUAUUGCUUUCUUCAUGACUUAUACAUGUUCCUCUGACUAUGAGAUUAUGCAACCCCCGAAUACCGGAGGAACACCUUGUGUGCUAUCAAACGUCACAACGUAACUGGGUGAUUAUAAAGAUGCUCUACAGGUGUCUUCGAUGGUGUUUGUUGAGUUGGCAUAGAUCGAGAUUAGGAUUUGGCACUCCGUGUAUCGGAUAGGUAUCUCUGGGCCCUCUCGGUAAUGCACAUCACUAUGAGCCUUGCAAGCAAUGUGACUAAUGAGUUAGUCACGGGAUGAUGCAUUACGAAAUGAGUAAAGAGACUUGCCGGUAACAAGAUUGAACUAGGUAUGGUGAUACCGACAAUCGAAUCUCGGGCAAGUAACAUAUCGAUGAGAAAGGGAACAACGUAUGUUGUUAUGUGGUUUGACCGAUAAAGAUCUUCAUGGAAUAUGUAGGAGCCAAUAUGAGCAUCCAGGUUCCGCUAUUGGUUAUUGACCAGAGAUGUGUCUCGGUCAUGUCUACAUAGUUCUCGAACCCGUAGGGUCCGCACGCUUAACGUUCGAUGACGAUUUGUAUUAUGAGUUAUGUGAUUUGAUAACCGAAGUUUGUUCGGAGUCCCGGAUGAGAUCACGGACAUGACGAGGAGUCUCGAAAUGGUCGAGACAUAAAGAAUGAUAUAUUGGACGAUGUUAUUCGGACAGCGGGUGAGUUCCGAGAGGUACCGGGUAAUUAUCGGAGUGCCGGAGGGUUAUCGGAACCCCCCGGGGGAACUAAUGGGCCAUGAUGGGCCUUAGUGGGGAGAGAGAAGGGCCACAAGGGGGCUGGCCGCGCCCCCCCUUGGGUCCGAAUUGGACUAGGGGAAGAGGGCGGCGCCCCCCUUUCCUUCCCUUCUCCCUCUCCCUUCCUUCUUCCCCUUCCUCCCGGUGGAAUCCUACUAGGACUUGGAGUCCUAGUACGACUCCUCUCUCCUAGCGCGCCUUACAGGGGCCGGCCGGCCUCCCCCUCCCUUCCUUUAUAUACGGGGGCAGGGGGGCACCCUAGAACACACACGAUCAAUUGUCUUAGCCGUGUGCGGUGCCCCCCUCCACAGUUUACCACCUCGAUCAUAUCGUCGUAGUGCUUAGGCGAAGCCCUGCGCUGUAACUUCAUCAUCAUCGUCGCCAUGCCGUCGUGCUGACGGAACUCUCCCUCGUCCUCAACUAGAUCAAGAGCUCGAGGGACGUCAUCAUGUUGAACAUGUGCUAAACACGGAGGUGCCGUACGUUCGGUGCUAGGAUCGGUUGGAUCGCGAAGACGUUCGACUACAUCAACCGCGUUACUAACGUUUCUGUCGUGGAAUUAUCAUGGCAGAUGUCCUAGCGAAAGGACUUAGUCGUGGAGCCAUCGCAAGUAGGAAGCAAGAAGGGGUUAAUCGGGACAAAGGACACGGGGUUAUACUGGUUCGGCCCCUUAUGGUGAAGGUAAAAGCCUACGAUCCAGUUUUGAGUGGGAUUGCUUAUGUCUCGAUAACCAGGGAGCGAAUCCGCUUGACCUAGCUCUCGAUUUUAUGUUAUUUGCCCUGAACUGCCGCCAGGUCGUCCCUUUAUAUACAGAGGUCGACGCCCAGUGGCUCAUAGAGCCCCGGCCAGCUCAUAGACAGUGUCCGUCUUGGUUUCUCUCUAUUCCUGCCUUAUAAUACAAGUUACACACAUAUGGCGGUUUAUCUCUACGGGCCUUAAGUCACCCUUUGGACCUUGAGCCCUUAACUAACCCGUCAUCUCCAGGAGUCGUCUUGGGCUUCAUGAGUCGUCUUAAGUAUGACCCGGCACCUCCUGGCGGGUCAUACUAAUAAUUAUAUCCCCAAAAUUAGGCCCCAGAUUGAUUUGAACUGGUUCAUGUCAAUCUUCAACACCUUAGGAAAAAUCUUCUGCUCUCUAUCGCACGGAAAUUUGUAACCCGCCAUGACGUCAUCUUCUGGAUUUGCAAUAACCCGCCAUGACGUCAUCUAUCAUUAAUUCAUAUUUUAUCCAAUAUAUCUCAACGGAUCCUUAUCUUUAAUAACCAUCCCGAGAAUCGAGGCAUCCUGACAAGCUGGAUACCCAUAAUUUUCGGCCUCCUCGUUUUUUGCGCCCACUUAUCAGUCUUUCCCUUAUAAAUAGGCACGACUGGUCUUUCUUCAUUCUCCCCCUUUCCAUCAUCUUCUUCCUCUCGCGACCCUACUGCUGCUCGAGCUUCGCCGCCGCCGCAACGCACUUCGUCUUCCUCGACCCCGGCCGCUGCAUCAACCUGAGCUUGUCCAGAGAACGGCGGCGACCCUCCGCAGUAGAUCUGCGUCCGUAAGUCUCUGCUUUUCCGCACCUUAGAUCCACAUUAGGGUUUGCGAAUUCUUCUGUGUUCUUCGCUAUUCAUCACGGAUUCUUCGUAGUUUCUCGACCGCAUCCUCUUUUGAUCUAAAAGAGGCACGACUUAGAGGCAUAACCGCAUUGUGGUUUUAUCGCAAGAAGGGUCAUCUUCACACAAUCCCAUGUAAUGAACUAGAAUGGGAUAAAGAGUUGGCUUACAAUCGCCACUUCACACAAUACAUAAAUAAAUCAUACAUCAAUCAGAGUACACACAUAGGUCCGACUACAGAACCAAAAGAAAAGAAGACAACCCCAAAUGCUAGAUCCCCAAUCGUCCCAACUGGGCUCCACUACUGAUCAUCAGGAAAUGAAACAUAGUAACGACCACGUUCCUCGUCGAACUCCCGUUAGAGCUCGGUAGCAUCACCUGCACUGGUAUCAUCGACACCUACAACUGUUGGAAGUAUCUGGUGAGUCACGAGGACUCAGCAAUCUCACACCCGCGAGAUCAAGACUAUUUAAGCUUAUGGGUAGGAAAGGGGUAAUGUGGUGGAGCUGCAGCAAGCACUAGCAUGUAUGGUGGCUAACAUAUGCAAAUAAGAGCGAGAAGAGGAGCAACGGAACGGUCGUCAACUAGUAAUGAUCAAGAAGUGAUCCUGAACUCCUACUUACGUCAAACAUAACCCAAAAACCGUGUUCACUUCCCGGACUCUGCCGAGAAGAGACUAUCACGGCUACACACGCGGUUGAUGCGUUUCAAUUAAGUCGAGUAUCAAGUUCUCAACAACCGGAUAUUAACAAAUUCCCAUCUGCCACGUAACCGCGGGCACGGCUCUCAAAAGUUUAUACCCUGCAGGGGAGUCCCAACUUAGCCCAUUAUAAGCUCUCGCGGUCAACGAAGGGUAUUCCUUCUCCCGGGAAGACCUGAUCAGUCUCGGAAUCCCGAUUUACAAGACAUUUCGACAAUGGUAAAACAAGACUAGCAAAGCCGCCCGAUGUGCCGACAAAUCCCGAUAGGGGCUGCACAUAUCUCGUUCUCAGGGCAACACCGGAUGAGACUAGCUACGAGUAAAACCAGCCCUCAAGUUUCCCCAAGCUGGCCCCGCAGGGAGCUCGGUUCGGACCAACACUCGAAGGAGCACUGGCCCGGGGGGUCUAAAAUAAAGAUGACCCUUGAGUCUGCAGAACCCAAGGGAAAAGGGGAUAGGUGGUAGCAAAUGGUAAAACCAAGGUUGGGCCUUGCUGGAGGAGUUUUAUUCAAAGCGAACUGUCAAGGGGGUCCCAUAAAUCACCCAACCGCGUAAGGAACGCAAAAUCAAGGAACAUAACACCGGUAUGACGGAAACUAGGGCGGCAAGAGUGGAACAAAACACCAGGCAUAAGGCCGAGCCUUCCACCCUUUACCAAGUAUAUAGAUGCAUUAAUUAAAAUAAGAUAUAUCGUGAUAUCCCAACAAUAUCCAUGUCCCAACAUGGAACAAACUUCAUCUUCACCUGCAACUAGCAACGCUAUAAGAGGGCUGAGCAAAAGCGGUAACAUAGCCAAACAACGGUUUGCUAGGAAAGGUGGGUUAGAGGCUUGACAUGGCAAUAUGGGAGGCAUGAUAUAGCAAGUGGUAGGUAGCACGACAUAGCAUUAGAGCGAAACAACUAGCAAGCAAGGAUAGAAGUGAUUUCGAGGGUAUGGUCAUCUUGCAUGAAAUCCCGCAAGGAAGAAGAACGAAUCCAUGAAGAAGACAAACGGACGAAGUCGAACAAAUCCUCACAAACGCGACGUUAUGUAACUAACCCGAAGAGGCAACACCGGAAAGAAGCAAACAACAUGGUAAACAACCAUCACAGAAACAUGGCAUGAUGCACAAUCAAGUAUGAUGCAUGUCCGGUUUAAAGAGGCAUGGCAUGGCAAAGUGCACAAACAAAACUACAAGUUAAGUGGAGCUCAAUAUGCAACGAGUUGCAUAUUGACGAAACACCACAUCAAUUGUUUAGUUCUCUCUCGGUUAUGUACCCAAAAAUAUUAAAUGUUGACUAACAUGGCAAGAGGUGAAGCAUAAGUAAACUAACUAUUUAGGCAAGUUUAAAUGAGGCCGGAACAACAAACAACAAUUUCGGAAAAUCCUCAUGUCCAUAUUUUAGAUUUGGUACUGUUCUGCCUAAAACCAUAUUUUAUUGUUGUUAAACAGUAAAACAAGGUGCACCAUGUUAAUCUAUGCAUUUUCCUACCCCAUUUACAUAUCAAGUUUAUUUAUAAUGGAGCUACGGUUAUUUAGUUAUGAAAUAAAUCAUUUUAACAUGGCAUUCGAGCAAAUUUAAACAAACAGCAUUUUAAGCAUUUUAAACAUGGAUGAGAGUGGCAUAUUAUGAAACUAGAUGAAAUUCUGAGCAUUUUACAUGUUUACAUCAUUUUAAUCCGAUGCACGGUUAAAGAGUUAUUAUAUGCAUGAUGUUUGAGGGGUUUUCUGUAAAACAGUAAAUCCUGGGAUAAUUGAUUAAAUCCGUCCAGAGGAAAAAAACACUAUACGGGCCGAAACUGCUGGGCGGCUAGGCUGCUCACCAUGGGCCAAGGCCCAGGCGGUGGAGAGGUAGGCCGAGACGGACUGGGCCGCGCGGGGACGUGGCUGGCGACGCGGGACGAGCGGAAGCAGAGGAGUGGUCAACGCGGCUGCGCGACUGCAGCCUCCUCCUCUCGAACAGAGGCAGGAGCGGGACUUGGCGGCGCCACACGACGACGGGCGCGGGACAGGUCGAUCCGGGGCGGCAACUCCAGAUCCAGGCGCGAGGAAGGCCGCCGGUGGCUUGGGCUUCAGGCUCCUGUCCAUGGGCAUGAAAGAGAGAGAGAGAGAUGUGAGGAACAGAGGGAAGCACGGGGAGGAAGGGAGAGACAGGGGAGGAGAGGAGCGGGAUGAAGCCGGUCCUUGCCGUGGUCGACGGAGGGCGAGGUCGCCAGCAGCAGGUCGAGCUCCUGUUUGAGGAAGGAGGCGCGCGAGGUGGAGCUUCGGCACGGGAGUUCGAGGCAGCGGGGUCGACGUGCUCGGGAACGAGGGCGCCACGGGAGGAGCACGAGAGGAGCUCGGGGUAGGAGGCGCGCUGGAGCAAGGGCUGGAGGGCUCCUGGUGCUCCGGUGGCUUGGCGUUCGAUUUGGAGCAGGGAAGCAGAGGCGGGGCGAGGGACUUGGCGCAGCGACGGGAAGAUGGAGGUCGUCGGCGGCACUUGGCGGCGGGGACGGCUGGAGGCGGAGUGAAGGAGGUCCGAUGGAGGAGGCGAUGGUGGCGUCCUCAUGGUGCUGGUUCGGUGGCGUCGGUGUUCCUGUGAAGCAGAGAGAGAGACAGACAGACUAGGUGAGCCGCGGGAAGAAGAGCGAUGACGAAGGAGAAAGAAAGAGGAGGGUAGGGAGGAGAAGGAAGCAAAGGCAGUGCAGGGCACUCAUCUUCUCGCCGGGGACUCGCCGGAGCGGCGAGGCAAGGUCGGGGCCGAUAGGGAGGCGGCGCCGCGGAGCUGCUAGUGGCGGAGGAGCUCGGGCAUGAGCUCUUGUUCGAUCCAACCGAGAGGAGGACAAGCAGGGACGAGGUGCCUGAGGGGAAGCUUCGGGGCUGGUUCUGGUUGGUGGGAUUGGAUCGGGGGGAAUGAGGAGAUCCCGAGGAAGAAAGGGAGGUGGGUGGCGGCGGCUCGGGAAUAGGUGGAUGGAUGGGACAGUAUCCCUAGUUUUUAGGGUUAGAGUAGACUGAUUAUAUAGCAGUUGGAUUUUUGGGUAUGUGCUAAUUCGGUCCCUCCGAUUAAAAUUGAGCGGUCGAGAAAAAUAGGCUAGGAAGUCCAAAUAAGAAAACGGAGAUGUUUAAUAGAUGUUAGGGGAUGAUCCGGACCCAACGGUAACGAUGGUCCGGUUCGGGUUCGGGGAAGUUUUCGGACACGGGCGAGGGGUCGAUGCACUGUGCAGAGAGGUUGAAAUGGUCGGACAACAAAAGAACGAUUGGUCUUGAGAAAGGUCAACAGAGACGAGGAAGAAGCGGCAACUAUCAACGGGUGCAAGUUUUUUGAAAACAUGCGAUGCGAUGCUCAUGAUGACAUGAUGAAUGCAACAAACAAAAUAAAACACACGGCGAACACGAAAUAUAUGGAAGGCGUCUGGAGCAUCGGUCUCGGGGCGUUAUGACACUCCACCACUACAAGAGGAUCUCGUCCCGAGAUCUAGGAUGGCACCGGAGAGAAACGGAAGAGGAAGAGGUAAAACUAAGUUGCUUCUUUGACAAAAGAGUGAAACCAAAGAACCUUGAGAGAUUGAACGAACGAAAAGAGAGAAUACAAGGGAGAUGAACGAGAUUGAAAACACUCCGUUAUCAAAGAGGAACAAGGAACAUUGCGAGAACCUUUGUAGGUUGAAGAAUAUGAAACAAGAGCUUAACGGAUCAAAAGGAAUAUGAAAGCACAUCGGUAGAAAAGAGAAACAAGGAACACCAUGUGAACCUUGGGGUUUGCAAAGCUAUGAAUGACGAGAACAAUGGACGAGAAGUACAUGCAAGCACUCCGGUUGAAACGAGAUGUACAAGGAACGAUAAUGAUCAAUUACGAUAGCGCUCCGGUUGGAAAUGAAAAGAAUAGAAUUUGAACUUGGCAAAAUGAAAGCACUUGGAUGAGACUCCGGUUAGAAGAGGAAUGAUAGACACAACACUCCGGUUAAAACAAGAUAAAGAAGGAAUAAGAAUGAUAUAAUUUGGGCAGCACUCCGACUAUAAAUGGAAGGAAUUGAACAUGAUCUUGACAAGAUGAGAGGAUACUCGAUGAAAUCGACAACACACUGCCUCCGGAACUAAUGAAAGAAUGGCACAAGGGGUAAGAAAGAUUUCAGACAGUCCUCCGGUUGAGGAAGGAGAAAAAACUUGAAAAGAGGGCACGACACUCCGGUUGGAAAUGGAUAAGCACGAAAAGAACACGGUCCCCACAAUUCGAGAUGAUGAGCGAAGAGAGAAACAUCACCAUGCCUCCGGAAACAAUGCAUGAUAGUUAGAUAGUUGGAGUGAAUAGAACGAAGAAUGAAACCAACAUCUCCUACCAUAAAUGAAUUUUAAAGAGCAUCCUUACGAAGUAGGAUUGAACGGAGUUGUUGGAAAACCAACAACGAAAAGAAUAAGCUUGUAGUGGGCUUAUGGAAACAUCUCAAAAUUAUGAGGUGACAACCCGCCACUAACGGAAACAAUUGCUUGCUAGAGAUCAACGAAGAGAUGAAAACUUCUCUCGCCGAGAGGAUAGGAGAAAACUUGGAUCAUUGAUAGACACCACAAUUAGCAACAUUCCUUCGAGAAGGCUUUAAUUGAAAUCUAUACCAAGAUAACUCCAACAAAGAGAUUAUUAUGGGUUGAAACAACUCUUUGACGAAGAAAAUAUGAUGGGUUUAAAUAUCUCAUUCUUGACAACUUGUGAAUCAUGAAACAUGAAGAAAAUUAUCAAGAAUGACAUAACACCACCUCAAAAGAUAAGAGAGAAAGAAUUGCACUUCGGAAUGCAAUAUGAAGAAUGCUUGAACUCCUCAAAACAACACAUGUGUUGAACACCAUGUUUAUUUUGGAGUAAGCUUGACGGAUCAUAACUUUGAGAGAAAUCUUGAAGAACAAUUGAAGAAUGAAAAGAAUCUUUGAUGAACCACCAUGUAGAGCCUCCAUGAAGAACUCCGGUAAUGAAAGGAUGAUAAAAAGAAAGAGAAGUUAAAAACACAAGGUGAAGCCUUGCAAUGAUUUAGAUGGAGCUUCGCGACGAUAUAAUCGAUAAAACUUGGAACUCCGGAAAGAAAAGAUGAACAACUUGGAAACGAGAAUUUGAUAUCAUGAACGAACUCCGGAAGAAGGAAUUAAUCGCUUGGAGGAAAACAAGAAUAAGAAUUACAUUACGCGUAUCCUUCACCAAUUUAGAUUGAUGACAAACAACGGAUUUUGCAUACUACUUAUUCUUGUAGAAAGGAUUAAGAUAGAUAUUGCGCAAACUUGAAUAAGGUCUUGAUGGAACCACCGGUGGGAUUUGGAAACAACGAAUGAAUUAAUAUGAUAACCAAGAAAGAGAACUCUUGAACGAACCACCGUAAGAAUUGAAAAUGAAAGUAGCAAAGGCACAAUUUACCGAGAAGAAUUGGAAAACGAAAGAAGAUACUUGAGGGGAUUUAGAUACAUGAGAACGAAGAGAUCGUGAACUGAUUAGAGGAUAUUUGAACGAUGCACCAGAAUAAUAUGGAGAUGACCGAAGAGACAUCAAUUUAGAAUAAUUGGAGAACGAGGCUGAAAACUUAGAACAAAGAAAUCUUCUGAAAUGAUGGCCUUUGGAUGAUCAAGAAAUGAAAACAACUCAUGAAAUGCUCCGGAUGGGUAAGAAAAGAAUUCUCACAAUCGAAAAUAAUUAUGAGAGGAUGGCAUAAGCUAGAACUAUGAAUCUUCAAGAGAACGGUCCAAGAUUUAGGAGAAAUUCUUCCUCGGUCUUCAAAUGUUGAGAAUGAUGACGAGAAACACCACCAUGAAUUAUUGAGGCACUCCGCAACCAUGAAGAAUAGAAAGGUUGGAUCAACAAUGAAAAGAAUUUGAAAGAUCUUGGAGAAAGACAUAUGACUGAUGAAUAUUCAUUCUUACGUCAAGCUUUGAAAAGAUUUGAGAAUAACUCCGGAAAAUUAGAAGAGUCAGGUAAGAUCCUGGGAAAAGACCUGUGGGUUAGGGCCCACUCAAAAGAAACACCAUUGAAAUGAUUUAAAAGAGAGAUUGCGCUAGUUGAAUUAAAUGGCUCAAAAGAGAUAACAACCUCGAGAUAGCUUGAACAGAUUGGGAAUGGAAAUGUGAGUCUUCUGAGAUAUCUUGUACACUCCGGAACCAAUGAAAAUAGUGAGAGGUGAAUGAUUGAGAGGUACACCGGCAUGAGAAAGCAUUUGAAAGGAGGAAAGGAAUGUGACCAACAUUGAAGGCUUGAAUUUAGUCCACCGGAGAAGAAAAAGAAUGAAGAAUGAUAAACUUGAAGAACAUCUUCAUGAGAACCACCGGGUAAGAACAUUGAUUGAAAAGAAUGAAGGGACUUCACAUGAAUAAAAUGGAUACUUGGUUAAGAAAUCUGAGUCCUUGAAGAAAAAGGUGGGAGGGCGGGAAAACAAAGACAACUUGGGGCAUAUGGAAUAAACACCGUUGAGAAAACUUAUAAUUGAUCUUCCGGAUGGGAAGAAUGAUGGGAUCAUCUCGAAGAGAAACGCACCGGUUGGAAAUAGAAUUAAUAUGGCAAUCUCGAUGGUCAAGAAGGAUUAGUAUCCCCAUAGAAAUGUGAGAACACCGCUUAGAAUAAGGUAUGGAAUCAACACUUGACAAUGAAGCAACUCGAAUACCACAACUUAAAACAAAACAAACGAUUGGCUUGCAAAAUAAGCCAGAACAAACAUAUGAUAGAGAUUUCGUCCGAAGUUUUCGUGCUGGGGCCCACACGGGCUCGAUCGUACAGCACCAUCAUGUACAAGGCAGUGCACAUGACAUACGAAGCAUCCCCGAGUCGGCAUAGCCAAGGACUCUUUACGACACUACGAGACCACUGUAAAACCAACCAUGGAAAGGCGGACCACUAGACGUCGAACCCCAAUCUCAUAUCAUGCAUCUGUCGGAAAGAUAUCCUAGGGGCUACUUGAAUUCCCACUUAUAAACUCCCGAAACUUUCUGGUUAUGCAAUCUGGUGUUGGGGAUACAGGGGACACAAUAUAUCUCACCCAAACUAACAAUCCCUAGAUCCAGCUGUAUCCAUCCGUCAACACAUAACCAAGAAAACUCCGGAAAUCGUGUACCUCAACCUUCGAAAAGCAUCCGUUAUACGAGUUAUGGCAAUACUCACGAACUCCCGCCCCAGUACUGGGUGGCGUCGAGGUGAUCUCACCAACAACUGCAUAAAAGAGAUUUUCAAUGUCGGCGAAACUCAGGUAUUCCAGAACUGCAAUGAUAAAAUUGUGACGACAACACCUCGGAGCUCAACUCCCCGGGACACUGCCACAACCCCUAAAUGUCAGGAGGCACCAAGAACAAUGUUCUCGUCACAAAACCAUCGGAACGAUUCCAAGAUACCUGCGUGAUCCUAAAAAAAAUUUAGUGAAAUUUGAGGAGAGGAAAGUCAAAACAUCUACGUCAGGAGGCCUCACCAGAGCGACGAAGGGACUGAGGAGUAAAAAGAAUCCUACUCUCCGAUAUAUAUAAUCCUGAGACUCAAAACAUUUUUGUUCUAGACUCAACAACGCCAGCGAUUCGAUCAAGCAGGGGGCUCCUAAGUCGGGGAUGGCUUUGAUUACCAACUUGUAACACCCACGAUGCGGCUAUAUCUCCCACGUGUCGAGGCACGACUUAGAGGCAUAACCGCAUUGUGGUUUUAUCGCAAGAAGGGUCAUCUUCACACAAUCCCAUGUAAUGAACAAGAAUGGAAUAAAGAGUUGGCUUACAAUCGCCACUUCACACAAUACAUAAAUAAAUCAUACAUCAAUCAGAGUACACACAUAGGUCCGACUACGGAACCAAAAGAAAAGAAGACAACCCCAAAUGCUAGAUCCCCAAUCGUCCCAACUGGGCUCCACUACUGAUCAUCAGGAAACGAAACAUAGUAACGACCACGUUCCUCGUCGAACUCCCGUUAGAGCUCGGUAGCAUCACUCGCACUGGUAUCAUCGACACCUACAACUGUUGGAAGUAUCUGGUGAGUCACGAGGACUCAGCAAUCUCACACCCGCGAGAUCAAGACUAUUUAAGCUUAUGGGUAGGAAAGGGGUAAUGUGGUGGAGCUGCAGCAAGCACUAGCAUGUAUGGUGGCUAACAUAUGCAAAUAAGAGCGAGAAGAGGAGCAACGGAACGGUCGUCAACUAGUAAUGAUCAAGAAGUGAUCCUGAACUCCUACUUACGUCAAACAUAACCCAAAAACCGUGUUCACUUCCCGGACUCUGCCGAGAAGAGACUAUCACGGCUACACACGCGGUUGAUGCGUUUCAAUUAAGUCGAGUAUCAAGUUCUCAACAACCGGAUAUUAACAAAUUCCCAUCUGCCACGUAACCGCGGGCACGGCUCUCAAAAGUUUAUACCCUGCAGGGGAGUCCCAACUUAGCCCAUUAUAAACUCUUGCGGUCAACGAAGGGUAUUCCUUCUCCCGGGAAGACCUGAUCAGUCUCGGAAUCCCGAUUUACAAGACAUUUCGACAAUGGUAAAACAAGACUAGCAAAGCCGCCCGAUGUGCCGACAAAUCCCGAUAGGGGCUGCACAUAUCUCGUUCUCAGGGCAACACCGGAUGAGACUAGCUACGAGUAAAACCAGCCCUCAAGUUUCCCCAAGGUGGCCCCGCAGGCAGCUCGGUUCGGACCAACACUCGAAGGAGCACUGACCCGGGGGGUCUAAAAUAAAGAUGACCCUUGAGUCUGCAGAACCCAAGGGAAAACGGGAUAUGUGGUAGCAAAUGGUAAAACCAAGGUUGGGCCUUGCUGGAGGAGUUUUAUUCAAAGCGAACUGUCAAGGGGGUCCCAUAAAUCACCCAACCGCGUAAGGAACGCAAAAUCAAGGAACAUAACACUGGUAUGACGGAAACUAGGGCGGCAAGAGUGGAACAAAACACCAGGCAUAAGGCCGAGCCUUCCACCCUUUACCAAGUAUAUAGAUGCAUUAAUUAAAAUAAGAUAUAUCAUGAUAUCCCAACAAUAUCCAUGUCCCAACAUGGAACAAACUUCAUCUUCACCUGCAACUAGCAACGCUAUAAGAGGGCUGAGCAAAAGCGGUAACAUAGCCAAACAACGGUUUGCUAGGAAAGGUGGGUUAGAGGCUUGACAUGGCAAUAUGGGAGGCAUGAUAUAGCAAGUGGUAGGUAGCGCGGCAUAGAAUUAGAGCUAAACAACUAGCAAGCAAACAUAGAAGUGAUUUCGAGGGUAUGGUCAUCUUGCAUGAAAUCCCGCAAGGAAGAAGAACGAGUCCAUGAAGAAGACAAACGGACGAAGUCGAACAAAUCCUCACAAACGCGACGUUAUGUAACUAACCCGAAGAGGCAACACCGGAAAGAAGCAAACAACAUGGUAAACAACCAUCACAGAAACAUGGCAUGAUGCACAAUCAAGUAUGAUGCAUGUCCGGUUUAAAGAGGCAUGGCAUGGCAAAGUGCACAAACAAAACUACAAGUUAAGUGGAGCUCAAUAUGCAACGAGUUGCAUAUUGACGAAACACCACAUCAAUUGUUUAGUUCUCUCUCGGUUAUGUACCCAAAAAUAUUAAAUGUUGACUAACAUGGCAAGAGGUGAAGCAUAAGUAAACUAACUAUUUAGGCAAGUUUAAAUGAGGCCGGAACAACAAACAACAAUUCCGGAAAAUCCUCAUGUCCAUAUUUUAGAUUUGGUACUGUUCUGCCUAAAACCAUAUUUUAUUGUUGUUAAACAGUAAAACAAGGUGCACCAUGUUAAUCUAUGCAUUUUCCUACCCCAUUUACAUAUCAAGUUUAUUUAUAAUGGAGCUACGGUUAUUUAGUUAUGAAAUAAAUCAUUUUAACAUGGCAUUCGAGCAAAUUUAAACAAACAGCAUUUUAAACAUGGAUGAGAGUGGCAUAUUAUGAAACUAGAUGAAAUUCUGAGCAUUUUACAUGUUUACAUCAUUUUAAUCCGAUGCACGGUUAAAGAGUUAUUAUAUGCAUGAUGUUUGAGGGGUUUUCUGUAAAACAGUAAAUCCUGGGAUAAUUGAUUAAAUCCGUCCAGAGGAAAAAAACACUAUACGGGCCGAAACUGCUGGGCGGCUAGGCUGCUCACCAUGGGCCAAGGCCCAGGCGGUGGAGAGGUAGGCCGAGACGGACUGGGCCGCGCGGGGACGUGGCUGGCGACGCGGGACGAGCGGAAGCAGAGGAGUGGUCAACGCGGCUGCGCGACUGCAGCCUCCUCCUCUCGAACAGAGGCAGGAGCGGGACUUGGCGGCGCCAGACGACGACGGGCGCGGGACAGGUCGAUCCGGGGCGGCAACUCCAGAUCCAGGCGCGAGGAAGGCCGCCGGUGGCUUGGGCUUCAGGCUCCUGUCCAUGGGCAUGAAAGAGAGAGAGAUAUGUGAGGAACAGAGGGAAGCACGGGGAGGAAGGGAGAGACAGGGGAGGAGAGGAGCAGGACGAGGCCGGUCCUUGCCGUGGUCGACGGAGGGCGAGGUCGCCAGCAGCAGGUCGAGCUCCUGUUUGAGGAAGGAGGCGCGCGAGGUGGAGCUUCGGCACGGGAGUUCGAGGCGGCGGGGUCGACGUGCUCGGGAACGAGGGCGCCAUGGGAGGAGCAUGAGAGGAGCUCGGGGUAGGAGGCGUGCUGGAGCAAGGGCUGGAGGGCUCCUGGUGCUCCGGUGGCUUGGCGUUCGAUUUGGAGCAGGGAAGCAGAGGCGGGGCGAGGGACUUGGCGCAGUGACGGGAAGAUGGAGGUCGUCGGCGGCACUUGGCGGCGGGGACGGCUGGAGGCAGAGUGAAGGAGGUCCGAUGGAGGAGGCGAUGGUGGCGUCCUCAUGGUGCUGGUUCGGUGGCGUCGGUGUUCCUGUGAAGCAGAGAGAGAGACAGACAGAUGAGGUGAGCCGCGGGAAGAAGAGCGAUGACGAAGGAGAAAGAAAGAGGAGGGCGGGGAGGAGAAGGAAGCAAAGGCAGUGCAGGGCACUCAUCUUCUCGUCGGGGACUCGCCGGAGCGGCGAGGCAAGGUCGGGGCCGAUAGGGAGGCGGCGCCGCGGAGCUGCUAGUGGCGGAGGAGCUCGGGCAUGAGCUCUUGUUCGAUCCAACCGAGAGGAGGACGAGCAGGGACGAGGUGCCUGAGGGGAAGCUUCGGGGCUGGUUCUGGUUGGUGGGAUUGGAUCGGGGGGAAUGAGGAGAUCCCGAGGAAGAAAGGGAGGUGGGUGGCGGCGGCUCGGGAAUAGGUGGAUGGAUGGGACAGUAUCCCUAGUUUUUAGGGUUAGAGUAGACUGAUUAUAUAGCAGUUGGAUUUUUGGGUAUGUGCUAAUUCGGUCCCUCCGAUUAAAAUUGAGCGGUCGAGAAAAAUAGGCUAGGAAGUCCAAAUAAGAAAACGGAGAUGUUUAAUAGAUGUUAGGGGAUGAUCCGGACCCAACGGUAACGAUGGUCCGGUUCGGGUUCGGGGAAGUUUUCGGACAUGGGCGAGGGGUCGAUGCACUGUGCAGAGAGGUUCAAACGGCCGGACAACAAAAGAACAGUCGGUCUUGAGAAAGGUCAACAGAGACGAGGAAGAUGCGGCAACUAUCAACGGGUGCAAGUUUUUUGAAAACAUGCGAUGCAAUGCUCAUGAUGACAUGAUGAAUGCAACAAACAAAAUAAAACACACGGCGAACACGAAAUAUAUGGAAGGCAUCUGGAGCGUCGGUCUCGGGGCGUUACAGUCAAAGCUUGGAACUUGGUGGUGUCUCGAUCCAACAUCGGAGAGACGCAAUCUUUCCUUAUGCCAACCCGCCGAGUCAUCCCAAAGACUGGAAUCAGACAUGGUUCUACUGCCAAGAUACUUCUCCGGCUAAUGAGAACCCCUUGCCCAGCUUUCGCGCCUCGCGCCUCGAGUCUACUCAUCCUUUACCAGACAAGCUAUCUGCUGGUGAAUGCCAGAAACUUGCCCCCACCAUGUCCAAAGUCAAGGCUCUUUUGGGGAAUGGUUUGAGUGGUAUCGAUUUGGUCCGGGUCUGGGUUGCUUGGCGGAUCAUUCCAUAAAGCCGCCAUUCCGGUUUGAUGUGCACCUAUACCGGCGAGCAAAAUGAUUCUCUGCGGCACAAUUCUGUCGAUUUACUGGAAGAUGUCAUUGAUGAUACGACAAAGUCGCUCUUGAACGAGAGCCUAGCAGAUUGUAGCAAGUUUUGCUUAAGUCCCUUCUGCAAAGCUAACCCGGCUCCAACGGUAAGCCGCCAAACUUAAGUAUUCUUACUCUCACCCUUAAGGUUUUGUCUUUACUCAUACUCUCACUGUUUUUCACAGGCUAGUGAUAAAUUCUGGAAAGUCAAAUAUGAUCACGAGUCUACUCAUCCUUAUCAAUGGGAGCAGCAAGGACCGGCGGCUCAGAUAACUGUCUCUUCAAAUCUUCAAAGGCAGCGUUAGCAGCAUCACUCCAGACAAAGUCGUCCGUCUUCUUCAUCAUCUGAUACAGUGGUAUGGCCUUCUCACCUAACCAUCUUAUGAACCGGCUUAAGGCAGCAAUACGACCCGCCAGACGCUGAACAUCAUUGAUACACGCCGGCUUAGCCAAAGAGGUGAUUGCCUUGAACUUCUCUGGGUUAGCCUCAAUGCCUCUGUUAGAAACCAGAAAACCCAAAAGCUUGCCUGCUGGCACUCCAAAAACGCAUUUGGCCGGGUUAAGCAUCAUCUUGUAGACCCGGAGAUUAUCAAAGGUGUAACACCCCAGAUGUAACUUUCCAUAUUUGUAACUCCAACUCUUGCCAUUUUUGGCUAUGUGUUAUGAUAUUCCCUUCGUGGCCGGGUUUUUGUAUUUCGUUUUGCAUUUUGUUCAUGUCAUCCAUCUCAUAUCGUGUCAUCAUGCGCAUCUCAUUUGCAUACGUGUUCGUCUCAUGCAUCCGAGCAUUUUCCCCGUUGUCCGUUUUGCAAUCCGGCACUCCCACAUGCACCGACGCACCCCUCUUGUUUCUUUUCGUGAGCGGGUGUUAAACGUUCUCGGAAUGGACCGAGGUUUGCCAAGUGGCCUUGGUACACCACCGGUAGACCACCUGUCAAGUUUCGUUCCAUUUGGAGGUCGUUUGAUGCUCCAACGGUUAACCGGGUAACCGCAAAGGCCUUUUGAGUGUGCAGCCCAACACCCCUCCAAAACAGCCCAAUAACCCAUCUAAGUCCCCUCCAUGCUCUCAGUCGUUCGAUCACGAUCGUGCGAGCGAAAACCGCACUCCAUUUGGAGUCUUCUAGCUCCCUCUACCUAUAAAUAUGUGAUCCCCCCGAAAUUUUUCGGGCAAAACCCUAGUCUUCCCCUUCCUCCGCACGCCGGACACGUCCGCCCGGCGCCGGACACGUCCGCCGCCGCACCCGAGCCAGCCAGGAGCCACCACGUGGCAGCGCCGCCAUCCGCCGCUCCGCCCUCCAUCGCCGGCGCUCCUCGCCAGCCGCCGGACCUCGCCGCGCCGCCCGNNNNNNNNNNNNNNNNNNNNNNNNNNNNNNNNNNNNNNNNNNNNNNNNNNNNNNNNNNNNNNNNNNNNNNNNNNNNNNNNNNNNNNNNNNNNNNNNNNNNNNNNNNNNNNNNNNNNNNNNNNNNNNNNNNNNNNNNNNNNNNNNNNNNNNNNNNNNNNNNNNNNNNNNNNNNNNNNNNNNNNNNNNNNNNNNNNNNNNNNNNNNNNNNNNNNNNNNNNNNNNNNNNNNNNNNNNNNNNNNNNNNNNNNNNNNNNNNNNNNNNNNNNNNNNNNNNNNNNNNNNNNNNNNNNNNNNNNNNNNNNNNNNNNNNNNNNNNNNNNNNNNNNNNNNNNNNNNNNNNNNNNNNNNNNNNNNNNNNNNNNNNNNNNNNNNNNNNNNNNNNNNNNNNNNNNNNNNNNNNNNNNCGUCCCCGACCGCCGGCGCCUCCUCUCUCUCUGUUCGAGCUCCAGCCUCCCCGUCCUUCCAAAUCCGGCGAGCGCCCCGGUGAACCUCGAAGACCGCGCCGGAUCUGGAUCUGACGAGGUUGACUCCCCCCCGUUUUUCCUCCGUCCUGAAGAUAUCACAUUAUGUUGCUCUGUUCAUCAUGGCAUAUCUCAUUGCAUACUGCUCCAUUUCAUGCGUGUGAUAUAUCAGAAUGUUCAUCACGAGAUGCUCUUCAUUUUGUUCCAUUGUGCCAUGCUCGUUUGAGUCCAUCUUGAUGCCCAAAUCUCAGGUGCAAGAGUGCUAUAUGAUGUUUACUGCUGUUACUUAUCAGAAAUUGAUGUUUUGUUAUUUUUGUUGCAUUUGAUGUGUGCAUCCUAUGGGCAUCAGCUCUACAGGUGUUUUGAUAUAUGCCAUGCCAUAUUUACAGAGGUGUAUGCCAUGUAUUUUUGUGAUCUAUGUGGUGAGUAGCACAAGCAUGCAAACUAGGCUUCGUGAUGUUUCUGUUUUCAGGGACUUAGGUUUUUGCUAAGUCUUUUAUCUGCUAUUAUUUUGUUGCCAUGUAUCCAUGUGGCUACAGUGAGAUCCAUGCUUAUUUUGAGUAUGUUCAUUAAGGAUGUUUUGUAUAUAUAGUUGUGAUCUAUCCAUACAUGUCCCUUUUUGCAAUUAUGGAGUGCCCUAGCAUGUCUUAAUCUUGCUCUACUUUUGCUAUAAAAUAUUCCUGGCAGAUUGUUAACAUGAUAUUCAAUUUUGCCAAGGUUGUUGUAGUUGAUCCAUACAUGCUAUGAACUUGCUCUUGCCAUGGUUAGCUCCAUGAACAUGCCAUCUUGCUGUAGGUAUGCUUGUUUUGUCAUGAAUUUCUUUGUGAUGAGUGAAUCGAGCUCACAAAGAUGCCUUCAUAAUUCUGUUUUUGCCAUGCUCUGUUUUCUGCCAAGUCUGAAACCUGUUAACGAAACUUGCUAUGUUUACAUGGGUGCCAUCAUAUCUUCUGUGCAUUUUUGGCUCAUGGUCAGUAAGGGACUUUUGUUCUAUGCAUUUAGUAGAUUCAUGCCAUGCCUUGUUUUGCUAUGAUAAGUUCCUGUAGCAUAUGUUUUGCUUGCUCUGAACAUUGCUACCUGAUGCUGUUUCAGCCAUGUUCAGUAUUUUCACCAAGUCUGUGAAGCUGAUAUCUUUUGCACUUUUGCGAUGCUUGUUUGAACCUGUUAUAUUGUGACCUAGCCGUAGCUCAGUGUUCAUCUUUUGUCAAGCAUAUUCUGUAGAUCACUGCCAUAUGCUUUGUUGCUAUGUUGGGGUGUUGUAGCAUAGUUACUUGAUGUAUCCUAUGUGCUAUCAUGCUGUUAAUCGCAGAAUCGUGUCAUUCUUGUUUUGCUUGCCAUUUGCAAACCGUGCAUCCGUUUCCGGUGAUCUUUAUAUCGAUUUCGACCAAAAUCAUCUCAUCUUUCCAGUGGCAUACUUGGUUUGCCAAGUUGAUGCCCUGUUCAUCCUUUUUCUUCUGGAGCACGCAUAUGCAUCGCAUAUCACAUCUCGCAUAUCAUGCAUGUAUUGCAUCAUGUUGCUUGUGCAUUUCCCGUGAUUGAUUGUGGUUUCAUUGCUUGUGUUCUUGCUGUGGGUAGAUCCGGGAGACGAGUUCGUGAACGAGGAACCUGUUGAGUACGCUUACGAGGAUCAAGCUUUCGACAACUCUGAGAACCUUGCAGGCAAGAUGACCAUACCCUCGAAAUCACUUCUAUCUUUGCUUUGCUAGUUGUUCAUUCUAUUGCUAUGCUACGCUACCUACCACUUGCUAUAUCAUGCCUCCCAUAUUUCCAUGUCAAGCCUCUAACUAUACUUUCCUAGCAAACCGUUGUUUGGCUAAGUUACCGCUUUUGCUCAGCCCUUCUUAUAGCGUUGCUAGUUGCAGGUGAAGUUGAAGUUGGUUCCAUGUUGGAACAUGGAUAUUUUGGGAUAUCACAAUAUCUCGUAUUUAAUUAAUGCAUCUUGUUGAGGAUAUAGACCUUAGAGUCACCCGCCAGGAGGGGCCGGGUUACUCGUACGGUCGUUGCCAGAAGCCCAGAGCCAAGUUUGAAGACGAUGGGCCAGAGAUGGGCUGAGACUCGGAUAUGGCUUAAAGCCCGUAGUUGUAAUCAUUGUUAUGGUAGAACUUGUAGUGUAAGACAAGUAUAGUUGAGAGUCCGAGCCGGACACUCUUAUGAGCCGGCCGGGACUCUGAGGGCUGCUGGGCGUCAGCCUCCCUAUAUAAAGGGACGACCCGGCAGCGGUUUAGGGGCGAGAACAAUCUCAUCGAGAGCCGGGAUAGCAAGUUUUGCUCCCUGGUGAUCGUAACCCUAAUCAAUACCAUCUCAACUGGACGUAGGCCUUUACCUUCACCGUAAGGGGCCGAACCAGUAUAAACCCUCGUGUUCCUUGUCCCACUUAACCCCUUCAAGCUUCCUAGUUGCAUGGCUCCACGACUAAGUCCUAGCUCGAGGACAUCUGCCGUGACAAUUCCACGACAGUUGGCGCCCACCGUGGGGCAAGCGCACGGUGGAUUUGAGUUCUUGAAGGGCAGCUUCAAAGGGCUCAAGGGAUACGCUGUGGGCCGGAUGACCAAGAGUCGUCGCGGCAAGCUCUACAUCGACGAUGCAGACUGGGGCCCCGAUGCCAGCUCAGUUGAGUACGGGUACCGGGUCCCCUUCGGUGGAAUUCAUGUCUUCAUUGGCAAGAUUGGUGAGCCAGGCCCUGAGCCGGAUCUCUGCGUCGAUCUCAUCGAAACGGCUCAGCGCGCACGACCCGCCCGGGCCCGGCCUGCCUUAAGGCGCGCUUUUGUGGGAUGCAUCCAUGGAGGGCCCUCUGAUCCAUCUGGGUCUGGUGAUGAGGCGGCCGCCGGCUCUGACGGCGAGUCGGCCACCGAUGAGUCAAACUCGUUGUACCAACUCCAAGAUGGCAGGCUCAUGGGUUGUUCCGAUGGCGACAGUAUUCCGGACCUUUUUGAGCCGCCAAGUCAGGUUGGAGUUUUUAUGGCUGGUGCGUAGCCUGUUCAGAACCCCACUGCCGGAUCGGGAAACCCGGUGCCCUCUCCGGCUCAGGUGCUGAUGGAUCUCACGGACAAGAUGACGGCCCUGUUGACCGCCACGGUUGACCCGGCGGAUCAAGCCCAGCAUGAUGUGGAGGUGGCACAGUUGAAAUUGGAUCUGAUAAAAGCUAAAGAGGAUCUUGCAGCGGAAGGAAUCAGGCUGGCUGCGGAGCGGGCGGCUCUCGAUGCCCAGACUCAGCUGAUUCAGGCGCAGUCCUUCCAACUCACGAUGGAUCAGAACGCGGCCAAUGAGGUCAUGAGAAGGAGGCAUCAAAAGGCCCAUUCCCGACUCCCGUCGGUUUACGAUCCACGCAACCUCUUCAACACGCCAGGUGCAGGGUCUAGUAACCCGCCAGGGGUCAUAGCACCCGGGUCUGGACCCCUUAUUCAGCCACGAGUUAUGGGGCCUCCCCAGGUGCCCCUGCCCCGCCUCAGUAUGUGCCAAUACCCCCCGGGUCAUUAUAAUAAUCCACUGGAGAACAUGGUCGCUGCGGCAGCACGGCUGGCGGCUCUCCCCGUUGACGGCGACUCUCCGACGGCCGACCCGCCGGGUCAGGGAACUCCUUCAGACAGCACUGGCGCAGCAAGAGGCGUACUCCUACAGCCGGGACAGGAUCCACUCGACCCCUCGUCCAGGCCAGAGCCCGAGUUACAGCCGGCACAUGGUCUCAGCAACCGGCUCAAGUAACGUCCGACGCCAUGACCCGCCCCCUGGCCAUGGCCCGGCUCAUAAUGGAGCCUUUUACGCAGCGGACCAAGCGCGGCAAGAGGCGGAGAAAGUGCCUCAAUUGACGGCUUACCAGACCCCCCCCCCGGCUUAUCCGACGACUUCCGUGGAUGUGGGUAUCCCUACCAGGACCGGGGGUGUCCCUUGUUUGGUGCCAGCUAUCCGUAAUGAACGUCUACCUAAGGACUUCAAAGGCCCUAGGAAAGUGCCUAACUACACAGCUGACUUACAACCUGCAGCCUGGAUUGAGAGUUAUGAGAUGGCUAUGGAAUUGCUGGAGGUCAGUGAGGCGGCCAUGGCCAAGUAUUUCACCAUGAUGUUAGAUGGAACUACCCGCACAUGGUUGAAAGGGCUACCACCGAAUUCCAUUGGGUCUUGGGCUGAGCUGAAAGCCCGGUUCAUCCAAAACUUCAAGAAUACCUGUAGGCAGUCUAUGUCAAUUGUGGAUUUGACUAACUGUAAGCAGCAGGAGGGUGAAUCCACGACCCAUUGGGUUCGCCGGGUCAAGGAGAUCAUACAUUCAUCAGAUAAGAUGGAUGCCGGCUCUGCAGUCUUAAUGUUGGAACAAAACUGUCGCUUUGUGCCCCUAAAGAUGAAACUCGGGCGACUUAAACGCGACUGCACUGAUAUGGGUACACUAAUGGCGGCUCUUGUCAAGUACGCCGAGUCCGAUGGUACCAAGGAUCACCCUUCAGAUGAUGAAAGGACAGGGAAGGGAAAGAAGAACGGCAAUGGCAAGGGUCCUCAGUUUAACCCGGGGAACCAAGGAGGAGGCAAGCGCAAGGCCGAUGGCAGCCUAGAGUUUGUAGCCAAUGCCAACUCCCAAGGUAACAACCAGCGACGCAAGGGGAGGCCCCCUCCCCGAGGCAGCAGGUCAGGUCCAACGCUGGAGCAGCUGUUGAAUGAACCUUGUCCAAGGCAUGGCUCUAGAGAGAAGCCAGCGACUCAUCUGUGGAAGGAUUGCGCGAUCAUGAAGGCCUUUAAGAAUUACAAUGGCCCGGGCGGCGGCUCAGGUGCUGGCGGCUUUCAUGGCCUGGGCGGCGGCUCAAAUUCCGGUCCUCAGAAUGGUCAAGGGGGCUUUAAUCAACAGGCUGGCCAGGGUCAUCAACAGCAGCAGGGGGGUUAUCAGACCAAUCCAAAGCAGCUAAGCGGUGGACAGUAUCAUGUAUUUACCACUAGUCUGUGCAAGCGAGAUCAGAAGCUUCACAAGAGGGUUGUGAACGCUGUUGAGCCGGCGGUCCCACGCUACUUACGAUGGUCUGAGCAGCCCAUAGUGUGGAGUAGGGAGGAUUACCCUCCUCGGGUGGAUAACCCGGGCCACUUGGCCUUAGUGGUGGCUCCUCAAGUGGGAGGAUAUAAGUUCACAAAGGUGCUCAUGGAUGGAGGCAGCAGCAUCAACAUCCUCUAUUAUGAGACUUUUCGUCGUAUGGGGUUGGUUGAUAAGAACCUCAGCCAGUCCAACACUAUCUUUCAUGGUGUAGUACCUGGUAAGUCGGCUUAUCCAGUUGGCAAGAUCGAAUUGGAAGUGGCUUUUGGUGAUGAGAAUAACUACAGGGUGGAGAAAUUGACCUUUGAAGUGGUCAAGAUAAGAAGUCCAUACCAUGCUAUAUUUGGACGGCCGGCUUACGCCAAGUUCAUGGCACGGCCGUGUUAUGUGUACCUACAGCUCAAGAUGCCGGGUCACAAUGGGACCAUUACGGUUCACGGCAGCCGGAAAGUGGCUCUGGAAUGUGAGGAAGGCGACGCGGCUUAUGCAGAAUCUGUUUGUGCUACAGAGGAGUUGAAGUUUUACAAGGACAAUGUUGACCCAACAGACAUGACCUCUCUGAAAAAGCCGACUACGAAAAAUGAGCCGGCGAUGAAAUUUAAGUCGGCUGAUGAGACUAAGCUUGUUGAUUUUGUUCCAGGGGAUUCAUCUCAGCAGUUUAGCAUCAGUGCCAAUCUGGAUCCAAAAUAGGAAAGUGCGCUCAUCGAGUUCAUCCGUGAGAAUAGGGACAUCUUCGCAUGGAAACCCUCUGACAUGCCAGGUGUACCUAGAGAACUCGCUGAGCAUACUCUCAACGUUGAUCCUAAAUUUAAGCCGGUCAGACAGUUCCUUCGGCGGUUUAAUGAAGAGAGGCGGAAAGCCAUUGGUGAAGAAGUAGCCCGGCUCUUGGCAGCCGGGUUUAUCGUGGAAGUUUUUCACCCAGAGUGGUUGGCUAACCCGGUGCUUGUACUCAAGAAGAACGGCACCUGGCGGAUGUGUGUGGACUACACGGACUUGAACAAGGCGUGUCCGGCUGAUCCUUUUGCCCUCCCCCGUAUUGAUCAGAUCAUUGAUGCUACGGCAGGUUGUGCACGUUUAAGUUUCUUGGAUGCUUAUUCUGGUUAUCAUCAGAUCAAGAUGGCAGUUAAGGACCAGGAGAAGACGGUGUUUAUCACUCCCUUUGGAGCCUUCUGUUAUGUGUCUAUGCCCUUUGGACUCAAGUGUGCACAGGCUACUUACCAGCGUUGUGUACAGAACUGUCUUCAUAAACAGAUUGGGCGCAAUGUUCACGCUUAUGUGGACGAUAUUGUGGUUAAAUCCAUCAAAGAGGAAACCCUGAUAGAUGAUUUAAGGGAAACCUUUGAUAAUCUUCGGGUUUAUAAGAUGAUGCUUAACCCGGCCAAGUGUGUCUUUGGUGUUCCUGCAGGCAAACUUUUGGGCUUCUUGGUUUCUGACAGAGGCAUUGAGGCUAACCCGGAGAAGAUCAAGGCCAUCACCUCCCUGGCUAAGCCGGCAUGUAUAAAUGACGUUCAGCGCUUGGCGGGUCGCAUCGCUGCUUUAAGCCGGUUUAUAAGCCGUUUGGGUGAGAAGGCCAUGCCCCUAUAUCAGUUAAUGAAGAAAACGGAUACUUUUGUCUGGAAUGAUGCAGCUAAUGCCGCCUUUGAGGAUUUAAAGAAGCAGCUGGCAGAGCCCCCAGUCCUUGCUGCUCCGGUUGAUAAGGAGCCCUUGCUACUGUAUGUGGCGGCAAACGCACGAGCCGUCAGUGUGGCUAUUGUGGUGGAACGCAAGGAGGAGGGUAAGGAGCAUCCGGUUCAGCGGUCGGUUUAUUAUGUCAGUGAAGUGCUCAUUGAGUCCAAGCAGCGAUACCCGCAUUGGCAGAAGCUGGUAUAUGGUGUGUUCAUGGCGAGCCGGAAACUUAAGCAUUAUUUUCAGGGCCAUCCCAUCACUGUGGUCAGUUCUGCCCCCCUUGGUGAUAUCAUUCAAAACAGAGAGGCCACAGGGAGAAUUGCUAAGUGGGCUAUAGAACUUGGACCCCACGGUCUCAAAUAUGUGCCACGCACUGCUGUUAAGUCUCAGGCCUUGGUGGAUUUCAUCAAUGAUUGGACAGAGUCACAAGUGCCCGAGCAAAAGCCGGAUAACACGUAUUGGACUAUUCAUUUCGAUGGGUCCAGGCAGUUGGAGGGCUCGGGGGCUGGCGUUGUAUUGGCGUCCCCUAAAGGUGACAAGUUCCAUUAUGUGCUACAGUUGAUGUUUCCUUGCACUAACAACGCAGCUGAGUACGAGGCCCUGCUCCAUGGUCUUCGGAUGGCUAAGGAGAUGAGCUUGAGCCGGGUAAGGUGCUUUGGUGACUCAGACUUGGUGGCUCAACAAGUAUCAGGCACGUGGGAUUCUAAGGAUCCUCGCAUGGCGGCUUAUCGCCGCGAGGUCGACGCCAUUGCUGGGCACUUUCAGGGCUACCAAGUGGAGCACAUUGAUCGCAGGAAGAACGAGGCGGCUGAUGCUCUAAGCCGGUUAGGCUCUCAGCGAAAGCCGGUGCCGCCUAACACUUUCCUAGACGUCCUGUAUAACCCUUCGGUUAAGUUGCCUACAGAGGAAGACUUGGCUGUCCCUGACCCGGAGGCACGGCUAGUGGCGGCUCUUCAUGUCAUACCAGACUGGACAAUGCCAUAUCUGGCUUAUAUAACCCGGGGAGAGUUGCCUGAGGAUGAAACUUUGGCCAGGCAAAUAACCCGGCGGGCUAAGUCAAUGAUCGUUAUCGACGGCGAAUUGCAUCAUCGCAGUGUCUCAGGGGCAUUUCAGCGUUGUAUCUCCCCUGAGGAAGGUCAAGAGAUCUUGCGUGAGAUCCAUGAAGGGGAUUGUGGCCAUCAUGCCGGCUCAAAAUCCCUUGUGGCCAAGGCUUUCCGUCAUGGUUUUUAUUGGUUGACGGCUCAUGCUGAUGCAGAGGACUUGGUCAGUAAAUGUGAUGGUUGCCAAAGGUUCUCACGACGGGCUCAUGUGCCGGCUCAGGAGCUGAGGAUGAUCCCAAUUACUUGGCCCUUUGCGGUCUGGGGGCUUGAUAUGGUUGGGCCUUUUAAAAGGUCCAAGGAUAAGAAGACCCACCUCUUGGUGGCAGUUGAUAAGUUCACAAAAUGGGUAGAAGCGGAGCCCGUUAGCAAGUGCGAUGUAGCCACGGCAGUUCAGUUUAUGAAAAAGGUGAUUUUCCGCUUCGGAUUUCCGCACAGCAUCAUAACUGACAAUGGCACCAAUCUAUCCAAAGGCGCUAUGGAAGAGUUUUGUCAACGAGAGCAUAUCCGACUUGAUGUUUCCUCAGUGGCUCAUCCCCAAUCCAAUGGUCAAGCUGAGAGAGCUAACCAGGAGAUUCUGAAGGGCAUCAAGCCCCGGCUUUUGGUCCCUUUGCAACGGACGUCGGGUUGUUGGGUGGAGGAGUUGCCCUCCGUCUUAUGGAGCAUCAAUACUACUCCUAACAGGUCUACAGGCUUCACGCCUUUCUUCAUGGUCUAUGGAGCAGAAGCAGUCCUCCCCAGCGACAUCCGUCACGACUCACCUCGCGUGGCGGCUUAUGUUGAGACGGAUAAUGAACAGGCGCGCCAGGAUGCUCUUGACUUGUUGGAUGAACAGCGUGAUGUGGCGGCAGCCCGUUCAGCGAUUUACCAAAAAGACCUGCGCCGUUAUCAUAGCCGCCGGGUCAAAUCCCGGGUCUUUCAGGAAGGCGAUCUCGUGCUCCGGCUCAUCCAGGAUCAAACAGAUGCACACAAGUUAUCCCCACCUUGGGAAGGGCCCUUUGUGGUCAGCAAGAACUUGCACAACGGGUCAUAUUACCUCAUUGAAAUUCGGGAGCACAAAGAUUCACGUAAGUCUGAGGAAGAGACCCAUCGGCCGUGGAACAUAGCUCAGCUUCGGCCUUACUACACUUGAGCUACCGGCUCUCGUGGUGUACAUAUUUGUCUCAGCCAUGUAUAUAUUAUGAUAAGUAAUAAAGCAGGACCUCUGUCCUUUUUUCUCCUCCAAAUAUGCACGUGUUGUUUUUAUUACAAGAUUACAUGAUGACUUAAAGGAGGAUCCGGCUUAUGAUCGUAUUCGAAUCAGCAUCGUUAAACAAUUUUAAAGUCACUUGGGGGCUUCCUGUUCAAACAUGGGUCGUAUUCGAACCAAAGAGAACAUAGCUGUCGAUACCCAUUUGAUUGGCAAAGAGCCGAGCUCAUUGGGAGGUUAUCUUUGGUCAUAUUUGAAUCAUAGUUUAACCCCUCUGAGAACCGACGAGGAUCGUAUUCGAAUCAGCGUCGUUAAACAAUUUUAAAAAUCACUUGGGGGCUUCCUGUUCAAACAUGGGUCGUAUUCGAACCAAAGAGAACAUAGCUGUUGGUACCCUCUUGAUUGGCAUCGCCACACCCACUGGGGGCUAUAUGAUCGUAUCCGAAUCUUGGCUUAACCCCUUUGGGCCGGGUCUCUGGUUGUAUUCGAACCGGAAGCCCCUAAAAGUUCCUCUGCUUUAUCACAAGUUUACUCUGAUCAUGUCAAGGUGUGUACGGCCGGGUCUCACUUUACCGGCUUAACUUUGGUUUACAGUGUUCGUUGAACGCCAUGGGUAUCAUUAUGACAGAUAAGGCGGAAUUAGGAUACCAACCUUGUUACCCGGGUUAUUUAAACCGGAAGUAUGCUUACUGGCCGCUAAGUGUUAUUACGGCUAUGUCAAGCAGAUAAUUGAGGACCAGUCUCUUUUUGAUUCAUAUUCUGGGUUAUCUAUCCAAGACACCUGAUUCUUCGGGCGGUAAGCCGCCUUGAGACUUGUGAUUUGCCUUUUUAUGCAGAAUACUUAAAGGUACCUCUUUGAGGUUGAGAAAAACAAAAGGAUGAUUAUGACCCGGAGAAAUAUUAAGGAGACAACUUCAAAAGACCUUGGCAUUCAAUACGUGCACGAUGGCACGGUAGAGAUAGACUGUUGCACCUACUCUAUUACAAAAACUCUUCAAGUCUAAAAGGUGGAACAUUGUUUGAUAAACCGCCAGCCAAAUUAUGAUGCUUGCUGAGUUGAGGUCCCCGGCUCAUUCCUAUCUCCUCCUCCGGCUGAUCCCAAGACCUCGAAGGUUGAUGACUUCCAGUUGAUGCCGCUGAGAGCUUCGAAUUGGGCUUCUUCAUCAAUUAACCCGGCCGGGUCAAUCUCCGGGGCGAAGGUGUGCUGACGAGCCGGCGGGAUCAGGUUGAGGGCUUCAUAGCGAGGGGUCGGAAUCCUCUGAUUCUCCGCGUCAUAACCCGGCUGGUACUUGGUCAGAUCUGUGUCAUUCCCGAUGAGGGUGGCCACCGGGCGUACAGCUUUCACGCACGCUGCGAAGUCCUUCUGGUCAAAAGCUGAGCCGUCUUCCUUCAGGCUUGGAUAACCCAGGGCGAUGUCUGCCGGGUCUAGUUCCGGCAGAAAUGCCUUGGCCCGGCUCAGCGCGGCGAUUGCGCCGGCUCUCGCGGAGGCCCGUCGCAGCUCUUGGAUCCGCUGAGGCAGAACGGCGAGCCGGCGCAGGACUUCGGCCAGAUGAGUUGGCACCUCGUUGGAUAGGGCCACCACAGCUAAGGCACGCUGUGACCCGGUGUAGAGCUGUUCCACCAGGGUGUACACGGCCUUUAACUUGGUGACCACGCUCUGGUUGAGGUUGGCACUCCUGGGACUUGUUUAACAGAAUCAGAUAAGCCGGUGACAAGGAUGACUCAUGACAUAUACAAACUUGAUGAAAGCCGGUGAGGCGACUUACCGAAGAUAGCGGCCACCAUUUGGGAAACCUGGCGCUUUAAGCCGGAGAGCUCGGCGGUCUUCUCAGUGAGAGCCUUCUCCGCCUGUUCCGCCCGGGUCACCAGUGCGGCCUUCUCUUCGACCCAGGCUUUUCUCUCAGCAUCAAACUCGGUCUUCAAUUUUUAUUGAGUGGCGAUGCUGGAUACAAACUUGGCGUUUGCCUUCCGGGUCUCCAUCUCCUGCAUCUUCAGCCGGCUCUUGAGAUCCGCAAGGUCCGCCUCUAGUUUCUUGCCAACAGCCUGCAUAUAUUUCCGGGUUAUUAACAGUCAUUAUAUUAGUCCCAAGCGUUUUCCAAGCAAAGACACUUGGCACUUGGGGGCUAAUGCAUAUUGAAUGUAUCUAUCUACAUACUGCCGGCUCAGUUGAGUAAGCCGGAACCUAAGUCUACAACAUAUUCAAGCAUAAGUCGUCGACUUGGGGGCUAGCAUGGCAAAGGUAACUAUGCAGUAAGUAAGAAGACAGCAGAAGGAUACCUCAGAUUUUUGUUGGAUCUGGUUGACCAUGGCGACCUCGGCGUCCCGGCUCUUGUGUACUUGGCUGAUGUAGCCAGAGACAAGCUCUCCAAUGCUCAAGUCGGUGUAGCCGGAGAGGUCCAGGUUCACCCGGUGGGGCUGCAGCAACUCCCCCUUCGCGGAGCAUUUGGCCAACAUGGUCGGUCUCCCCGGCUCAACGAACUCCGUCCGGGUGAUAACCACGUCCGGGUCGUCUGCUGGUGGAGCUGAGCCGGAGGCCUCCGGGUUAACCGAAGUUUCGGUCGUUGCCUUGGUAGUCGGGGCAGAGGCCUCAGGUGCCGUGUCCAUUGGAGUGGUGGCUUCGGGGGCGGAGGCAGCUGGCGGCUCUUGAGCUGUCACCUCCGGUUCAGGUACGUCCGGCACUCCGGCUGACCUGGUCUUCUUCGCUCUUUUGGUGAGCUUUGCCUGGGCACUGAAAAGACAGAAGUGUUAGGCACACAAAGAGUAAGUACAGACAAAGAUACUGUAAGAUGAUUGUUGUUACCCGGGCGCAGUCUUGAAGGCCGGCAGAUUUGACUGCAUGGAGUCACCUGAAGAGGGGGAGGUCUCCUGAUAAUUGGAGUCAGAAGAGUUGAGUGGCUGACGGAUAACACCCGCCAACGGAUGAAAAGGGUACAAGUGAGAAAAAACCUCAGUGCGACGCUUCCUUGUUGCGUCGGGUAACCCGGCGGAGAGAUCGGUGUCCUUGUUGGUCCGGGUGUGACGCCGGCUUUCGUGAACCUGUCGCUUCAAAAGAAAUUGAGGGUCUUGAUGAGCUAAAGGAUGUGAAAAGCUUACUUUCCGGGUUACCCUUCGGACUUUCAGCUGUGGCAAGGGCUCCGAGUCGGAGGAAAGUGACAUUACCUCUUCAACCACCGGGUUACUGGCGCCGGUGUCAUCCUGUCAAUGAGCAAGUGUUGAUAAGGCGGACAGCAACAAACCACAAGUACAGCAAGAGUUUAAAGGCUUAGGGGUUACCUCUGACUCGGAGAUGUCGCUUAGUUGCAUCAGCUCCGAAGCAGUAGGUCUGCUUCCUUUUUUACGAGGGGCGGCUUUCUUCGCCUUCCUGGCCUUCUUGGCCGCCUCAUGGUCAUAUUUGACCCGCCAGAACUUAUCAUCAGCCUGAAAAAUACAAGGAUGAAUUUUCAAAACGGUUCAGAUGCAGGUUAUAUGCAGAAGGAGAUAAAAUAUUAAAGUCAGUGGCUUACCGCUGGGGCCGGGUUGGCCUUGCAGAAGGGGGCUAACCCGGUCCUUCCACAGUCUGCCAGACUCUCGUUUAACAGAGCCUUGGUCUCUUCCUCAGCAACGUCUUCUGGAAGAUCAUUGCGACUGUGCCUCUAAGGGUCAUCCUUUCGCCCGGUGUACUCACACAUUAAGCCGGGGCGGCGGCUCAAUGGGAUCACCCGCCAUGAGAUCCAGACCCGGACCAGGUCGAUUCCGUUCAGGCCGUUGCCCAGGAGGGCCUUGAUUUUAUUGAUAGUCGGAAGCAGAGGCUGGCGCUCCGCUACAGUCAGCUUGUCCUACAGCGGGUGAGUCGGCUCUAGACGUGUUGGGCGAAAGCCGGGCAGCGGGUUCUCGUCAGCCGGGGACGUAUCUUGGCAGUAGAACCAAGUCAUAUUCCAGUCCUUGGGGUGGCUCGGCGGCUCUGCGUAAGGGAAAAGACAGUCCCUACGCUGCUGGAUGGAGAUGCCACCUAACUCCAGACUUGGCCCGUUGGCGCACUCAUUUUGGCGGUUUAAGUAAAACAGCUCUCUGAAGAGCAGCAGACUAGGCUCUUCUCCAAGGUACACUUCGCAAAAGACUUGGAAAUUGCAGAUGUUGGACACGGAGUUGGGUCCUAUAUCUUGAGGCCGCAGGUCAAAGAAGUUGAGCACGUCCCUGAAAAACUUUGAGCCGGGCGGUGCGAAGCCCCAGCUCAUAUGAUCUGCGAAGAUCACUACCUCCCCGUCCCUUGGCUGUGGUCUCUCUUCCGACGGGUCAGGGGCACGGUAGGACAUGAUUUCCUUCUUAGGCAAAUAUCCGGACUUAACAAAAUUGACCAGGGUCUCGUUGGUGACGUUGGACCUCAUCCAGUUGCAAGUGAUGGGAGCCUUGGGAGGCAUGGUGAAAGUUGGUGGUCUAUGACAAAAAGGAAAAGUGUCCGGGUUAAUUAUAAACCGGAGAUUUACAGUUCCAAACUAUGGUGGCGGUUUAUGAAGGGGACUAAUGGUAUAUACUCAAAUAUGGUGGUUUUCUUUAAGUCGGAGGAUUCUACGAAGCAUGGUUUUCUUUAAGUCGGAGGAUUCGGCAGCGUGUGGUUUCUUUAACCCGGAAUCGUAAGCCGCCAAGAUUCAAUGGCUGCAGUUUUUACUAAGUGUGGUAAAACAGGUUUCACAUCUUGCAGUAACUUUUUUGGAUCAAAAUGGUUGGGUGAAAUGAAAAUUUUCUAGACCUAGAAACAGACGAGCAGAUGUUCUUGAGCUCGAACGAAUCAUCUAUACAGUGGAAAGAGAUCUACUGGCACUUGAAAUGAGGCCUAAACAACUACCGCACUAGUUUUAUACAAGGCUAAAGAUCCAACAAGUGCAGUGACUACGAGAACUACCGAGGCUUGUGGCAAUGGCGAUGAACGCGAAGAACACAGAUGAACCCUACGGUAGAUCUAUCUGACAGGGCAGAAGAGACUCACCGGAGUUGGAGAAGAGCGGAAGUCGCCGCCGUUCAUCUGGUCCGAGUCAGGGUGAUGCAGCGGCCGAGUUGAUGAAGACCAGGGGCGUGACGGCGGCGGCAGUGGCAGAGCUCGGGCAGAGGAGUGACGGCGCGAGGAGGAAGAAGAGAGCGUGAGAAGAGCCUGUCGGGCCGGCCUAUUUAUAAGGCAAGGUCAUAAGUGGGCGCGAGAUUCAAGGAGACCACGGCGUGGUUAUCUCCCCCCCACGACGCCUCGAUUUUUGGAAUGACAGUAAAAGCAAAGAUCCAUUGCAAAUCUGGCGGAGUAAAAACGGACUUAAUGGAGGAUGACGUCAUGGCGGAUUAUCCGGAGCUCAGAGGAUGACGUCACUCCGGGUCAUGGCCUUCACAUGAAUGGUAAGCCGGAGAUUUUUUCUGUCAGAAGAGUUGAAGAUUGACGUGAGCCAACUCAAAUCAAUCUGGGGCCUAAUGUUGAGGAUAUAGACCUUAGAGUCACCCGCCAGGAGGGGCCGGGUUACUCGUACGGUCGUUCCCAGAAGCCCGGAGCCAAGUUUGAAGACGAUGGGCCAGAGAUGGGCUGAGACCCGGAUAUGGCUUAAAGCCCGUAGUUGUAAUCAUUGUUAUGGUAGAACUUGUAGUGUAAGACAAGUAUAGUUGAGAGUCCGAGCCGGACACUCUUAUGAGCCGGUCGGGACUCUGAGGGCUGCUGGGCGUCAGCCUCCCUAUAUAAAGGGACGACCCGGCAGUGGUUUAGGGGCGAGAACAAUCUCAUCGAGAGCCGGGAUAGCAAGUUUAGCUCCCUGGUGAUCGUAACCCUAAUCAAUACCAUCUCAACUGGACGUAGGCCUUUACCUUCACCGUAAGGGGCCGAACCAGUAUAAACCCUCGUGUUCCUUGUCCCACUUAACCCCUUCAAGCUUCCUAGUUGCAAUGGCUCCACGACUAAGUCCUAGCUCGAGGACAUCUGCCGUGACAAUUCCACGACACAUCUAUAUAUUUGUUAAAGGGUGGGAGGCUCGGCCUUAUGCCUGGUGUUUUGUUCCCCGUCAUACCGGGAUUAUGUUCCUUGAGUUUGCGUUCCUUACGAGGUUGGGUGAUUUAUGGGACCCCCUUGACAGUUCGCCUUGAAUAAAACUCUUCCAGCAAGGCCCAACCUUGGUUUUACAUUUGCCUACCUAAGCCUUUUUCCCUUGGGUUUUCGCAAGCCCGAGGGUCAUCUUUAUUUAAACCCCCGGACCAGUGCUCCUUCGAGUGCUGGCCCAAACCGAGCGAUGUCCGGCGCCCCCUGGGAAACCAGGGUCUAUGCCAACCCGACGUCUGGCUCAUCCGGUGUGCCCUGAGAACGAGAUAUGUGCAGCUCCUAUCGGGAUUUGUCGGCACAUUCGGGCGGCUUUGUUGGUCUUGUUUUACCAUUGUCGAAAUGUCUUGUAAACCGGGAUUCCGAGACUGAUCGGGUCUUCCCGGGAGAAGGUUUAUCCUUCAUUGACCGUGAGAGCUUAUAAUGGGCUAAGUUGGGACACCCCUGCAGGGUAUUAUCUUUCGGAAGCCGUGCCCGCGGUUAUGAGGCAGAUGGGAAUUUGUUAAUGUCCGGUUGUAGAGAACUUGACACUUGACUUAAUUAAAAUACAUCAACCGUGUGUGUAGCCGUGAUGGUCGCUUUUCGGCGGAGUCCGGGAAGUGAACACGGUUCAGGUUAUGAAUGAACAUAAGUAGUUUCAGGAUCACUUCUUGAUCAUUUCUAGCUUCACGACCGUUGUGUUGCUCCUCUUCUCGCUCUUAUUUGCGUAUGCUAGCCACCAUAUAUGCUUAGUGCUUGCUGCAGCUCCACCUCAUUACCCCGUCCUUUCCUAUAAGCUUAAAUAGUCUUGAUCUCGCGGGUGUGAGAUUGCUGAGUCCUCGUGACUCACAGAUUCUACCAAAACAGUUGCAGGUGCCGACGAUACCAGUGCAGAUGACGCAACCGAGCUCAAGUGGGAGUUCGACGAGGAACGUGGUCGUUACUAUGUUUCGUUUCCUGAUGAUCAGUAGUGGAGCCCACUUGGGACGAUCGGGGAUCUAGCAUUUGGGGUUAUCUUAUUUUCAUUUGGAUUUGACCGUAGUCGGUCUAUGUGUGGAUUUUGGAUGAUGUAUGAAUUAAUUUAUGUAUUGUGUGAAGUGGCGAUUGUAAGCCAACUCUCGUUAUCCCAUUCUUGUUCAUUACAUGGGAUUGUGUGAAGAUGACCCUUCUUGCGACUAUACCUACAAUGCGGUUAUGCCUCUAAGUCAUGCCUCGACACGUGGGAGAUAUAGCCGCAUCGUGGGCGUUACAAAAGGUUUCCUUCAGAUCAUCUAUCAAGGUCUCCUUCUCUUUGGACUUCACCACAAUGUCAUCCACAUAAACAUGAACAUUACGCCCAAUCUGAUUGUGGAGACAGUUCUGCACACAUCGCUGAUAAGUCGCCUGAGCACUUUUAAGCCCAAAAGGCAUAGAUACAUAGCAGAAGGCUCCAAACGGAGUAAUGAAAGCCAUCUUCUCCUGGUCCUUAACUGCCAUCUUCAUCUGAUGAUAACCAGAAUAAGCAUCCAAAAAGCGCAAACGCUCACAACCCGCCGUAGCAUCAAUGAUUCGAUCAAUGCCAGAGAGAGCGAAGGGAUCAGCCGGGCACACUUUGUUUAAAUCCGUGUAAUCCACACACAUACGCCAGGUGUCGUUCUUCUUGAGUAAAAGCACCGGGUUAGCCAACCACUCUGGGUGAAAUACUUCAACAAUAAACCCGGCCGCCAAGAGCUGGGCCACCUCCUCACCAAUAGUUUUACGCCUCUCCUCAUUAAACUGCCGAAGAAACUGCUUGACCGGCUUAAAUUUUGGAUCAAUAUUAAGAGUGUGCUCAGCGAGUUCUCUCGGUACACCCGGCAUGUCAUAAGGUUUCCAUGCAAAGAUAUCCCGGUUCUCACGGAUGAACUCGAUGAGCGCGCUUUCCUAUUUGGGAUCCAGAUUGGCACUGAUACUGAACUGCUUAGAUGAGUCGCCUGGAACAAAAUCAACAAGCUUGGUGUCAUCGGCCGACUUAAAUUUCAUCACUGGCUCGUGUUCCGUGGUUGGCUUCUUCAAAGACGUCAUGUCCGCCGGGUCAACAUUGUCCUUAUAGAACUUCAACUCCUUUGUUGCACAAACAGAUUCAGCAUAAGCAGUGUCGCCUUCCUCGCAUUCCAAAACUAUCUUCUGACUCCCAUGCACUGUGAUGGUGCCCUUGUGACCCGGCAUCUUGAGCUGCAGGUAAACAUAACACGGCCGUGCCAUGAACUUUGCAUAAGCCGGCCGUCCAAACAGUGCAUGAUAUGGGCUCCGGAUUUUGACCACCUCAAAAGUUAACUUCUCAGCCCUGGAAUCAUGCUCAUCCCCAAAGGCUACUUCCACCUCAAUCUUACUCGUUGGGUACGCCGACUUACCGGGCACUACUCCAUGAAAAACAGUGUUGGACGUCUUGAGAUUUUUAUCAGUCAAUCCCAUGCGAUGAAAGGUCACAUAAUAGAGGAUGUUGAUGCUGCUGCCUCCAUCCAUGAGCACUUUUGUGAAUUUGUAUCCACCAACUUGAGGUGCCACCAUUAAGGCCAAGUGACACGGAUUGUCAACCCGGGGAGGGUGAUCCUCCCUACUCCAUAGAAUACGUUGCUCAUACCAUCUCAGAUAACGAGGAACUGCCGGCUCAACAGCGUUCACAGCCCUCUUAUGAAGUUUCUGGUCCCUUUUGCAUAAACUGGUGGUGAACACAUGAUAUUGCCCACUAUUCAGCUGCUUUGGGUUACUCUGAUACCCGGAUUGCUGCUGCUGCUGACCUCCUUGGCUAGAUUGCUGAUUAUAACCACCUUGGUUGCCUUGAGGGCCUUGAAAGUUAGAAUUUGAGCCGCCACUCGGGCCAUGAAAACCACCACCGCCUGAACCGCCACCGGGUCCAUGACUACCGUCGAACAUGUUAGAAUUCUUGAAAGCCCUCAUGAUCGUACAGUCUUUCCACAGGUGCGUGGCUGGCUUCUCCCGGGUGUCGUGUCUUGGAUAGGGCUCAUUUAGCAACUGCUCAAGGGUGGGACCUGACCCGCCAGACCGAGGAGGUGGCCUCCCCUUACGUUGUUGAUUAUUACCCUGUGCAUUAGCCACAAACUCCGAGCUACCGUCAGCCUUACGCUUAUUAUUACCUCCUUGAUUCGCCGGGUUAUGCUGAAGACCCUUAGCGUUGCCAUUCUUCUUUCCCUUCACUGUCUUCUCUUCAUCAGACGCGGGAUCCUUGGUACUAUCAGAGUCGGCGUAUUUGACUAGAGCCGCCAUCAGCUGGCCCAUGUCAUUGCAAUCGCGUUUGAGCCGCCCCAGCUUCUGCUUCAGAGGUUCAAAACGGCAUUUUUUCUCCAACAUUAAGACUGCAGAGCCGGCAUCCAUCUUAUCAGAUGAAUGUAUUAUUUCCUUCACCCGGCGCACCCAAUGGGUCGUGGACUCACCUUCCUCUUGCUUGCAAUUAGUCAAGUCCACAAUCGACAUGGGCUGCUUGCAUGUGUCUUUGAAGUUCUGAAUAAACCGGGCCUUUAACUCGGCCCAGGAACCAAUGGAAUUAGGUGGCAGUCCCUUUAACCAAGUGCGGGCCGUUCCAUCCAGCAUCAUAGUCCAUUGCCGCGUCAUUGACCUCCAGCAAUUCCAUGGCCAUCUCAUAACUUUCAAUCCACGCCCCGGGCUGUAAGUCGGCCGUGUAGUUAGGCACCUUUCGAGGCCCCUUGAAAUCCUUGGGCAAACGCUCAUUACGCAGUGGUGGUACUAAGCAAGGGACACCUCCCGUUCCCGUGGUCGCGCCUGCCUCAAUAGAAGUCAUCGGAUAAACCGGAAAAGACUGAUAAGCCGCCCGCUGAGCCGCCUGCUCAAUCGCCUGCUGAGCCGCCCGCUCAGCCUCUUGGCGUAUCUUGUCCUGAUCAACCAAGUUAGGGGCUCCAUCACGCGUCGGGUCAUGCCCACACGGUUGGUCACGGCGCCGGGCAUUGCUUGAAACCGCCGCCGAGUCCAUAUGCCUGCUAUAACUCGAGCUCCGGCUUGGGCGAGGGGUCAAAUGAAUCAUGUCUCGACUGUAAGAAUAUGCCUCCUGCUGUGCCAGAGCCGUCUGAAGAAGUUCUCUGACCCUUCGUGUUUCGAUCGCCGUCGGAGAGUCGCCCUCCACCGGGAGAGCCGCCAAUCGUGCCGCCGCAACGAUCAUGUUCUCCAACGGGUUAGAAUAAUGACCCGGUGGUGUUAGUACAUACUGAGGUGGAGCAGUGUUCACUCGAGGAGGUUCCAUCACCCAUGGUUGAACCGGCGUCCCAGCUCCGGGCGUCGCAGCCGGGUUUACCUCCGGCGGAUUACUGGGGCCUGCACCGGGUGUGCAGAAGAGGUUUCUAGGAUCAUAAAUCGAAGGCAGACGGGACUGGGACUUCUGGCGCCUUCUCCUCAUGACCUCAUUUGAUGCAUUUAAAUCCAUCGUAAGCUGGAACGCUUCUGAUUGAAGCUGCUGAGCUCGAGCAUCCAAAGCCGCCCGUUCUGUGGCCAGUCUGGUGUCCUCAGCUGCUAGGUUUUCCUUGGCUUGUGCUAUUUCCUCACGUAACCGUGCCACUUCUGCGUCAUGUUCAGCCUGAUUCGCCGGAUUAACCGCGGCGGUUAACAGGGUUGUCAACCUAUCCGUGAGAUCUAUCAGCACCUGAGCCGGCGGGCGCACAGGGCCUCCUGCCCCGGCUGCCGUUGAUCCGGAGGUUAUUGCUGCCGCAGCUGUAGAGUUUUGACCGGGUUGAGUGCCAGCCAUGAAGAUCCCUACUCUGCUCGGCGGCUCAAAGGGGUCCGGAAUACUGCUGCCAUCGGAACAGCCCCCAAGCCCGCCGUCUUGUAAUUGAUACAACGAAUCCGUCUCACCCAUGGAUGACUCACAGUCAGAAUAGAUGGUCGUCUCACCGCCAGACAUGGAUCCGUCAAGAAGUUCCCCUCCAUGGAUGCAUCCCACGAAGGCACGCUUCAUGGCGGGCGGAGCCCGGGCGGGUCUCGCAUGUUGAGCCGUCUCGAUGAUGUCGGUGCAGAUGUCCGGCUCAGGGCCCGGCUCGCCGAUCCGGCCGAUUAAGACGUGAAUUCCGCCGAAGGGGACCUGGUACCCGUACUCAAUUAAGCCGGCGUCGGGGCCCCAGCCUGCGUCGUCGAUAUAGAGCUUGCCGCGACGACUCUUGGUCAUCCGGCCCACAGCGUAUCCCUUGAGCCCUUCGAAGCUGCCCUUCAAGAACUCAAAUCCACCGUGCGCUGGCCCCACGGUGGGCGCCAACUGUCGUGGAAUUGACACGGCAGAUGUCCUAGCGAAAGGACUUAGUCGUGGAGCCAUCGCAACUAGGAAGCAAGAAGGGGUUAGUCGGGGUAAAGGACACGGGGUUAUACUAGUUCGGCCCCUUACGGUGGAGGUAAAAGCCUACGAUCCAGUUUUGAGUGGGAUUGCUUAUGUCUCGAUAACCAGGGAGCGAAUCCGCUUGACCUAGCUCUCGAGUUUAUGUUACUUGCCCUGAACCGCCGCCGGGUCGUCCCUUUAUAUACAGAGGUUGACGCCCAGCGGCUCAUAGAGCCCGGCCGGCUCAUAGACAGUGUUCGGCUCGGUUUCUCUCUAUUCCUGCCUUAUAAUACAAGUUACACACAUAUGGCGGUUUAUCUCUAUGGGCCUUAAGUCACCCUUUGGGCCUUGGGCCCUUAACUAACCCGUCAUCUCCAGGAGUCGUCUUAGGCUUCAUGAGUCGUCUUAAGUAUGACCCGGCACCUCCUGGCGGGUCAUACUAAUAAUUAUAUCCCCAAUAGUUUCUGCUUUCGGUCUACGAGGGUACGUGGACACUCUCCCCGCUCGUUGCUAUGCAUCUUCUAGAUAUAGAUCUUGCGUGAUCGUAGGUAAAAUUUUGAAAUACUACGUUCCCCAACACCCGGGCGCAUCCGAGCUCCCCCAUAUCCGCCUCAUAUUUGGACUGGAUAUGAGGGGUGCCGGUCAGCCCGAGCGUUUGAGGCCCGUUUGAGGCAUCCGUCUAGGUCGAAAAAUCGUGAUCGCUCAGUGAUCGGGCGGGCCGCCCAGGCGUUCGAGGAGGGUUUGGAGCGCCCGGCUGUAGAUGCUCUAAUGCAUAUGUAAAGAUGUAAAAUGGCCGACCGCGGCGGGGCUAUAGCCGCUAUUUGGAAUAAAAAUUAUCAUAUAGAGCAAUAUAUUCAGAUUUAACUAGAUGACUCCCCGCGCGUUGCUGCGGGACGUUAGUAUGCCAACCAACACACUGAGAUGCACAUUAAGAAAAGAAAUGGCUUUCAAGUGAUACAAGGCCUGGUUGUGUGCAUCUAAGGAUUAACGGGAAGGUAAUUUAGCGCAAUAGCUACUGUACUAUUUAACUUAAAUGAUUAACUUUCAUUGAGUCAGCAACUAUAUGAUCGUAUGCAGUUUUGAGAUUAACUUCGCGAACAUUCCCUGUUCAUAGGUAAUUAAAUAGACUUCACGAAUUGACAGUGUUAUAAAAGAAAUGUGGUGCCGACGCAGAGAAAUUGCUAUACUCAAUCUCAACUGAAAUCUUUUAACACACAUACCUAAAGAAAUAAUCGACAACCCUCCAUAUUUGCAAAAAAAUGUGAAAGCAGUAGCGCUAAAAUGUCGAGACGAGAAAAGGGGAUACGAAUGUCAGGUCACAACAUCAAAUCAAGUGAAUCAUAAAACAAAGAGAAAAGUAUGUUUUUGUCCCUCAAGUUCCCAUAAAGUAUAGACUUGGUCCCUCAAAUUUUUUUGGUAUACAUCUGGUCCCUCAAGUCUCAAAACCGGAUAAGUUUGGUCCUAAACCAGAUUUUGAGCACGUUGACCGGUUUUGACCGCAACAAAACCGCCCGAUGAACAGUAAAUUUGACAAAAAAAUAAAAAAAAUCAAGAAAAUCUGAAAUUUUUUGAGGUCGAAUAUGCUUGCGUACACAAGAUGUGAACAAAAUUUCGUUCUCUUUCGGCACUCAAGGAGCUCGUGGUAAAAAAACAAAAAUAUCUGCCUGAUGAAUAGUAAAUUCAAAAAAAUCAAAACAAAAUCAAAAAAAUCUGAAAUUGUUUGGGGUUCAAUAUGCUUACAUGCGCAAGGUCCGACCAAAAUUUUGUCAUGAAAUGACAUCGGACGGGCUCUAGCAAAAAGAAACAAUUUUGGCUAUUUUUUUUGAGCAAAAUUUUGUUUUAUUUUUCACCAGCUCUUAGAGUGUCGAAAGAGCAUGAAAAGUUGGUCGCACCUUGCGCAUGUAAGCAUAUUGGAUCCAAAAAAUCAGAUUUUUUUGAAGUUUUUUUUUCAAAUUUACUGUUCAUCGGGCGGUUUUGUGGCGGUCAAAACCGGUCAACGUGCUCAAAAUCUGGUUUAGGACCAAACUUAUCCGGUUUUGACACUUGAGGGACCAAAUGUAUACGAAAAAAAUCUUAAGGGACCAAUUCUAUACUUUAUGAGAACUUGAGGGACAAAAACAUACUUUUCUCUACAACAAAUCGAGACAGAGCAAGGAGAAGAGAUGUUAGGCUUUUCUUCGGGCUGGGCUUACAGACCUUGAUGUCGACAGCAAGGAGGCGAGAAGACCACUUCUCAAGUCCUCAUGGCUCUUGUAGCAAAGGAACACGCAACGCCCGUGGAAGCCCACCGUAUCAAUACUGAACCGUAUCGUGAUCUUCUCCCUCCCGAGCUCCUCCAGCUGGAACCUGAACUCCUUGUCCAGAUCGGGGCCGCGACGGGGAGGCCGCCUCUGGCGCAUCCGAGGCCGCCAGCGCCAGGAGGGCCCGGAGAAGAGCGACGGCAUGCGACUGGUUGAUUCAGACGUUCUGGCUGGGCGACAAUGGAACCAUGGCUCAGCCCACAUCCCAUCGCUCAUAGAGGCGUCGAAGGGGAGUCAUAGCCGGAGGAGUGGACUGGUUCAUAGUUGGAGGAGCCUCCUCCCGCAGAGAUUGCAUUCCAACCGCCACUCAACGCGAGGAUUGGAGAAAGAUUUAUCCUGUGGAGAAGAAACGGAAGUGGAGAAGGAAGUGGUGCGGUCGGGCCUAUAGUGGGGAAACCAAUUUAGGACAGUAUAACUGCACUUAAUCCCAGCCCUCUCAGGCCAUCAGUAACCACAGCCGUUUAUUUUCACGAUUGAGCCAAUUCUGGUCGUCUGAUCACGGUCAGGGCGCUGUCCCCUCGUUUUUCAGCAAGUGGGCCAGCUGUCCUAUAGGGACGUUACUCCCGUGGAAAAAUCGAAGUGUGCUGGUUGAUUGGUCCUCCGGCUAAUUCGGCCUUACGAGCAAGAAGCCCAUCUCAGACGAGAAAUAACAUGACCUCUUUCCUCGCUCUCGCCCCUCCCUCUCCCACGCGGAUGACGACGGCGACCGCGGCGUGUCUGCUUCCCAUGCUCGUCGCGGUCCUCCCCCCGCGCAGAGACAAUUGGGCUUGUAGUGCCUCCCACCUCGACCUCCCGUUCUCGUGGGCCAUCCCUCCGGAAACCACCGGCGGCCGGAUGGGACCGCAAGCAGCGUCGUCCUUCCCAGAUCUCUGGAGCAAGAGGCGUUGCCCCUCCCUCUUCGACGGGAGGCGCCCGUCCCGCAAUCCGACUUCGAGUAGCCGCACCCACCGAGACGCACUUGCUCGCGGGCUAUGACACCACCCAUCCCUAAACCGCUGUUGCCGGCGACGCCUCCGCCAAGGUUGCGGCGAUGGAACCCACACCAGGGUUCCGGGUGCUGUUGGGAGGGGUGAGCGUGCGGCAUGGGCCGCUGGCCUUUGGGACACAUCUCCACACGCAUAAGCUGGGAUCUUGCAGUGGCGAAUGACGCCCCAUCUUCCCUUAGCCGGCGACGGUGGAUCUACGCGGUGACAGCGCGCACUGCCCCCUCCCUCCACAUCUCAAUGUCGCAGUCGUCGCCUUCCUCGUCCAUCGGAGGUGCUCCACCAUCUAAACACUAACCUUCCCUCAUCUUAUUUCAGAUCGUAACUCUGUUUUAAUUCAAUCAUACUCUGUUUUUCUUGUACAAGGGACUCUUGGUGGACAACUUCUUCACCAUGGUUCUCCAGCAACUGCACAAGUAGGUCGGUUCUCUCUGCUUGUUGCCCCGCGGAAUUCAUAUUGUAGGUGAUGUAUGGCGCUGCACAAGAGAGGACAUUUGUAUGGGAAACAGCUAAAUUUCUCCGUGGCAUGCUACUGCAUGAACAACUGAAUCCAUAAGCAAGUCUACACACAUGAGUUCAGGGUUGAAUAGAGUUGUUCCGUCCACAUGGUUGGAAAUUAAGGUUUUGUGUAUACAAAGUUUCUGUAUUGUUGGCUUGCCAUAUUCUUCGGUAGUUACCUGGCCAAGGAACAAGCACGAAUUGUGGAAGAAGAGAAGAAAAUACUAGAGAUUAUAUGUGUUCGAAAUCAAAUGCUAGCCCUAGAAAUAUUAGUCUAACAAAUCAUAUUCUGAUGCACCAAGGUUAUUGGUUUAUCACUUAUAGUUCAAAUUGUUGUUUUAGUGAUGUAUAAAAGUCAAUACGACUUUGAUAAUCAAGUUGAUCAAAUUUCUUCUUUUUAUUGCAUCUUUUUUCUCUGAACCAUUUUGAUCCUUUUCUUCCUGAAGAACAUAGCUAACGUAGUUUAACUAUUAGGUCUUCAGUAUAAACUAGCAAGGAAGAAAUGUUCUUCAAGUCUCAAGCAUUGUUGGGUUCUGACGGUGCGAAUAUCUUUUACAGUGAGGUAACAACAUAACUAGACAUGUACAACAAAUUUGCAGUCAUUAUCAGUGUUCUGCCUAGCUCAUGGUGCCUUAAGUUGCUUCCAUUAUCUUUCUAUGAAUCCGUCAAAGUCUAGCUUUGGUACUGAUGCUUUUGUAUUCUUACUUGUAUUUACUUAACUAAAAGCUACCAACUGAGAUACAUCAUUUCCAAGUUUUUUUCGUAUCUACCAGCUUUUGGCUAUCCUAGGUGGUGGGAAUGGCGCUAGAGGGUUCUCAGUUUAAUGCCAAGUAUUAUGACAACAAGAUGUAUAGCUGCACUAAGUUACCUCUCUGCCGCUUUUUUAUCUUAAACUUUGGAGGUCAUCAGAAGCUUUCUUUCUUGUUCGAUGACACCAUGUACUUUGUGUAAUGAUUGCAAUAUUCAUGAACCAAGCUGAUACAAACCAAAUACCUUUGCAAAUCAAUUUUUGACAUGAACUUCGGGAUUUUUAACUUCAUAUGUUGAAGUGCCUACGAAUAUUGUUGAGAUGAACCUCUAAGAGAACCUUCUAAGAGGCAUAUACGCCUGUGGUAUAAAAACUCCUGCCCUUACAUGCUGCUUACCAAUUUAAAUUUUGAUCAUCUUACAAAUCCAACACUUAAAUAAAUUAAUUAUUGGUAGGGUGGGAAUUUACUAUGACGCUUGUGGUAUAAAAACUCCCGCCCUUACAUACCAAUUUAAAUUUUGAUCACCUUACAAAUCCAACACUUCCAUAAAUUAAUUAUUGGUAGGGUGGGAAUUUACUAUGAGUCAGUUAGCAAAGCGGGUCUCACCUGCAGUGGAUAUGAUAAAGAUUUCCAGAGCCAGAGGAAGAGAAAUAAACCAAUAUGGUUAUUUCUAUGAUGAAAGGUAUGAGAAGUCAGCUUUAUUUAAAUAUGAAACAUACAUAAAUUAUUCAGAAAUCGUAUCAUGAGAAGCCCUCACUAAAACCCAACGAAGCGUUGCUGGUUUUUAGCCAAAUGUUGGAAUGUGGCCAAGCUAUGUGAUUUCUUUAUGCUUGGAGGCAAUCGUAAUGACAUAGACUUACUGUGACCGUUUUUAGUUUACCUUUACAUUUAAUAUGCUCUGUUAGGAAAAUGCUAUUGAAAGUAAAAUAUGACAUUCAGGUUAAUGUACAUUUUUUUCUUCAUUUCCUUUAACUACUAAAUUUGUCUCGAGUCAUCUUUAGGCAAUCAUUUCUUUGAUCAUACAUAUCAAAAGCCCCCAAGUUGCUACUCCAAAUAUUUAUUCAAAUUUGGGGCAUUUGAUUUCAGAGUACUGCUUGCUUGGACAAUGAUGUAGUUUAUGAUGGACUUUGGAUAGUAACUUACAUUUUGGAGAUCUCUUACCUCUUGAUUGAAGUUUGGUGGGGGAUGUCGUCCAAAUUUUUCUGCCACAAGAGGUUGAGUACAGAUACAACAUGAUGACAUUUCUACCACUGGGACACUAUUUUAGAACCCAGUGUGGGUUUGGUCAUCUGUCACCCAUUAUUUUUAAUAUUGGCUUCCCAAAACCACAUGUAACUAUAUAAUUUGGUAUAAAACAUCAAAGCAUAUAUUGUUAUUUUUCUUCCGAUAAACAGUUGUUUCUUUACAUCAAUGAGGUAAUAUGUGAUAGUACUAAUUAAUGUGCUACCGUGAGCAACUAUGCUUGAUGCUGGUAUCGGUUCACAACAUUCAUUUCGUUGGGAGCUAUAUUUUGAGGGUCAACCAGGAGAACCUAUGGGAAUGGUCUUAUUUACUCCCUCCGUAAAGGAAUCUACGAUCGUUUAGAUCACUAUUUACAAAGGGAGUACUUAACAUGUUAUCAAUCGUCCAGCUUAUGUAUCUAUUUAUGACCUAAUUUUGGAGCAUACCAGAUCUUGCUCAUGCCACCUUAUAUUUACAUUAAUUCCUACCAUUAAAAGGACAAAUUGACGGGCGCGGCAACGCGCGCCAUCCAUGAUCUAGUCGGGAAGGAAAACGAAGUCAUAAGGAAGCGUUGCGGUCGGGCCUAGUGGGCCAUUGGCAGAAAACAUAGUGGUAAAAAUAAUCACCAGAAAAGCGAUGCGCUGGAAAAAUUAAAGAUGAUAAUGCUGAUGUGGCACAUAUGAUGAGGUGGAUAGGCUGCAUGUCAACAGAAAUAGUUUAGUGGGGAUGAACUAUUUAGGUAUUAUAGAUAUGAACUCAACUUUCAUAACAAACAUAGUUCAUAAUCCAAUAACCAAAAGUGCAUCAUAUCAAUCAAAGUUCUUGGUCCAACAAAUUAAAAGAAAUAUAAAAACAAACAUAGCAUCUCAAUUUUCGUCCGAUCAAUUGUCACUAGUCACAUUGUAGACAUUGACAUCAUCAACGGCUUCUUUGUCGCCGUUUUCGUGCGUUGAUGCAUCGCGCGACUCCACUAGAAGCACCUCCAAUGUCACUCGUGUUGCCACUGAAGCCACCUCGCAUGCCACUCAUGUUGCCACCGAAGCCACCUCCCAUGCCAUUCAUGUUUCCAUCGAACCCACCUCCCAUGCCACCGAAGCCACCAUCCAUGUUGCCACCAAAGCCACCUCACAUGUUGCCACCAAAGGUACCAUUCAUGGCACCUCCCAUCAUGUUCAUGUAGCCGCCCACUCCACUGCCCUAUGGCACUUGCUGGUCCUUCUCCCAUUCCACCGCCAAUGGCACCUCCCAUUCCUCCUCCCAUUGCUCCUCCCAUUCCACCACCCAAGACACCUCCCAUUCCUCCUCCCAUCAUGAUUAUCAUGAGCAUUUGCUUCUUCAUGAUCAUUUCAUGGUGACAAAAGCUCAACAUACGCCUUUGCUUUGGGGUCGAGGCCACUUGUGUCCAUGAACACAAACUUGAGUGCCUUCUCCACCAUUUUGAGCUCUUCGGCCGCCACCUUAAUCUCCUUGGCCACCGCCAACCUCUCCUCGACCGCCGCCCUCCACCGCUCAACUUCCCCAUGGGCGGCAGCGGGGCUUGUGGUGGUGGAGGAGGCGGCCCAUGUUCGGCGGCAGUUGCCGCUGGCGGCAUCGUAUCGGCCGAAGCAGUCGCGACCUCCUUUGUCUUAUUUGCUGCUCGAGAUGGGCCCGUAGCGGGGUUGCACGCCGUCAGCCGCUUCACGCCCCACCACGGGGCAGCCGGCGGCGCACCUAUUCCCGCGGCGGCGACCAGCCGGGGUGAGGCGAAACUGGGGCGGCGGGAUGGGGGCGAUGUGGCGGUGAAGGCGGGGUCGGUGAAGGUGGUUGCGCAGGCGGCUGCUGCGGCGAGGUGGUUUAGACUGGUAGAGGCGACGUGGGAGGGGGGUCAUCGGAGUCGUCCAUGGGGUCGGGCGGCGCUCGGGAGACGGGUGGGCGCCUGGAAGUUUCAAAUUCGGCGGUUGGUUAUUCACGCGCGGAUGGGCAUUUUACAUCACUAGGCGGUCGAGAUGCAAAUUUGGAUCUCCAAGUGUUGUAUUUACAUCACUUGGAGGAGGUGAUGUAAAAAUUUAUUUUAUUUUAUUUUCGAAAAGGGGGGUCUCCCCGGCCUCUGCAUCAGAGUGAUGCAUACGGCCAUCUUAUUAACGAAAGAAAAGGUUCCAACAAGGUUCGAAAGUCUCCGACAGAAAAGUAAUAAAAAUACAGCUCACACAGAGCAAAAGAGGCUAGACACACAGACUAGCCAAGAAAAGACGCCACAUCCGGCUGGCUAAAUAUAGAUAGGUAAACUAAUUGCCUAUCCUAUUACAUGACCGCCAUCCAAACCGGUUGAAGAUAUCCCGAGCUACCAUCUCCCAGCGGAUAGAUCCAGUAACCAAAUGCUCCCUGGCCACCAUCGGAGUGAGUAGUGACCAUGAACGGAUCAUGGCCGUGGCUCGGAAAAUAACCUGCAAAAAAUGCAUACGUGAUAUUCUGUUAAAAACCAAAUCAUUUCUGCAAGUCCAGAUAGUCCACAACAACGCGCAAACUCCAACACGAAUAUGUCUCGCUAAUUCAGGCUCAACCCCGGUGAGCCAUGUCCCAAAUAACGUGGUGACAGAAUUCGGAGUAGUAAUAUUAAAAGCAAUGUGAACCGUCCGCCAAAGCACUCUGGCAAGCGGGCAAUCAAAAAAGAGAUGCUUGAUUGUCUCGUCCCGAUCACAGAAGCUACACCUCGUAGGUCCUGUCCAAUUACGCUUAAUCAAGUUAUCCUUGGUUAAAAUAACCUGUUUAUGGACAAACCACAUAAACACUUUUAUUUUCAAAGGAACUUUGACAGCCCAAACAUGCUUGGAUGUAGGAAUGGAGCUCGAAUUAAUCACAUCAAUAUACAUUGAUUUAACCGUGAAAACUCCAGACCUAGUCAGUUUCCAGCGCAAUUCAUCGGGUUGUUGAGAAAGAUGGACAUCCAUUAGUCUCCGAACUAGACGGAGCCAAUCUUCCCAACGAUUGCCCACUAACGACCGUCUGAACUGAAUAUUAAGGGGGUUGGAUUGAAACACCGUCGCAACGAACACCUCACGUCGUUGAACAAUACGAUAUAAAGACGGAUAUUGAAUGGCCAAGGGUGUCUCACCGAGCCAAGUAUCCUCCCAGAAUCGUGUACUAGCGCCGUUACCAAUAACAACCUUUGUCCUAUUAAACAACGAUUGUUUGACUUUCAUCAGGCCUUUCCAGAACGGCGAGUCAGUUGGCCUGACAGUGACCUAAGAUAAGGACUUUGUCUGUAGGUACUUGCUGCGAAGGAUUUGGGCCCACAUGGCCUCAGUCUCAAAAGAAAGCUUCCACAGCCACUUGCUAAGAAGGCAUCUGUUGUUGACUUCAAGAUUCUCAAUACCAAGACCCCCUUGGUCUUUCGGUCUACAGAUGAUAUCCCAUUUUGCAAGUCUGUAUUUUCUUUUAAGAUCAUCACCUUGCCAAAAGAAACGCGAUCGAUAAAAGUCCAGUCUUUUCCUAACACCAACUGGGACUUGAAAGAACGAUAAGAGAAACAUAGGCAUACUCGUGAGCACCGAAUUAAUCAAAAUUAGUCGGCCUCCAUAUGACAUGAGCUUGCCCUUCCAGCAACUCGUUUUCUUCUCGAACCGGUCUUCGAUGCACUUCCAUUCUCUAUUGGUCAGCUUUCUAUGGUGGAUUGGAAUACCUAGGUAAGAGAAAGGUAAAUCCCCCAAAUCGCACCCAAACAAUUGCCGGUACGCUUCCUGUUCGUCUUUGGCUCUACCAAAGCAGAACAGCUCGCUCUUAUGAAAGUUAAUCUUUAACCCAGUCAAUUGUUCGAAAAGGCAUAACACCAGCUUCAUAUUUCUCGCCUUGGCCAGGUCAUGCUCCAUAAAGAUGAUAGUAUCAUCAGCGUACUGAAGGAUGGAUACACCUCCAUCAACCAGAUGAGGUACCAAGGCACCCACUUGACCAUUCUCCUUAGCCCUUCCUAUCAAGAUAGCUAACAUGUCAACCACAAUGUUAAACAAGAUAGGGGACAUCGGAUCUCCUUGUAUUAGGCCUUUAUGUGUCUGGAAGUAAUGACCAAUAUCGUCAUUCACUUUAAUUCCCACACUCCCUUUUUGCGUAAAUGAUUCAACCUGGCGACGCCAGGCUGCAUCAAAACCUUUCAUACGCAAUGCCUGUUGGAGAAAGGGCCAUUUAACCUUAUCGUACGCUUUCUCGAAAUCCACCUUGAAAAUGACACCAUCUAACUUCUUGGAAUGGAUUUCAUGGAGUGUUUCAUGGAGAACGACCACCCCUUCAAGGAUGUUGCGGUCCGGCAUGAAAGCGGUUUGGGAAUGCUGCACCACAGAAUGCGCAAUCUGUGUGAGCCUAUUAGUCCCGACCUUGGUGAAGAUUUUAAAACUAACAUUGAGAAGGCAGAUCGGUCUGAACUGCUCAAUUCUCACAGCAUCCGUCUUCUUCGGAAGCAGUGUGAUAGUGCCAAAGUUCAAGUGAAAUAAUUGAAGCUGUCCAGAGAACAAAUCAUGAAACAUAGGUAGCAAAUCCCCCUUAAUAAUAUGCCAGCACUUUUUGUAGAACUCCGCCGGAAAUCCAUCCAGUCCGGGAGCCUUAUUAUUUUUCAACUGUGCUAUAGCAUCAAACACCUCCUUCUCCGAAAAUGGGGCAACCAGAAUAUCAUUUUCAGCUGCCGAGAGUUGAGGCACAUCCUCAGUUCUGGACUCUUCGAGAGAUACACAAUUAUCCUCCAGAGGGCCAAACAACUGCCUAUAAUACUCGGUUAUAUAAGUUUUUAGGUUAUCAUGUCCUAAAAUAGUGCCCUCAUCUUGCUCGAGUUGGAAUAUUCUCUUCUUUCUGUGCUUACCAUUAGCAAUCAGAUGAAAGAAUUGAGUAUUCGCGUCCCCCUGGACCACUUUGCGAACCUUCGCCCGCAGAGCCCACUUCAAUUCUUCUUCACGGAGAAGUUCUUUUAACCUCUUCUCUGCAUCGGUUUUAACCUGGAGCUCAGCAGGCGUCAAAAUCAUGGAUUCAGCCUUAACAUCCAGAUUCUGUAUAAGAGAGAGAAGCAUGUCCUUCUCAGCCUUAUAUACCCCACUAAGGUGCUUAGCCCAGCCCCGUAAGAAGCUUCUCAAACUCCUAAUCUUAUUUUGCCAAGACCGCCGUUCUACCGCCUACACCCUUCGCCCAUUCCCUAGCGAUCAGGUCUAGGAAUCCUUCGCGUUCGAACCAGGCCAUCUCAAAAGAGAAGGUGUUUUUGUUUCCCACGUGGUUCGGCUCCCCUGAGUCAACGAACAGGGGUGUGUGGUCGGAAAAACCCCGUGAAAGAGCUUGAACCGUCACCAGCGGGAACUUCUGUUCCCACUCCACACUCGCAAGAACGCGAUCAAGCUUUUCGUAAGUCGGGUUGGGCAGAGAGUUAGCCCAGGUAUACUUUCUACCAGAAAGUUCUAUCUCUCUCAGAUCCAAACUUUCAAUGAUAGUAUUGAACAUGAACGACCAUCUGCCGUCAAAAUUAUCAUUAUUCUUCUCCUCUCACGGUCAUCAUAAGACCAUAAAAGCGCAUAGGCAUGAUAGGUUAAAAUAUUGUGACUAUAAAUUAUUUAGAGUUGCUAAAUGGAGCAAAAAAGGUAGUUCAUACAUUGGACAGAGCAGCAAACUAUAUCAGCAACGUAAAUAACAUGCAACGUCGGAUUGAAAUCUACAGAAAAUAAAAUGAUACUAAAGCAGCAAUAAUUGACAUGAAUCGGGGGGAGUAGUAUUUUUUUUUAAAUUGCCAGCCUUCCUAUUUUUCACAUGCCAGUUGCACUAGCGUAAAUUCACAGCACACACAAACAAAAAAAGUUGUACUAUCUCUGUUUUCUCGCGGGUACUCAGUUAUUAACCUACCCACUCAGUUACACUACCCUACAAAAAUAUGUUCGCUUAGCCUAGAAGCAAGGAAGAGAUAUGCAUGCCACUGCAAGUAUAUAAGCAAGGCCCCGUCCCUCCUCUACAUUCAUCCAUCAUACAAUCCAUCUUGAAGGUUUUAAUCUGUCAUAGAACCCUCUCAAUCUUUCACAAGAAAACUAAAUGGAUCGGUCCAUGAAGGUCUUUGUGGUCGUCUUCCUUCUCCUUGUGGCCACAGGUGUGUAUGAUGCACUUACUAUUUAAGAUAACUGAUGAUACUGCUAUAAUUAUGUACUAGUAUGAGUAUGUGAGAUGGCUGAUACGCUCUUAUCAAUUUGCCCGUGUAGGGUUCCAGGGAGCAGUGCAGGUAGCUUUGGCGAGGGAGUGUACGUCACCGAGCCACAAGUUUAAGGGGUUGUGCGUGAGCGACACCAACUGUGCAAGUGUUUGCCUGACAGAGCGUUUCCCCGGAGGCAAGUGCGACGGCAUUCGGCAGCGUUGUUUAUGCACCGAGAAAUGCUAGAUGGCCCUGUUUUCGUCUUGGAUACGUACAUGCUUCCGUGUAAUAUUGAUUGAAUAAUACUAGAUCUGCAUCUAUGCAUGUAUGAUGCAUAUGUGAGUGCUACCUCUAGGAAGUACAUGAACAUCAUGUAAUCCGAACAAAGUUUCAACAGGGAACCAGUUCAAGUUGAAUAACCCAAGACCCCAGAAUUGGAGCUGCUACUGUUUUGGCGGUUGAAACGAAUAUAAGCUUAAAAACUAUAGAACAAAUGAGACAUGAAGCUUUACUAGAAGUCUAGAAGGGAAGUCAUAAUUCGUAAGAAAGUGGGAGCAGACAUAGCACGACAGCUGAAGAUUUGGCCACCACGAACAUAAAAUUGGGUGCCUUCUCCUCCACCAUCUUGAGCUCUUCGGCCGCCACCUUUCUUUCCUUGGCCGCCGCCCUCCGCCGCUCGGCUUCCCUCCUCUCUUCCAUUUAUUUUGACUUCAACUUUUUUUCUUCGGCAUAGUCUUUCCUUGCAGUGACAAUGGCGUCAAACCCUUAUUUAAGAUCAUUGUCUCCAGCCUUCGAACCCUUUGUUUUCUUAUUUCCAUCCAGCCUAUAUGACUUGGUCGCCGAGUGAGGAGUGGGGCUCCUUCUCUCCUUACCACAGACAUCAUCAUCAAUCCUCACGAUCAACAACCACACUUUUCUUCUUCGAAGCAUCAUAAACUUCUCAAGUCUUUCACUUCUUCUCAUCCUUGAGCUCCUUGUAGCAAUUGAUGAAAAGUGAAGGCUUUUCCUUUCUUUUUCCUCUUCUCUCCUUUGUUGUUUCUUUCUUGAAACAAUCCUUGCGCAGUCAUUUUCUACAACGAAACAACAAAAGCGACAUCAUCAAUUUAGGAACAUAUGCAGACUUGGGCAAUGUAGAGAAAACAAACACAAGUAGCAAGCAAUUACCAUGUCACUAUCACCGCAACCACUAGAGUUGAUGCAACCAACAUUUGUUAAGCAACCCGUCCACUUUUGGCAUUCGGCAUUGACGGUGCCCCAACGUUGACGAAUAAAAUCCCUUGAUCUAUAGUGUCCACUAGUAUUGCACUCAUCAAAAUAUUCCUUGAUGCAGUCCCAAUAGGUGUUCGCGGCUGGGUCACUCCCCACGGAUGCAUCAAUGGAGAUUCGCUUCCACGCAGUGCAAAUCAAGCCAUCUUCGGCGUUGGUAUAAUUUGUGCUUCUUCCCUUGAAAAUAAAGCCCUCAUUGUCCAUGUCGAGAUUAUCAUCAUCAAAUUGAGUAUCACAUUCUUGUGAUGCAUACUCUUGAGAGAAAUAAUCUUCGUUUACGCCAUUUGUCACGUGCAUGAAUGCUUCAUCAUCAAGACUACAAGUGGACGUACACACAAUCUCACAUUCUACUCGUACCAGAAAUGAAAAUAACAUACAAAAAGAAAAAAAAAUACCUUUGCAAAUUUCGUCGAGCACAUUGGAGGCGGUGUCGCGGGCGUGGCCGAGUCUUCCUCCAUGGGCGGCGGCGGGGCUUGCGGUGGUGGAGGAGGCCCAUGUUCGGUGGCAGUUGCCGCGGCCGCCAGCGGCAUCGAAUCGGCCGAAGCAGCCGCAGUCGCCUUUUUCAUCUUCACCACUCGAGAUUGAGUCGUGGCGGGGUUGCACACCGUCGGCCGCUUCGCGCCUCCACCAUGGGGUUUAGCCGCCGGCUGCUUCAUCACCGGCGGCGCACCUGUUCCUGCCGCAGCGACCGACCGAGGUGAGGCGAAACCGGGGCAACGGGAUGGGGCGGCAUGGCGGCGGAGGCGGGGUCGGUGAAGGUGAUUGCGCAAGCGGCAGCCGUGACGAGGUGGGUCAGACCAGCGGAGGUUGCGGCUGGGAGGGGGGGUCAUCGGUGUCGGCCAUGGGGCUAAGCGGCAGCUUGCGACCAGCGGUCGGGAGACGGGCGGGCGGCUGAAAGUUUCAGAUUCGGCGGUUGGCUGUUCACGCGCGGCUGGGCGUUUUACAUCACCAGGCGGCUGGAGAUGCAAAUUUGGAUCUCCAAGUGUUAUAUUUUACAUAACUUGGGGUAGGUGAUGUAAAAAUUUAUACAUCAGCAUCAUCUGUUAGAGCAGCGUUUUUCUUUUUGGCCUUGAAGAUGUAAAAAGCUGUUAUUUAUAUACCUACAUCAUCUAUUGGAGAUGCUCUCACAUCAUAAGACCAUAAGAGCUCAUAGGCCUGAUAGGUUAAAAUAUUAUGAUUAUACAUUAUUUAGACUUGCUAAAUGGAGCAAAAAAGUUACCCCUUUGUAAACUAAUAUAAGAGCGUUUAGAUCACUAAAGUAGUAAUCUAAACGCUCUUAUAUUAAUUUACGGAGGGAGUAGUUCAUACAUUGAACAGAGCAGCAAAAUAUAUCAGCAACGUAAAUAACAUGCAACAUCGGACUGAAAUCUAUAGAAAAUAAAAUGAUACUAAAACAGCGACAAUUAAUAUGAAUCCAAGGUAGUAGUAUUUUUUGAUUUUUUUGCCAGCCCUCCCACUUUUCAUUUUUCACAUGUCAGUCGCACCAACGUAAAUUUACGCACACACAAACAAAAAAGGUUGUACUAUCUCUGUUUCUUGCGGGUACUCAGUUAUUACACUACCCACUCAGUUAUACUACCCUACAAAAAUACGUUCGCUUAGCCUGGAAGCAAGGAAGAUAUAUGCGUGCACUGCAAGUAUAUAAGCAAGCCCCCCUCCCUCCUCUACAUUCAUCCAUCAUACAAUCCAUCUUGAAGGUCUUAAUCUGUCAUAGAACCCUCUCGAUCUUUCACAAGAAAACUAAAUGGAUCGGUCCAUGAAGGUCUUUGUGGUCGUCUUCCUGCUCCUUGUGGCCACAGGUGUGUAUGCUGUACUUACUGUUUAAGAUAACUGAUAAUACUGCUAAAUUAUGUACCGAAACGUCGUAUAUUUUGGAACGGAGGUAGUAUGUGAGAUGGCUGAUUUGCUCUAUCAAUUUGCCCGUGUAGGGUUCCAGGGACCGGUGCAAGUAGCUUUGGCGAGGGAUUGUACUUCACAGAGCCACGAGUUUGUGGGGAUGUGCCUGAGUGACCGCAACUGUGCAAGUGUUUGCCAGACCGAGUAUUUCACCGGAGGCAAGUGCGACCACCGACGUUGUGUCUGCACCAAGGACUGCUAGAUGGCCCCUGUAAUCUUCUUGCACACAUGGUUCCGUGUAAUAAUAAUAAUAAUAAUAACUGAAUAAUAAUACUAGAUCUGCAUCUAUGCAUGUAUGAUGCAUAUGUGAGUGCUACUCCUAGAAAGUACAUGAACAUCAUAUAAUCCGAACAAAGUUUCAGCAGGGAACCAGUUCAAGUUGAAUAAUCCAACACUCCGGAACUGGAGCGGCUACCGUUCUCGGGACUGAAACGAAUAUAAGCUUAAAAACUGGAACAAAUGAGACAUGAAAUGUUACUAGAACUCUAGAAGUCUAGAAGGGAAGUCAUAUUUCGUAAGGAAGAAAGAAAAGUAAAUCGUGGGAGUAGACAUAGCACCACACCUGAAGAUUUGGCCAAGACUUGGUGAAGAACCAAAAGUACCUAAGAAUCUACACAGAUUACAAGAAUCGAACUUGCAGGAGUAACUUUUGCAGAAUUGCUGCUAUGUAUACAGAAGUAUUGUGGAGAUAAGAGAUCUAAGAAUCUAAUUCAACAAUCUACAUAUUUUAGACCAAUUCAAUUUUUUUCAAAAAGAGGGGACAUCCCUCGGCCUCUGCAUCAUACAACCUUUUAUUUAUCAUAUCAAAGUUCAUCAUCCAACCAUAACAAAGUUCAACUAAUAAAGUGUCGCAUAUGACUGCGCGAAGGGUAAAUAAAAUAGUAAAAAAAUCAUAGGAAAAUGGGCCUCAUGCAUCACAAAUCCUACUAGUAGGCCGCCAACCAAAUCGGUUGAACAAAUCCCGAGAGACCAUCUCCCAUCGGUUGCACCCAAAGACCGUGGGCACCCGAUCCUCCUCCUUGCAAUGUAAUGACCACGUAUGGAUCCAGCUGUAGCCUUGAAGAUAACCUGUAAAAAAUUCGGAACUUUCGUUCUGUUAAAAAUACAAUCAUUACAAGUGUUCCAAAUGGCCUAAAGUAAAGCACAAAUUCCCACACGGAUCUGAGACUUAAACUUGGGGUGCACCCCUACUAACCAGUUUCCAAACAUAUCCGUACUACUCGUAGGUGUAGGUAGGUUGAAAGCUAUAUGGGCCGUUCCCCAUAGUAGCUUGGCAAGUGGGCAUUGAAGAAAUAGAUGCUGAAUCGACUCCUCAUUGCCACAAAAGCAACACUUAGUGCAUCCUUGCCAAUCUCUUUUUUUCAGAUUAUCUUUUGUCAGGAUGACCUUGCGAUCCAAAUACCACAUGAAGAUUUUUAUUUUCAGUGGGACUUUAAUUUUCCAUAUAUACUUGCGGUGAAAAGGUUGUCCUCAUUGAUGAGGUCUGUAUGCAUGGAUUUGACUGUGAAGUCACCAGAAGUAGUUAACUUCCAACGGAAUGUGUCUGCUUCGUGUGAAACGUUAACCAUCAUCAACAUGCCAACAAGGUCUAACCAGUCUGUCCAUUUGUCCCCAGUCAGUUGUAUUCUAAAGGCAACAUUCAACGGUAUGUGGUCCAUCACAGAGACAACGGAGACAUCUUUCCGCUGCACAAUAUGAUAGAGACGGGGGUAUUGCAUGGCUAGUGGCAAUGUCCCCUAGCCAUGUAUCUUCCCAGAACCUUGUAGUUAGACCAUUUCCUACAAUGAACGUCCCUCUGCGAAAAAAAUCAUUUUUAACUCCCAUGAGUCCUUUCCAGAAAGGCGAGUCUGUUGGUUUUGCCUGAACCUCAGAGAGGGUUUUUGAAUGAAGGUACUUAUUCCUAAGUAAUUCUUGCCAAACCCCAUCCUCGGUAAGUAUCUUGUAAAGCCAUUUGCUCAACAAACACUUAUUUUUAGUCUCAAGGUCUUCCACCCCUAGACCUCCUUGGUCUUUAGGGCGACAGAUCACAUCCCACCUUGCCAGGCGGUAUUUACGCUUAUGUUCAUCAGACUGCCAGAAAAACCUGGAUCUGUAGUAAUCCAAUCUUUCUCUUACCCCUUUAGGUAUUUGAAAGAAAGAUAACAUGAACAUAGGUAAGCUUGUGAGAACGGCAUUGAUUAAGGUGAGCCUUGCCCCAUAAGACAUAAGCUUACCAAUCCAACAACUCAACUUUUUCUCAAAUCGAUCCUCAAUACCUUUCCAUUCCUUAUUAAGAAGUUUACGGAAAUGGAUUGGGAUACCAAGGUAUCUAAAGGGAAAAGAGACUGACUCACAACCAAAAGUUGUUUGUAUUGAUCCUCUUCUUCUUUGGCUUGUCCAAAGCACAAGAGUUCGCUCUUGUGGAAGUUAAUUUUGAGACCAGAUAACUGCUCGAAUAAACAAACAAUAAUUUUCAUAUUCUUUGCAUUUUCAAUGUCAUGUUCCAUGAAUAUGAUGGUGUCAUCGGCAUACUGAAGUACCGAUACCCCACCGUCCACAAGAUGAGGAAUUAAGCCCGCAACAUGACCUCCUUCCUUGGCUCGGCUAAUGAGAACCGCUAGAAGGUCUGCCACAAUGUUGAAAAGAAUAGGCGACAUAGGGCAUCCCUGUCGCAAACCCUUUUGUGUCUGGAAAUAGUGACCAAUGUCAUUAUUUACAUUGACACCUACGCCGCCCCCUUUCACAAAUGUGUUAAUCCAUUGGCACCAUUUUCUCGGGAAGCCUUUCAUGCGCAUACAUUGUUGCAAGAAUGGUCAUUUAACUUUGUCAUAGGCUUUUUCAAAAUCCACUUUGAAGACAACUCCAUCAAGUUUCUUCGAGUGUAACUCGUGAAUCGUUUCAUGCAAGACAACAACCCCCUCCAGGAUGUGUCUGAAGGAAAUAUGCCCUAGAGGCAAUAAUAAAGUUAUUAUUUAUUUCCUUAUUUCAUGAUAAAUGUUUAUUAUUCAUGCUAGAAUUGUAAUAACCGGAAACAUAAUACAUGUGUGAAUACAUAGACAAACAUAGUGUCACUAGUAUGCCUCUACUUGACUAGCUCGUUGAUCAAAGAUGGUUGAGUUUCCUAGCCAUAGACAUGAGUUGUCAUUUGAUUAACGGGAUCACAUCAUUAGGAAUGACGUGAUUGACUUGACCCAUUUCGUUAGCUUAGCACUUGAUCGUUUAGUUUACUGCUAUUGCUUUCUCCAUGACUUAUACAUGUUCCUAUGACUAUGAGACUGUCCAACUCCCGAAUACCAGAGGAACACUUUGUGUGCUACCAAACGUCACAAGGUAACUAGGUGAUUAUAAAGGUGCUCUACAGGUGUCUCCGAUGAUGUUCGUUGAGUUGGCAUAGAUCGAGAAUAGGAUUUGUCACUCCGAUUGUCGGAGAGGUAUCUCUGGGCCCUCUCGGUAAUGCACAUCACUAUAAGCCUUGCAAGCAAUGUGACUAAUGAGAUAGUUGCGGGAUGAUGCAUUACGGAAUGAGUAAAGAGACUUGCCGGUAACGAGAUUGAGCUAGGUAUUGAGAUACUGACGAUCGAAUCUCGGGCAAGUAACAUACCGAUGACAAAGGGAACAACGUAUGUUGUUAUGCGGUUUGACUGAUAAAGAUCUUCGUAGAAUAUGUAGGAACCAAUAUGAGCAUCCAGGUUCUGCUAUUGGUUAUUGACCGGAGACGUGUCUCGGUCAUGUCUACAUAGUUCUUGAACCCGUAGGGUCCGCACGCUUAACGUUCGGUGACGAUCGGUAUUAUGAGUUUAUGUGUUUUGAUGUACCGAAGGUAGUUCGGAGUCCCAGAUGAGAUCGGGGACAUGACGAGGAGUCUCGAAAUGGUCGAGACAUAAAGAUCGAUAUAUUGGACGACUAUAUUCGGACAUCGGAAAGGUUCCGAGUGGUUUGGGUAUUUAUCGGGGUACCGGAGAGUUACGGGAAUUCGCCGGGGAGUAUAUGGGCCUUAUUGGGCUUUAGGGGAAAGAGAGAAGGGAGGUUGCGCGCCCCCCAAGGCCUAGUCCAAAUUGGACUAGGGGGAGGGGCGGCGCCCCCUCCUUCCUUCUCUUCUCUUUUCCCUUUCCUUCUCUCCUACUCCUACUACAUGGAAGGGGGGAAUCCUACUCCCGGUGGGAGUAGGACUCCUCCAGGGCGCGCCAUAGCUAGGCCGGCCCUUCCCCCUCCUCCACUCCUUUAUAUACGUGGCCAGGGGGCACCCCAUAGACACACAGGUUGAUCAUUGAUCUCUCUUAGUCGUGUGCGGUGCCCCCCUCCACCAUAAUCCACCUCGGUCAUAUCGUAGCGGUGCUUAGGCGAAGCCCUGCGUCGGUAGCUUCAUCAACACCGUCACCAAGCCGUCGUGCUGAUGAAGCUCUCCCCCGAAGCUCUACUGGAUCGUGAGUUCGCGGGACGUCACCGAGCUGAAGUGUGCUGAACGCGGAGGUGUCGUACAUUCGGUACUGAGGAUCGGUCGAUCGUGAAGACGUACGACUACAUCAACCGCGUUGUCAUAACGCUUCCGCUUACGGUUUACGAUGGUACGUAGACGACACUCUCCCCUCUCGUUGCUAUGCAUCACCAUGAUCUUGCGUGUACAUAGGAAUUUUUUUGAAAUUACUACGUUCCCCAACAGUGGCAUCCGAGCCAGGUUUAUGCGUAGAUGUUAUAUGCACGAAUAGAACACAAGUGAGUUGUGGGCGAUACAAGUCAUAUUACUUACCAGCAUGUCAUACUUUGGUUCGGCGGUAUUGUUGGAUGAAGCGGCCCGGGCCGACAUUACGCGUACGCUUACGCGAGACUGGUUCUACUGACGUGCUUCGCACACAGGUGGCUGGCGGGUGUCCGUUUCUCCAACUUUAGUUGAAUCGAGUGUGGCUACGCCCGGUCCUUGUGAAGGUUAAAACAACACUAACUUGACGAAAUAUCGUUGUGGUUUUGAUGCGUAUGUAAGAACGGUUCUUGCUCAGCCCGUAGCAGCCACGUAAAACUUGCAACAAUAAAGUAGAGGACGUCUAACUUGUUUUUGCAGGGCAUGCUGUGAUGUGAUAUGGUCAAGACAUGAUGCUAAAUUUUAUUGUAUAAGAUGAUCAUGUUUUGUAACCGAGUUAUCGGCAACUGGCAGGAGCCAUAUGGUUGUCGCUUUAUUGUAUGAAAUGCAAUCGCCAUGUAAUUGCUUUACUUUAUCACUAAGCGGUAGCGAUAGUCGUAGAAGCAAUAGUUGAUGAGACGACAACGAUGCUACGAUGGAGAUCAAGGUGUCGCGCCGGUGACAAUGGUGAUCAUAACGGUGCUUUGGAGAUGGAGAUCAAAGGCACAAGAUGAUGAUGGCCAUAUCAUAUCACUUAUAUUGAUUGCAUGUGAUGUUUAUCCUUUAUGCAUCUUAUUCUGCUUUGUUUGACGGUAGCAUUAUAAGAUGAUCUCUCACUAAAUUUCAAGGUAAAAGUGUUCUCCAUGAGUAUGCACCGUUGCCAAAGUUCGUCGUGCCGAGACACCACGUGAUGAUCGGGUGUGAUAAGCUCAACGUUCAUCUACAAUGGGUGUAAGACAGUUUUGCACAUGCAGAAUACUCGGGUUAAACUUGACGAGCCUAGCAUAUGCAGAUAUGGCCUCGGAACACUGAGGCCGAAAGGUCGAGCGUGAAUCAUAUAGUAGAUAUGAUCAACAUAGUGAUGUUCACCAUUGAAAACUACUCCAUUUCACGUGAUGAUCGGUUGUGGUUUAGUUGAUAUGGAUCACGUGAUCACUUAGAUUAUUAGAGGGAUGUCUAUCUAAGUGGGAGUUCUUAAGUAAUAUGAUUAAUUGAACUUUAAUUUAUCAUGAACUUAGUCCUGGUAGUAUUAGCAAAUCUAUGUUGUAGAUCAAUAGCUCACGAUGUUGCUCCCCGUUUAUUUUGAUAUGUUCCUAGAGAAAAACUAUGUUGAAAGAUUUUAGUAGCAAUGAUGCGGACUUGGUCCGUGAUCUGAGGAUUAUCCUCAUUGAUGCACAGAAGAAUUAUGUCCUUGAUGCACCGCUAGGUGACGGACCUAUUGCAGGAGCAUAUGCAGACGUUAUGAAUGUUUGGCAAAGCUCGGCAUGAUGACUACUUGAUAGUUUAGUGCACCAUGCUUUACGGCUAAGAAUCGGGGCUUUAAAGACGUUUUGAACGCCACGGAGCAUAUUAGAUGUACCAAGAGUUGAAAUUAGCAUUUCAAACUCAUGCCCAUGUCGAAAGGUGUGAGACCUUUGACAAGUACUUUGCCUACAAGAUGGAGGAGAAUAGCUCAGCUAGUGAGCAUGUGCUCAGAAUGUCUGAGUACUACAAUCACUUGAAUCAAGUCGGAGUUAAUCUUCCAGAUAAGAUAGUGAUUGACAGAGUUCUCUAGUCACUAUCACCAAGUUACUAGAACUUCGUGAUGAACUAUAAUAUGCAAGGGAUAACGAAAACGAUUCCCAAGCUCUUCGUGAUGCUGAAAUAGACGAAGGUAGAAAUCAAGAAAAGUAUCAAGUGUUGAUGGUUGACAAGACCACUAGUUUCAAGAAAAGGGCAAAGGGAAGAAGGAACGGCAAGCAAGUUGCUGCUCCCGUGAAGAAGCCCAAAGCUAGACGCAAGUCUGAAACUGAGUGAUUCUACUGCAAAGGAAAUGGUCACUGGAAGUGGAACUGCCCUAGAUACUUGGCAGAUAAGAAGGAUGGCAAAGUAAACAAAGGUAUAUUGGAUAUACAUGUUAUUGAUGUGUACUUUACUAGUGUUUAUAGCAACUCCUCGGCAUUUGAUACUGAUUCAGUUGCUAAGAGUAGUAACUCGAAACGGGAGUUGCAGAAUGAACAGAAACUAGUUAAGGGCGAGGUGACGAUGUGUGUUGGAAGUAGUUCCAAGAUUGAUAUGAUCAUCAUCGCACACUCCCUAUACUUUCGGGAUUAGUGUUGAACCUAAAUAAGUGUUAUUUGGUGUUUGCGUUGAGCAUGAAUAUGAUUUGAUCAUGUUUAUUGCAAUACGGUUAUUCAUUUAAGUUAGAGAAUAAUUGUUGUUCUGUUUACAUGAAUAAAACCUUCUAUGGUCAUACACCCAAUGAAAAUGGUUUGUUGGGUCUCGAUCGUAGUGAUACACAUAUUCAUAAUAUUGAAGCCAAAAGAUGCAAAGUUAAUAAAGAUAGUGCAACUUAUUUGUGGCACUGUCGUUUAGGUCAUAUUGGUGUAAAGCGCAUGAAUAAACUCCAUGCUGAUGGGAUUUUGGAAUCACUUUAUUAUGAAUCACUUGAUGCUUGCGAACCAUGCCUUAUGGGCAAGAUGACUAAAACUUCGUUCUCCGGAACAAUGGAGCGAGCAACUGACUUAUUGGAAAUAAUACAUACUGAUGUAUGAAAUCCGAUGAGUGUUGAGGCUCGCGGCGGGUAUCGUUAUUUUCUGACCUUCACAGAUGAUUUGAGCAGAUAUGGGUAUAUAUACUUGAUGAAACAUAAGUCUGAAACAUUUGAAAAGUUCAUAUAAUUUCAAAGUGAAGUGGAAAAUCAUCGUAACAAGAAAAUAAAGUUUAUACGAUCUGAUCGCGGAGGGGAAUAUUUGAGUUACGAGUUUGGUCUUCAUUUGAAACAAUGCAGAAUAGUUUCGCAACUCACGCCACCUGUGUGAUGCCCGGAUAAUUAUGCUACAGUAAACCUACGCUAAUGAUGCCACGUCACCUCUGUUAGUGUUGAUAAUCUCGCGUUAGUUCAAAAACCAAUUCAAAUUCAAAAUUAAAUAAAAGGCAAACAACAAAAGUUUUCAAACUUUAAAACUAAAAUGUUCGGGUUGUGCCAAAUAAUGCGUAGGUAAUUAUGGUGGAGAACCACACUUUUAUAAAAAUGUUCAAAUAUUCAAAUGGUAAUAAAACAGUAGCAAAACUAUUAUUUAAAUACUUUAAAUACUCAACAAUUACAAAAUAUUUUAUUUAGGUGCCAAGUUAAUUGUGGCAGUGGACUAAUUAGUAAUACUAAUUUAGGUGCUCAUUUGGCAUUUUACAAAACUAAAAUAAAAUGUAACUAAAAUAAAACAGAAAAGAAACACACACAAAAAUGAAAAAAAAAAACCCGGCCAAUUGGGCUUUGGCCCACCAGGCCGCACCCACCGGGCCGCCAGGCCGGCCCACCCUGCCGCGGACUCCCCCCACUCCCCUUAUCCACUCACCCGNNNNNNNNNNNNNNNNNNNNNNNNNNNNNNNNNNNNNNNNNNNNNNNNNNNNNNNNNNNNNNNNNNNNNNNNNNNNNNNNNNNNNNNNNNNNNNNNNNNNNNNNNNNNNNNNNNNNNNNNNNNNNNNNNNNNNNNNNNNNNNNNNNNNNNNNNNNNNNNNNNNNNNNNNNNNNNNNNNNNNNNNNNNNNNNNNNNNNNNNNNNNNNNNNNNNNNNNNNNNNNNNNNNNNNNNNNNNNNNNNNNNNNNNNNNNNNNNNNNNNNNNNNNNNNNNNNNNNNNNNNNNNNNNNNNNNNNNNNNNNNNNNNNNNNNNNNNNNNNNNNNNNNNNNNNNNNNNNNNNNNNNNNNNNNNNNNNNNNNNNNNNNNNNNNNNNNNNNNNNNNNNNNNNNNNNNNNNNNNNNNNNNNNNNNNNNNNNNNNNNNNNNNNNNNNNNNNNNNNNNNNNNNNNNNNNNNNNNNNNNNNNNNNNNNNNNNNNNNNNNNNNNNNNNNNNNNNNNNNNNNNNNNNNNNNNNNNNNNNNNNNNNNNNNNNNNNNNNNNNNNNNNNNNNNNNNNNNNNNNNNNNNNNNNNNNNNNNNACGCCCUGCCUCGCUCCGGGGACGCGCUCGUCGCGCCCGCGACCUCCCGUGGCCGCGCCCGGAGUUCUUCUCCCCCUGCGCCUGCUCCAUUCCCUCCGCGCCCUGGCCGCACCCACCGGCGCCCAGCCGCGCGUGCCCGUCUCGCUCCACCGUGGCCGUGGUCGCCGACCGGGUUCGCCACCUCGUCGCCUCGGGUCCGCCCGAUGGGUGCCUCGCCUGCAACGGCGCCCGUUGCCCAGCGCCCGCUCGGGUGACACCCGCACCCGAGCGCCCGAACCCGUUAAGGCCCCUAGCCCAAUGACAGGGGGGCCCCGCCCCUAAAACGUUUAAAAAAAGAAUAAAAAAAUAAAAAAAUAUUAAUUAAUUAAUUAACUAAAUUAAUUAACUUAGUUAAUUGAGUUUGAUUAACUUAAUCAAUUAACUAAACUAAUUAAUCAUGAUUAGUUAGUCUAGUGUAUGACAUGCGGGACCCACACAUAGUUGACCCAGUCAACUGCACAGUUGACUGCUGACGUCAGCAUGAUGACAUGCUGACGUCAUCUUUUACUAUUCUGGAUAAUGUUGAUUAAAUUAAUUAAAUAAAUCCUAAAAAUGAUUUAAAUCUUUAAAAAUUAAUAUAAAAUAAUCCGUAGCUCGGAUGAAAAAACUUUGUACAUGAAAGUUGCUCAGAACGACGAGACGAAUCCGAAUACGUAGUUCGUUCGUCCGCCACGCGUCCCUAGCAUAGUGAACCUGCAACAUUUCACCUCCGGUUCAUCUGUCCGAAAACGUGAAACACCGGGGAUAUUUUCCCGGAUGUUUCCCCCCUUCGCCGGUAUCACUUACUACCGCGUUAGGGCAUACCUAGCACCGCGUUUUGCCUCCUUAUGUUUUGUGAUGCUUUGUUUGCUCCGUAUUUACUGUUUUUCCCCCUCUCCUUCUCCGGUAGACUACGAGACCGACGCUGCUGCUACCCAGUUCGGCUACGGAGUUGACGGCCCCUCCUUCUUGCCAGAGCAACCAGGCAAGCCCCCCCUUGAUCACCAGAUAUCGCCUAUUCUUCUCUAUACUGUUUGCAUUAGAGUAGUGUAGCAUGUUACUGCUUCCCGUUAAUCCUAUCCUAAUGCAUAGCCUGUCAUUGUUGCUACAGUUGUUACCCUUACCUGCUAUCCUACUGCUUAGAAUAGGAUGCUAGUUUAUUCCAUCAGUGGCCCUACACUCUUGUCCGUCUGCCAUGCUAUACUACUGGGCCGUGAUCACUUUGGGAGGUGAUCACGGGUAUAUACUAUAUACAUUAUAUACAUGACACAUGUGGUGACUAAAGUCGGGUCGGCUCGAGGAGUACCCGCAAGUUAUUCUGAUGAGGGGGCUGAAAGGACAGGUGGCUCCACCCCGGUAGAGGUGGGCCUGGGUUCCUGACGGCCCCCGACUGUUACUUUGUGGCGGAGCGACAGGGCAGGUUGAGACCACCUAGGAGAGAGGUGGGCCUGGCCCUGGUCGGUGUUCGCAGAUACUUAACACGCUUAACGAGUUCUGGGUAUUUGAUCUGAGUCUGGCCAUUUGGUCUAUACGCACUAACCAUCUACGCGGGAGUAGUUAUGGGUAUCCCGCGUCGUGGUAUCAGCCGAAGCUCUUUUUGACGUCAUCGACUGAGUGGUGCGCGCCGCAUUGGACCGUAAGCUCGCGCUUGUAUUAAGGGGGCUAGGUCUGCUUCCGGCCGCGUACGCAACGUGCAGGUGUGCAUAGGGCGAUGGGCCCAGACCCCUGCGUGCAUAGGGUUUAGACCGGCGUGCUGACCUCUCUGUUGAGCCUAGGUGGGGCUGCGACGUGUUGAUCUUCCGAGGCCGGGCAUGACCCAGAAAAGUGUGUCCGGCCAAAUGGGAUCGAGCGUGUUGGGUUAUGUGGUGCACCCCUGCAGGGAAGUUUAUCUAUUCGAAUAGCCGUGUCCCUCGGUAAAAGGACGACCCGGAGUUGUACCUUGACCUUAUGACAACUAGAACCGGAUACUGAAUAAAAUACACCCUUCCAAGUGCCAGAUACAACCCGGUGAUCGCUCUCUAACAGGGCGAUGAGGAGGGGAUCGCCGGGUAGGAUUAUGCUAUGCGAUGCUACUUGGAGGACUUCAAACUACUCUCUUCUACAUGCUGCAAGAUGGGGAUGGCCAGAAGCGUAGUCUUCGACAGGAUUAGCUAUCCCCCUCUUAUUUUGGCAUUCUGCAGUUCAGUCCACUGAUAUGCCCUUUACACAUAUACCCAUGCAUAUGUAGUGUAGCUCCUUGCUUGCGGGUACUUUGGAUGAGUACUCACGGUUGCCUUUCUCCCUCUUUUCCCCCCUUUCCUUUCUACUUGGUUGUCGCAACCAGAUGCUGGAGUCCAGGAGCCAGACGCCACUGUCGACGACGACUCCUACGACACUGGAGGUGCCUACUACUACGUGCAUCCCGCUGACGACGACCAGGAGUAGUUAGGAGGAUCCCAGGCAGGAGGCCUGCGCCUCAUUCGGUCUGUAUCCCAGUUUGUGCUAGCCUUCUUAAGGCAAACUUGUUUAACUUAUGUCUGUACUCAGAUAUUGUUGCUUCCGCUGACUCGUCUGUGAUCGAGCACUUGUAUUCGAGCCCUCGAGGCCCCUGGCUUGUAUUAUGAUGCUUGUAUGACUUAUUUAUGUUGUAGAGUUGUGUUGUGAUAUCUUCCCGUGAGUCCCUGAUCUUGAUCGUACACAUUUGCAUGCAUGAUUAGUGUACGGUCAAAUCGGGGGCGUCACAACCUGGAACACCACAGCGUAAUGGAGUGUCCGAACAUUGUAACCGUACUUUAUUAGAUAUGGUGCAAUCUAUGAUGUCUCUUACCGAUUUACCACUAUCAUUUUGUGGUUAUGCAUUAGAGACAGCUGCAUUCACGUUAAAUAGGGCACCAUCUAAAUCCGUUGAGACGACACCAUAUGAACUGUGGUUUGGCAAGAAACCAGAGUUGUCGUUUCUUAAAGUUUGGGGUUGCGAUGCUUAUGUGAAAAGGUUUCAUCUUUAUAAGCUCGAACCCAAAUCGGAGAAAUGUGUGUUCAUAGGAUACCUAAAGGAGACUGUUGGAUACACCUUCUAUCACAGGUCCGAAGGCAAGACAUUCGUUAUUAAGAAUGGAUCCUUUCUAGAGAAGGAGUUUCUCUCGAAAGAAGUGAGUGGGAGGAAAGUAGAACUUGAUGAGGUAAUUGUACCUGCUCUCUUAUUGGAAAGUAGUUCAUCACAGAAAUCUGUUCAUGUGACUCCUACACCAAUUAGUGAGGAAGCUAAUGAUGAUGAUCAUAUAACUUCAGAUCAAGGUACUACCGAACCUCGUAGGUCAACCAGAGUAAGAUCCGCACCAGAGUGGUACGGUAAUCCUGUUCUGGAGGUCAUGUUACUUGACCAUGACGAACCUACGAACUAUGAGAAAGCGAUGAUGAGCCCAGAUUCCGCAAAAUGGCUUGAGGCCAUGAAAUCUGAGAUGGGAUCCAUGUAUGAGAACAAAGUGUGGACUUUGGUUGACUUCCCCGAUGAUCGGCAAGCCAUAGAAAAUAAAUGGAUCUUCAAGAAGAAGACUGACGCUGACGGUAAUGUUACUGUCUACAAAGCUCGACUUGUUGCGAAAGGUUUUCAACAAGUUCAAGGGGUUGACUACGAUGAGACUUUCUCACCCGUAGCUAUGCUUAAGUCUGUCCGAAUCAUGUUAGAAGUUGCCGCAUUCUAUGAUUAUGAAAUUUGGCAAAUGGAUGUCAAAACUGCAUUCAUGAAUGGAUUUCUAGAAGAAGAGUUGUAUAUGAUGCAACCAGAAGGUUUUGUCGAUCUUAAAGGUGCUACCAAAAUGUGCAAGCUCCAGCAAUCCAUCUAUGGACUGGUGCAAGCAUCUCGGAGUUGGAAUAUACGCUUUGAUGAGUUGAUCAAAGCAUAUAGUUUUAUACAGGCUUGCGGUGAAGCCUGUAUUUACAAGAAAGUGAGUGGGAGCACUACACCAUUUCUGAUAAGUAUAUGUAAAUGACAUAUUGUUAAUCGAAAAUAAUGUAGAAUUUUCUGGAAAGCAUAAAGGAGUAUUUGAAAGGAGUUUUUCAAAGAAAUACCUCGGUGAAGCUGCUUACAUAUUGAGCAUCAAGAUCUAUAGAGAUAGAUCAAGACGCUUGAUAAGUUUUUUCAAUGAGUACAUACCUUGACAAGUUUUUGAAGUAGUUAAAGAAAGAGUUCUUGCCUGUGUUGCAAGGUGUGAAGUUGAGUAAGACUCAAAGCCCGACCACGACAGAAGAUAGAAAGAGAAUGAAAGUCAUUCCCUAUGCCUCAACCAUAGGUUCUAUAAAGUAUGUCAUGUUGUGUACCAGAUCUAUUGUAUACCCUACACUGAGUUUAGCAAGGGAGUACAAUAGUGAUCUAGGAGUAGAUCACUGGAUAGCGGUCAAAAUUAUCCUUAGUGGAAUAAGGAUAUGUUUCUCGAUUAUGGAGGUGACAAAAGGUUCGUCGUAAAGGGUUACGUCGAUGCAAGUUUUGAUGUUGAUCCAGAUGACUCUAAGUCUCAAUCUGGAUGCAUAUUGAAAGUGGGAGCAAUUAGCUAGAGUAGCUCCGUGCAGAGCAUUGUUGACAUAGAAAUUUGCAAAAUACAUACGGAUCUGAAUGUGGCAGACCCGUUGACUAAACUUCUCUCACAAGCAAAACAUGAUCACACCUUAGUACUCUUUGGGUGUUAAUCAUAUGGCGAUGUGAACUAGAUUACUGACUCUAGUAAACCCUUUGAGUGUUGGCCACAUGGCGAUGUGAACUAUGGGUGUUAAUCACAUGGUGAUGUGAACUAUUGGUAUUAAAUCACAUGACGAUGUGAACCAGAUUAUUGACUCUAGUGCAAGUGGGAGACUGAAGGAAAUAUGCCCUAGAGGCAAUAAUAAAGUUAUUAUUUAUUUCCUUAUUUCAUGGUAAAUGUUUAUUAUUCAUGUUAGAAUUGUAUUAACCGGAAAUAUAAUACAUGUGUGAAUACAUAGACAAACAUAGUGUCACUAGUAUGCCUCUACUUGACUAGCUCGUUGAUCAAAGAUGGUUGAGUUUCCUAGCCAUAGACAUGACUUGUCAUUUGAUUAACGGGAUCGCAUCAUUAGGAAUGAUGUGAUUGACUUGACCCAUUUCGUUAGCUUAGCACUCGAUCGUUUAGUAUGUUGCUAUUGCUUUCUUCAUGACUUAUACAUGUUCCUAUGACUAUGAGAUUAUGCAACUCCCGUUUACCGGAGGAACACUUUGUGUGCUACCAAACGUCACAACGUAACUGGGUGAUUAUAAAGGUGCUCUACAGGUGUCUUCGAUGGUGUUCGUUGAGUUGGCAUAGAUCGAGAAUAGGAUUUGUCACUCCGAUCGUCGGAGAGGUAUCUCUGGGCUCUCUCGGUAAUGCACAUCACUAUAAGCCUUGCAAGCAAUGUGACUAAUGAGAUAGUUGCGGGAUGAUGCAUUACGGAACGAGUAAAGAGACUUGCCGGUAACGAGAUUGAGCUAGGUAUUGAGAUACCGACGAUCGAAUCUCGGGCAAAUAACAUACCGAUGACAAAGGGAACAAUGUAUGUUGUUAUGCGAUUUGACCGAUAAAGAUCUUCGUAGAAUAUGUAGGAACCAAUAUGAGCAUCCAGGUUCCGCUAUUGGUUAUUGACCGGAGACGUGUCUCGGUCAUGUCUACAUAGUUCUCGAACCCGUAGGGUCCGCACGCUUAACGUUCGGUGACGAUCAGUAUUAUGAGUUUAUGUGUUUUGAUGUACCGAAGGUAGUUCGGAGUCCCACAUGACAUCGGGGACAUGACGAGGAGUCUCGAAAUGGUCGAGACGUAAAGAUCGAUAUAUUGGACCACUAUAUUCGGACAUCGGAAAGGUUCCGAGUGGUUCGGGUAUUUAUCGGAGUACCGGAGAGUUACGGGAAUUCGUCGGGGAGUAUAUGGGCCUUAUUGAGAUCUAGGGGAAAGAGAGAAGGGAGGUUGCGCGUCCCCCCAAGGCCUAGUCCGAAUUGGACUAGGGGGAGGGGCGGCGCCCCCUCCUUCCUUCUCUUCUCUUUUCCCUUUCCUUCUCUCCUACUCCUACUACAUGGAAGGGGGGGAAUCCUACUACCGGUGGGAAUAGGACUCCUCCAGGGCGCACCAUAGCUAGGCCGGCCCUCCCCCCUCCUCCACUCCUUUAUAUACGUGGUCAGGGGGCACCCCAUAGACACACAAGUUGAUCAUUGAUCUCUCUUAGCCGUUUGCAGUGUCCCCCUCCACCAUAAUCCACUUCGGUCGUAUCGUAGUGGUGCUUAGGCGAAGCCCUGCGUCGGUAGCUUCAUCAACACCGUCACCACGCCGUCGUGCUGACGAAGCUCUUCCUCGAAGCUCUACUGGAUCAUGAGUUCGCGGAACGUCACCGAGCUGAACGUGUGCUGAACACGGAGGUGUCGUACGUUCGGUACUGAGGAUCGGUCGAUCGUGAAGACGUACGGCUACAUCAACCACGUUGUCAUAACGCUUCCGCUUACGGUCUACGAGGGUACGUAGAUGACACUCUCCCCUCUCGUUGCUAUGCAUCACCAUGAUCUUGCGUGUACGUAGGAAUUUUUUUGAAAUUACUACGUUCCCCAACAGUGUCGCCCUGGCAUGAACGCUGACUGGGUCGGUCUCACCACUUUCGUGAAUAUUUUGAAACUUACAUUUAGAAGACAAGUUGGUCGAAACUGCUGAAUCUUAAUAGCAUCUUCCUUCUUAGGAAGAAGGGUAAUAAUACCAAAAUUUAACUUAUACAAAGCUAAAUUCUCAUUAUAUAAUUCAGCAAAUAUAGGCAAAAAGUCGCCUUUUAUGACCGUCCAGAACAUCUGAUAGAACUCCGCCGGGAACCCAUCUGGUCCCAUCCGCUGAAAGAGAAAAAGAAAAAAUUAGACCAAUUCAUUAUGUUGACCUGAAGGACAAAGAAAGUAACACCCCAGAUCUACUGUCCAGACUCACAUACCUCAGUGACAGGACAAGAUAUGCCAAGAUGGACGACAGUGGGGCUGAGGAACCCCACUUCCCUCUACUCCCGCCUACGCCUGCAUGUGUAAGUAGCUUGGGAGCUUCGAACACUGUUUUUUUCACCUGGAUUUUCAUUAAAAAAAGAGGCCAAUAUACCUCGAGAGGUACACACACAGAGAGAGAGGGUGCAACACUGUUUUUUCUCUCUUCUGCAUCAACUGUAUAGUCUGUCUAACUAUGGGCGUGUUCGGAUGCUCUCCGCUCCCGGAGUUGGUGGAGCGACGCCGAACAGGUAAACUCCGUGGAGUAGAAAACGGGGAGUGGAGCUGGUUACAGGCGAAAAAUGCGGAGCUACUAUUUCUGAGGUCUCAGAUCUUUAAAUCAAGGAGUUGAUAAGAUUUACGAAGAAACUGCCACCGCCAAGUGAAAACGGUUCGCGACCCACGCCCAGCUCGCUCGUUCCUGUUUCUCUGCCGAGCUCCACGUGAAUAGGGAGCAGAGUUGCUUGCCGAACAUCUCGUACUAGCGCUAUUUUCUACACGGAGUGGCAUUUCUGGUGGAGAAGCGGGAGUUGAGGAUUCAGAGGAGCUGGAGCAUCUCCGCCCUAUAUAUGAGAUUUGUGAUUUUCAGAAGUGUCAUUUUAUAACGGAGGCUUCCACAUAUUUUCGUCUUGGUUUGUGCACAGCCAAGAAAAACUUCUUACAUAUAAAUUUAGCCCAAAAGAUAGCAGUAAACCAAUCCAGAUAUGUCGCGAACAUUUUCUAAUUUCCUAAUUGUUUUUGAAUUUCUGAAUUAAAUCUGAAAAUGGGGAGAAUUUUUGAAAUUCUAAAUAGUUUUCGAAAAGCAAGAACUAUUUUUGAAAUUUCCAAAAAAAUCAAAAACACAAUUAUUUUUAAUUUGUGAACAAAAUUUGAAAACAGAAACAUGUUUUGAAUUUUUCAAACAUUUGUUAACAUUUUAAACAAUAUUGGAAUGCCAAAAAAUUUAAUUUUUUAAAAGAAACUUGAAAAGGAAAAGAAGUAAAAAAAAGGAAAAGGAAAAAAACCAUAAAAACCAGGUACAAUUAGAAAACAGUUUAGGAACCUUCUAGACGGUUUCCCAAAGCGGUCAGGUUGGGAGCACCUAUUGGACGCUCUUUGCAUCCAACAGCGCGCUGCCGCACAGACAGACCCACAACUGGGCCGGCCCACGAACAGGAAACAAACGAGAGCGCGACAUAAAAAAAACAGGAAACGAACAUGGCGCUGACAGGUGUCGAACUUGCAACUUUUGAUUCACAACGUUCGCAACCAGCCACUAGAACAUACAGCUGUUUCUGCUAUAACUGAAGCGCGAUUUGUUUCUUAAUCUCACUAAAGUGGCACCUUAAAAACAAUCUUCACAAAAUUUCGAACGUUUCUUGAAAAUUUACGAAAACAACUAAAUGUCAAAUUUUGUUCUAAAAAUGAUAAUAUUUUUGUAAUUCCAAACAAUUUUUUAUUCUGCAUAUUUUUUGAAAAUCGUGAAAACCUGAACAUUUUCUAUUUGUGAAUUUUUUCAAAAAAAGAAAACAAUUUUCGAAAAUCUAAACAAAAUUAGAAAACACGAACAUAUUUUUAAAUCCGCAAACAUUUUUUUAAUUCACAAACAUAUUUUAUAUCAAUGAACAGAUUUUUAUCUAUGAACAAUUUUAGAAAAUGAGAAUAUUUUCAUUGGGAAACACAAACAAGUUUCGAAGUUCUAAACAAAAUUAAAAAAUGAGAACAAAAAUUAACCUCUGGAAAGAUUUUUUUAAAAUACAAACAAAUUUUGAAACACUGAAAUUUUUGAAAACAUGAAUAAUUUUUGAAAUUCUGAAUAUUUAUUGAAAUUGUGAACAAAAUUUGAAACUCUGGACAUUUUAUAAAAACCUGAAGAAAAUUUAGGAAAACAAUAAAAUGACAAAUUUUGUACCGAAAACGAUAAUAUUUUCAUAAUUCCAACCAAUUUUGUACUAUGUAUAUUUUUUGAAAAUCGUGAAAUCCCAAAAAGUAUUUGAUUUGUGAUUUUUUCAGAAAAAGGAAAUAGUUUUCGAAAUUCCACAAAAUUAGAAAACACGAACAUAUUUUGAAAUCUGCGAACAUUUUAAAUUUCGCAUACAUCUUUUAUAUCUAUGAACAACUUUUGAUCUAUGAACAAUUUUAGUAAACGAGAACAUUUUUAUUGGAAAACACAAUCAAACUUUGAAAAAUAAAACAAGUUUCGAAGUUCUAAACAAAAUUUAAAAAAUGAGAACAAAAAUUAACCACCGGAAUUUUUUUAGAAAAUUUAAACAAAUUUUGAAACACUGAAUUUUUUGAAAACAUGAAUAAUUUUUUUAAUUCAGAACAUUUAUUGAAAUUGUGAACAAAAUUUGAAACUCUGGACAUUUUAUGAAAACCUGAAGAAAAUUUAGGAAAACAAUAAAAUGCCAAAUUUUGUUCCGAAAACGAUAAUAUUUUUGUAAUUCCAACCAUUUUUGUACUCCGCAUAUUUUUUGAAAAUCGUGAAAUCCCAAAAAGUAUUUGAUUUGCGAUUUUUUUCCAAAAAAAGGAAACAAUUUUCGAAAUUCCAAACAAAAUUAGAAAACAUGAACAUAUUUUGAAAUCUGCAAACAUUUUUAAUUUCGCAAACAUCUUUUAUAUCUAUGAACAACUUUUGAUCUAUGAACAAUUUUAGUAAAUGAGAACAUUUUUAUUGGAAAACACAAACAAACUUUGAAAAAUUAGAUCAAAUUUUGAAAUUCUAAACAAAUGUCUAAAAAUGAGAACAAAAAAUAACAUUCCGAACAAUUUUUCAGAAACACAAACAAAUUUUGAAACACUAAUUUUUUUGAAAACAUGAACAAUUGUUGAAAUUUAGAACAUUUUUUUACAUUUGAACGAAAUUUGAAACUCUGAACAUUUUAUGAAAACAUUGAGAAUACAUGAUGAUUUUAUGAAAACAUGAAGAAUACAUGAUGAUUUUAUGAAAACAUGAAGAAUACAUGAACAUUUUUUGAAAUGCAAGAAACUUUUUAAUACACUAAAAUAUUUUGAAUAUGUGAACAUUUUUUUUGGUAACACAGACAAUCUUGUAAAAAAUAGAACAUAUUUUGAAAUUACCACACUUUUUUUGAAUUUGUGAACUAAAUUGCGAAAUGGGAAUAUUUAUUAAAAUUAAGAAACAUAUUUUGGAUUUGUGAACAAAAGUUUGAAACGAGAACAUAUUUUGAAAUUUAGUAACAUUUUCGGAUUUUAUGAACCAAUUGUUUCAUAAUGUUAACAUUUUCUGAAGUCCUAAAUUUUUUAUGGAUUUGUGAAUUUUUUUUAUAUCCCAACUUUGUUGGAAAAGAAAAAAACGAAAAAAAAGACAGAAAAAGAAAGAAAGAAACAGAAGCAGAAAAACGAAAAAAGAAAAAACUGUACAAGGAACCUUCUAAACGUUUCCCAAAACUAGAAAAAACGGCUGGGAAUCUUCUAGAACUUUCACAAAAUCGGAACUCCCAAGCGAUUGAAACAGUGGGAGAUGGGCCCGCCCAUGUGGUUGCGCACCUGUGCGAUUACCCGACACUGACGCAGAGAGCGUCCAAUAGGGUUUUGGGGGUCCCUAGCUGACGCUCGCGAGCGUCAAUCUGACGUACUUUCGCGCAGGGUGCGGUCUUAACGGGCCAGCCCAUUCCGUGGCGUUCAUAUCGAGUCGCUACUUAAAAUCCAUAAAAAUGGACGCAUUCUUGAGGAAUCGAACUCGCCACCACACGAUACAAAAUACCUGUUCCUUACCAGUUGAGCUUGCAAGUUUCAAUGUCUUUUAGACUGCGCGCGUAUUUAAGAACUAGAUACAGAGGUAGAUAAAAAAAGCCACUAAAAAAAGGUAGAUAAAAGAAAGAUCGAAUUUUGAACCAUUUACUAUUUUCAAAUAUACAUUUAAUAUACUUUGAUAUACGAUGACCAAUAUUUAAAUACACAUUGAACAUAUUUUUAUAUAUGCUGAACAAUAUAUAUAUUGAACUUUUUUAGAUAUAUACACUGAACAAUUUUUCACACAAUGAUCAUUUUUUCAAUAUACAUUGAACAAUAUUUAAAUACACAUUGAACAAUUUUUGUGAUAUACGCUGAACAAUUUUUGCAUUGUGCACAAAUUUCGAAAAAGUGAAAAGAAUUUGAUAACUGUGAACAAUUUCCGAAAUCAUGAACAAAAAUUAGAAUAUCCAAUAGUUUUUGAAAACAAAGGUUAAAAAAUGAAAAAAGGUAGAAUAAAGUGGGAAAACAAAGAAAUAGGAGCAGAAACUAAAGAGGAAAAAGGAAAAAAAAUACAGGAAAGAGAAAAAAAGGAAAAUGGCAAAAGAAAAAAAAAGGAAAAACCGAUUGAGGGAACCUUCCAGAAGGUUCCCAAAACCGGUUUGCCUCGCAGUGCUAUUAGCGCUCGCAGUGGGCCGGCCGUUUCGCGGUGCUCGCUCGCCUGCUUCAGCGGAAUUGCAGCAGUUCGACGGACGCGCGCGAGAGCUCCUGUUCGGCGCCUUAAGCGCCCGAACAGGUAGCUGGCGCCCGCGCGCCCCACCGCAUGGGCCGGCCCAGCAAGCUGCAAAAAAGCAAUUCGUGCAGGAAAGGAAAAAGCGUGAGAACCGAGAUUCGAACUGCAACCACCAAUGUGAAUGCCUACAAGCGUUACCGCUGGGACACCCUCAGUUAGUUGAUUACUAGUGGAACAAAAUCUCAUUUGGCCACUCAUUCAGUACAAACCGUGAAUUUGAAUAAGUAUAAUAUAUACAAGUAUUAUAUAUCCACUAUACUAAUUUGAAUAAAGAAAACAUAAAUUUGAAAAGGCAUUCAUAAAAACUGUGAAUUGAAAGAAAUCAAAUAUUUUCAAAAAGGUUUGUACCAAUGGGAAAAAAUUCGCAAAAAGGAAAAAUUUCAUGAAUUUUAAAAAAGUUCAUCAAAUUUGAAAAAAAGCUCAUUGAAUCUGAUUAAAGUUCAUCAAAAAUUUUAAAAGGUUCAUCAAAUUGGAAAAAAAGUUCAUCCAAUCUGAAAAAAAGUUCAUCGGAUUUUGAAAAAAGUUGAUCGAAUCUGAAAAAAGUUCAUCGUAUCUGAAAAAAGUUCACAAAAUUAUAAAAAGGUUCAUUAUUUUUGAAAAAAGUGCAUAAAUUCUGAAAAAGGUUCACAAAAAAUUGAAGAAAGUUCAUCGAUUUUGAAAAAAAGUUCACUAAUUUUGAAAAAAAAUUCAUCAAUUUUGAAAAGGUUCACGAAUUUAAGAAAAGAAAAAAGAAAAAUGAAAAAGGAAAGGAACGAAAGUAGAAAUAAAAUGAAAGCGAGAAGUUAUCAAACAAGGUCGUUGUGGCCGCCUGGUUAGUCGACUUACUCGAGUAAGUCACCACGCCCGUGUUUUUGCAGAAAUUGCAGUUUUAACACACACAAAAAAUCUAUAACGGGCUGGCCCAGGUCGGAGUUGGGGGUGUGCGCCGGUUUGCGAUUAACACAGUAACGGGCGCAGCGGGCGCCAAAUAGGAAACAGCCACGCGCGCGUCAAAUAGGGUUCGCCUAGGGUUUUCCCAGGAACCUUUCCUGAACCGAGAUCGGUCGAACACUUUACGGGCCGGCCCAGAACGCUCGCUCGGUGGUCUCGAAGCGUCGAUAAGUCGAUAAAAAGAGCGCGAAUGCUAUUUGUUGCAGUAAGCAAGCCGGUAACUCUCUCGCUGCGACCUUGACCAGUAACUGGCCGGCCCACUUGCGCACCCUUCGAAGGAAAAUACCGAAAAAAAAGGGAGUAGCACGGGGGGAGGGGGUGUUCGAACCGUGGCUGCUAAAACAAUUUUCACCACGGCUAGCCACCUGCUACAGUCGGGUUUGUGAACACAUAAUAGUGCGGGACGUAGUUGAGGCGAACUUAGCCCGAGUUUCAUUGGUUUUUUCUUUUUUUUUGUUUUUUGACAGGGUUUUCUUUGUUUUUGUUUUUGUUCCUUUUUUAUUAUUCAUUUUUUUCCUUUUUCUUCUCCACUUUUUUGGUUUUAUUUUUCUUCUCCNNNNNNNNNNNNNNNNNNNNNNNNNNNNNNNNNNNNNNNNNNNNNNNNNNNNNNNNNNNNNNNNNNNNNNNNNNNNNNNNNNNNNNNNNNNNNNNNNNNNNNNNNNNNNNNNNNNNNNNNNNNNNNNNNNNNNNNNNNNNNNNNNNNNNNNNNNNNNNNNNNNNNNNNNNNNNNNNNNNNNNNNNNNNNNNNNNNNNNNNNNNNNNNNNNNNNNNNNNNNNNNNNNNNNNNNNNNNNNNNNNNNNNNNNNNNNNNNNNUUUUUUCACUCUACAUUUUUGUAUAUGUCAAAAAAAAUUAAUAAGUGAUCAAUAUUUUUUGUAUACACGUUCAACAUUGUCCAAAUUUCAAAUACUUGUUCAACAUUUUUUCGAAUACAUGUUCAUCAUAUUUCAAAUACUCAUUCAACAUUGUUUUAAUACUUAUUCAAAAAAAUUCAACUUCUUGUUCAACAUUUUUAAUGCUUAUUCAACAUUAUAAAAUCCUUGUUCAAAAUUUUUCAAAUACUCAUUCAACAUUUUUAAUACUUAUUCAACAUUUGAAAAUACUUGUUCAACAUUUUUCAAAUACUCGUUCUACAUUUUUUUUAAUACUUAUUCAACAUUUGUCAAAUACUUGUUCAACAUCUUUAAUACUUUAUUCAACACUUUCAAAUACUUUCUUAACGUUUUUAAUACCUAUUCAAUUUUUCAAAUACUUGUUCAACAAUUUUUUUAAUAUUUUUUAGAAAUUGUUUUGUGUGUGUGUGUGUGUGUGUGUGUCUAUAUAUAUAAGUACAAAAAUAAAGCAAAAAACGAGAACACAGAAAAAAAACAUAAAAACAGGCCUUUGCAUCCCGCGCAGCUGGGCCUUCCCAUCUGGGCUCCCCCCGACGCGAGCCGCCAGGUGUAAGGCGAUAAAUAGGGGUUCCCCGCAAAGAGCGGCGAAUAGGAAAUUUCGCAGUAAUGCUACACUCACGGUGGGAUUUUUACGGACUUCACGGGGUAGCAAACAUGGGGGAUUANNNNNNNNNNNNNNNNNNNNNNNNNNNNNNNNNNNNNNNNNNNNNNNNNNNNNNNNNNNNNNNNNNNNNNNNNNNNNNNNNNNNNNNNNNNNNNNNNNNNNNNNNNNNNNNNNGAUUAGAUGGAACAACCCCGUAUUAGUCCCGUAAAAGCCCGUGAGUCUACCAUUUUCGGAAAUUUCGUAUAUCAUGGGGAUGCCUUUUAGGUUUCCGUGGCACUUUAUGGAUAGUGGGCUGGCCCAAGUACGUAAGUGAAAAGGCCACUACAGCUUUUAAAUGCAAAUGAUCCAUCUCUCUCUCUCUCUCUAAAGAAAUUGAAAGAAAUCCCAAUCAAUUAUGAAAAAAAUCGCAACUUUCCCAAUAAAAAAACUUACUGCGAUCAUUGUAAAAAAUGUGUACUGGAAAUAAUCUGUACUCGCCAAAGUAAUAAGAAUGUACAUAUGCACGUCGAUGCUAUUUCCUUGCUUCUACUUGUUUUCAGCAUCUUCCAGAAAUUAAAGUUUCUUCUUUUUCAGUACCCUAAUUCUUCCAUAUAUUUGCAAAAGGAAGCGAAAUAUAGCAGCAACGUGCAUAAACAUGCAGCAUCCUAAUAUCUAUAUAAAAUAAAAUGUAAGAUGACUAAGAAUUACACACAAGGUGUGGCCGCUCUUCCUAUUUUCACACGUUUUUUUUGCUAGCCUUUCUAUUUUCACAUGUCAUUUGCACUGCCCUAAAUUCGCAUACACACAAACAAAAGAGUUGCACUAUCCCUGUUUUCUUGUGGGUACUCAGUUAUUACACUACCCCACAAGUUGCUCAAAAAACAGCUAUUAAACUACCCUACAAAAGCAGGUAGUCACUUAACACUGCCCUACAAAUAUAUGUUCGCUUAGCCUGGAAGCAAGAAAGAUAUAUGCGUGUCACUGCAAGUAUAUAACAAGCCCCCCUCCCUCCUCUACAUCCAUCCAUCGUAAAAUCCAUUUUGAAGGUCUUAAUCUUUCACAUGUUUUUUUUUUGCUAGCCUUUCUAUUUUCACAUGUCAUUUGCACUGCCCUAAAUUCACGCACACACAAACAAAAGAGUUGCACUAUCCCUGUUUUCUUGUGGGUACUCAGUUAUUACACUACCCUAAAAGUUGCUAAAAAUAGUUAUUACACUACCCUACAAAAGCAGGUAGUCACUUACACCACCCUACAAAAAUCUGCUCGCUUAGCCUGGAAGCAAGAAAGAUAUACGUGUGUUACUGCGAGUAUAUAACAAGCCCCCCUCCCUCCUCUACACUCAUCCAUCAUACAAUCCACCUUGAAGGUCUUAAUCUAUCAUACAACCCUCUUAGACUCUUAGUCUCUCACAAGAAACUAAAUGGAUCGGUCCAUGAAGGUCUUUGUGGUCGUCUUCCUGCUUCUUGUGGCCACAGGUAUAUAUGCUGUACUAUUUAAGAUAACUGUAAAUUCUGCUAUAGUUUAUGAGUAUACGUGAGAUGACUGAUUUGCUCUAUCAAUUUGCCCGUGUAGGGUUCCAGGGAGCAGUGCAGGUAGCUUUGGCGAGGGAUUGUAGGUCACAGAGCAAAACGUUUGUGGGGCUGUGCGUGAGCGACACCAACUGUGCAAGUGUUUGCCUGACCGAGCAUUUCCCCGGAGGCAAGUGCGACGGCUAUCGGCGAUGUUUCUGCACCAAGGACUGCUAGAUGGCCUUGUUUUCUUCUCGCUUACAUGCUUCCGUGUAAUAAUAACUGAAUAAUACUAGAUCUGAAUCUAUGCAUGUAUGAUGCAUAUGUGAGUGCUACUCCUAGAAGUACAUGCACAUCAUAUAAUCCGAACAAAGUUUCAGCGGGGAACCAGUUCAAGUUGAAUAAUCCAACACUCCGGAACUGGAGCUGCUACCGUUUUCAGGGUUGAAACGAAUAUAAGCUUAAAAACUGGAAAAUGAGACAUGAAGUUUGACUAGGAGGGAAGCAAUUUUUGUAAGAAAGAAAAGUGAAGCGUGGAAGUAGACCUCGCACCACACCUGAAGAUUUG